UUUUUUUUUUUUUUUUUUUUGUCGAUACCACAGAUUAUUCUACACUAGAAUGGAGGGGGAAAAUCUGAAAAGGUCCAAAAGUAAUUCGGAAGGAACUGAAUCACCUAUCAUAUCUGACUAAAUGCACUACACGUCGAUUUGAAUUUUCUAAGUAGAGCCACUUUAGUAUGAGAACUUGCUUCCCACCUCAUCAAAUUUUAAUGCAUUGGCGGCGUCUAUGCAUAUCAAGUCGGUCAAAAGUGGAGAAAAUUGGCGAAUACAACUAUUCAUCAAAACGAAGACGUACUUUUGCACAGAGGAGAACAACCCGGAAGGAUCCAAAAUAAAAUAAUGCACUCCGAAAUCAAAUCCGCAACUACUAAAAGACGUCUGACUUUUGUCGCCUGGGAUUCUUUCUUGUUCAGCGUUCCAUCCAUUUAUAGCAUUCUGAUCACAGAUUUGAACAAACAGAUCAUGGCAUCCACCACCCAAUACCCUGUACUAUAUUAAGUUAUUAACCAUCCUCACGAGUCAGAUCAGAAGCCCCCACCGCCCUCUUCCUUUCUUCCCUCCUUUUUUGGGCACGUCAGAUAAAUGAUUUGGGAUGGUGGGAGUACAAUACUGCUAGUAAAAAGUAAUUUGCAUUGCAUUUUUUUUUUAGAAAAAAUUUAUUGUAACAAUUUGAUAUAUGUGAAAUAAAAAGGUGAUUGAAAAAUAUGUUCACGAAAGAAAAAAAAAAACAUAAGAAAAAUUGCAAUCCAAAGAAAGCCAAUUAUGAAAUCCUAGAAAAACUUUUCUCCUUCAUUCUUUUAUCCGUAGAAGUAGUAGUAGUACGUUUUUCCUUAAAUAUUUCAUUCGUUUCCCGCUUUUUUCUUUUUCUUUCUUGAAAAAGGAAAAAUAAAUUUUUUAAAAAAAGAAGAAAAAACUAGUACACAUAAGAAAUCAACAAGCGAAAAAUAAGAGGAAAAGACAACCUAGAAUAGAUCAAAAUUCCAAAUGUCAAACACAAGUUCUUCCUGUUUCACUGCACCCGGGACCCACAGGACAGGACCGAAAUCUCCAUCAUCUUACUUUACUUUUCAAAGUUGGUACCAGGUCCAGGAUAUUAUUAGAUUGAUAAAUCACAAAUCCUCCUUUUCUGGCUUUCCACUCUAGCUCAACUCUUCUGCUCCAGUUUAAAGCCAUUUACAGCAGAAUCAAACCCAAACAGAUGAAUCCCGACCGCCUUCAGCUUUUGAGUCUUUACUCCUCACUCCUUCACGCAAUUCCCAUGCAUUCUCAUUUGCUUUCCCACUGCCAACGGAAAAGCUACUAUAUCACCUCGGAUUACUAUUAGCAGCAGUAUAAUUUUUUUUAGUUUUGUCCCUUUUUUAUUCCCUUUUGUUUAAAUUUUAGUUCUACUGGUAUGGCAGUUUCUGACAUUGAAGCUGUGGUUGAAUUCUUGAGGAAAAAUGGAUUUUCAGAGUCUGAAUCAGCUCUUAUGGAGGAUAUUUGUGACAAAUCCCAACUGGGAUCCUCGGAUUUUCAGAGAUUUUUGUUCCCAAUGGUGCCUCCACUUCCCCCGGUUAAAAUUCCGGCCCCCGCAGCUAGGUGGUUGCCUCUGGUCCCUGGUGGAGGCGAUGCUGAUGAUGGUGGUGGUCAUCAGCUGAGUUCUCCUUCUUCUGAUGAUGAUGAUGAGGAGUUUGUCAGCUUGGCUUCUUCUACUACUGAGUUGUGUUCUUCAGGUCGUGAUUCUAAUUUUUUAACUGCUGCCAGUGAUCUUGUGGAUUUUCCUUUCUUUGACUUAUUAUAAAGUUCUUCUUAAUUUUGCCAUGUAUAAUUUUAUUGUUUCUCUUUUUAUAUUGAUAUGUGUUGUCUGUUUUAUUUGGGAACUGGGAUCUUUGGGAGAAUUUUGUCUUUUUUUUUGUGUAAUUUAGUUUGCUUUUAAAUCGAUUAUUAGCUUGUAAUAUUCUUGUUCUUGUUUUCUCCAUUAAUUGAUUGAAGAAUAGUUUUUGUUCAGUAGUUGACAGCUAGAUUGCUCCUUGCUUUGUUCCCUCUGCAUUUCAGAGUUUCUCUCUUUCCCUCUCCUCCUCUCUCGCUGAACUCAGUAUGUGGAAAAAUUUAUGUCUUGCUCUGUCAAUUAUGUACUGUAGUCAUUAAAGCAAAAGCAUACCAAAUUAGGCAAUGAAAUCAUGCGUUUCUGCAGUCUAAUCAAGGACUUUAGGUAAAUUCCCAAUUUGAUUUUUCAUUACUACAUGAGAGGGAGUAUUUUCUUGCUUGUGUUUCCUCUUAUAACUUCGCAACAUCCACUGAACUCCUCCUUUAAGUUUAAAAAUUUUUCUCCAGUUCUGCUUGGCUAUCCAGUGCAAUUAAUGCAGCAUUAUGUAGCUGGUGUCUAUUUUUUUCUUUUCUAAAUCAGCAUUUUUCUUUUCUAAAUCAGCAUUUUGUUCCCUGGCAUUUGUAUGUUGACCCGAGCUUUAUAUUAGCAUGCAAGUCAGAGGUCUCAUGAGCCCUGAACACCAAAAACCUGUGACUAUUGCUAUUCUUUCCUAAGAAAUGGCGGUUCCUUUUUCUUUUGGGAAGGGGUGUGGAUGUGAAGGUAGAAAUGGUGAAUAUUUGGAGAUCGUAUCUGAUGCAUGCUUUUUUCCUUUUGCAGACUUCACAAAUCCAUACGGGAUUCAUACUACCACAAGGCCGAGUUCUCAAGCUUCAUCUGAUGGGAUGUCUCAAUUUGGUACUGCACGAGAUUAUCAUGAGUUUGAUAUGCAAAAUGACUUAUACUGGUACAAAGAGAAAGAUGAAGACUAUGCUAUGCCUCCCCUCUUUGGGAUCUCAGACUUUGAUGCUGACCCAAGCGAGGAUAAGUUUGUCAUGACUGUAGAGACAGGGAAGCACAGGGAGAAUGAGCUUUGUCUGAACCAUAUAUCUGAAGGGUUUCAAUCUGAAAGUAGCACUCAUUACUAUGAUAGACAAUGGCCAAUAAACUCAAAGGAGAGUGGACAAAAUGAGGUUAUUAAAGAUUAUUAUGAUUUGGAAAGAAAUAUACAACUUGAAGAAAAUUUUAAGAAGGGAGAGGAAGGUUGCACGGGUUAUCAAUGUUCAGGCACGCUCUGUGCUUGCUGUGGUGGAGCAGGGAUAAAUCAUAUUGAGGAUCCUGCAGAUUUUGGAAUUCUAAAUCUUAGUCCUAGUCAGGAGGCAUCUAUUGGAUGUGAUGCAAACUGUUCUGUCAAGAAUAAUACAAACUAUUCUGUGAAGAGUAGCUCUAUGAAUGGCUGGGUUGGAGAACUGAAAAGUAGUGAUGACUUUCAAACUCACAUCAUUGAGGAAGAUUACCACCUGGGUGAAAUCGAAUCUAGGAAUCAUGAAAUGGAUGGAAAUAUCUGUGACCCUGAUCCCUCAGCUGAUGAAGAGGUUGGCACCCCGUCUGAUGAGCUUCUGAUGUAUGAGACUAAGGAAGAUGAUUAUGAAGUAUUCAGUCUGAGAAUCAUACACAGGAAAAACAGGUUUGUAAGUCCUUCAUUGUCUUUUUUCUAGAUUUUGUCUUUGUCCCCAGAUGUUGAUGCUGAGCUUGCAUCCUCUGUGUUUCUCACUUUGAUGAUGAAGUGCUAAUCCGAUGUGAGAAAUGACAUAAUGUAGACUUAUUCAGCUAGUGCAAAAAGCACUUGGAUUCUGUAUUAGUCCUUAAUUGAAUCGAUUUUUCUAAUCUUAGUUUCCUGGUCCUGUAAUGGUUGUUAUAGUUUGUCUUGUGCAGGGUUGAAUUGUAGCAAACAGUAGUACUCAUUUGUUAUGCCAUCCACAGGACUGGAUUCGAAGAAAACAAGGACUUUCCCAUUGUUCUAAAUAGUAUUGUAGCUGGUAGAUAUUAUAUCACUGAGUACCUUGGUUCAGCCGCUUUCAGUAAGGUUGCUCAGGCACAUGAUCUUCAUACUGGAAUGGAUGUUUGCUUGAAGAUCAUAAAAAAUGAUAAGGACUUCUUUGAUCAGAGCUUAGAUGAAAUUAAACUUCUGAAGUUUGUAAACAAGCACGAUCCUGGUGAUGAGCACCAUAUAUUGCGCCUUUAUGAUUACUUCUACCAUCAGGUGUGCAUCAAAGACAGUUUCUCAGUAUUCUUACUUUCUUAGAAUCUUGUUAGAUUUAUUUACUAGCAGUUUUUCUCUGAAAAGGCAUGGCAGAUUAACAAAAAUGUCUCUCCCUUUCCUUUACUCAUCUCCGUAGUGAUAAAUCAGUAUGAGUUUUCAUCUAUUCUUAGAUACCCAUAAGAGGGAUUUUCUGCAUGUAUUUUGCCUUUUAUGUGGUCAAAUAAAGAAGUUUUCCCUUACAGUUCAACAUUUAUAUUUCAAAAUCGCUAAACACAAGUGGUAUGAGUUGUUCACUUUUUUCCUACCUCCAGAGAUAAACAAAAUGAUGUUCAGUUGAUCCUCCAUGCGCCAGCUUUGAUAUUUACAUGGUCCAUAACCAUUGAAUUCAUGGUCUAUAUUUGUGUAGUGCUUGCAGACAUGAUUUAACAUCUUGGUCCAGUUGAUCUGCUUCACCUUAUCUGUUUGUCUUUCUUAAAUAGGUAGACUUCCUCCAGCAUUAUAUACUGAAAACCUAUUUGGAUUUUUUGAGGCCAUAAAUGAAAGACUUCUGAUAAUUAAUCAUCUGGUAACAUCGCAGUUGGUAAUCUUGAUUUUCAUAGUUGGAUCUUUCUUUAAAAGUUGAGAUUUUUUAUGUUCUGACUUUAUGGAAGCAGUUUAUGCUCCAUCAUACUACCAAAGGGCUAUCACAUUUAAGAACUUGUCUUCUGAAAAGUCUCUCAAGGGGUUAGAUGUCAACUAUUAAUUUAGUGCAAAAAGGGACAAUAAGUUACCUAAAGAAUGGGGUUUUCCGAUAAGCUGUUCAGCUUUUGUUAUUAAAUCAUAAUCAAGAGCGCAGAUAGUACUUCCUUUUGGCUAGUUUAGUUAAGCUCUUUCAAUGCCCAAAACAGGUCUUUACUGCUCUUUUUUUCCUACUACGCACUGUUAGUCAUGCAUUUAGCUAAAUUUGAAAAUACAUCUAUCAUUCAUUUUAAAUGGAGCUAUCUCAAUGGUUCUUGUUAUCCUCUUUGUGAUUACCUAUAGGAACAUCUAUUCAUUGUAUGUGAACUACUACGAGCAAACUUGUACGAGUUCCAGAAAUUUAACCGAGAAUCUGGUGGAGAGGCAUAUUUUACAUUGAGCAGGCUGCAGGUUGGUUUUAUUAGAGCCAUAAUUUGAACUGAUUCAACAAUCAGUGAACUUCUUUGCAGAGGAUAUUUUCAAGCUGAGUUGGAGAAAUCCCAAAAUGAAUAUUUUCCAAUUUUUACAGGGCAUUGCUCGGCAAUGUUUGGUGGCAUUAGAGUAUUUGCAUGGCUUGGGAGUAAUCCACUGUGAUCUGAAGCCUGAAAAUAUUCUUAUUAAAAGUUAUCGAAGAUGUGAGAUAAAAGUCAUUGAUCUUGGAAGCAGUUGCUUUCAGACGGAUAACUUAUCCCUCUAUGUUCAGUCUCGUUCUUAUAGGGCUCCUGAAGUCAUCCUGGGGCUAUCAUAUGACCAGAAGAUUGAUCUUUGGUCACUUGGUUGCAUACUGGCCGAGUUAUAUUCUGGGGAGGUAUUUGUUUGAUUCUUAUUUUAUCUGUUUGGCUGCAUUUUGUACAUUAUGUGGUAUGCUCAGAGUGGGUCAGCAAAGAAAUUUCUUUUACUUUAUUCUGAAACUUUCGAAUUCUUUUCCUUGUGACUGAAAAUUGGAUUGUGUUUUGUGCACUUGUUCCUCACAGCAUAACUGUUUUCCCAGGUGCUUUUCCCCAAUGAAGCAUUAGCAUUGUUGCUUGCACGUAUUAUAACAGUGCUUGGGCCUAUUGUCAUCAACAUGUUACAGCGGGGACAGGAAACACACAAAUAUUUUACGAAAGAAUAUGACCUUUACUAUAUAAAUGAGGUUUGUUACUUGCAAUGCUAUCUCCAUCUACAGUGUCAUGUGUUACCCUUUUAUAGCAGAUUUGGAAAUUAUUGAAGUUUAUAGUCUCACUGAACUUUGUCCAGUUUUCUAGAUUAGGCCUGUUAGACUAGUGCCCCUUAAUCUAGGCGUGGAGGAAGAGGCCUUAGAACAGCUAAUACAUCCUCAUUCUUUCAGUUUGAGAGGAACUUUAUGAAACAUCAUCUGUUUGCGCUAGAUUGUGAUCCAAGAAGUCUUUGAGAUGCAAAUCUUUGUACCUAUUAGAAAAGUGGUUCUUUUUUUUUUUUAAAAAAAAAAGGGCUUUAUACUUUUGAGGUAUAGAGAAGCCUAGGUAUGAUGAGGUCAAGUUCCAUGUCAAACUUGUGACUUGUACAGGACAACAUAACAGUUACACGGAAAAGAAACAAAGCUGCAUAUAGUUUGUGGUGCAGUAAAGUCGUUUAGGUAUUGACCUACAAGAACAUAGAUUUGAUUCCAUCUUCUCCCAUCUUAGGAACCCAGUUAACACAAGUAAGGGUGGUCACUCAAUGCGGAGACAACAAAUUAAAAGUAUGGUUCUAAGCAUGUUUUCAGUCCUAUCAGUUGGUCAAUGGUGGAUCAUAGAAGUCUUUGAUGAACGAUAUGUGGUCAAAGACUUCUAUUAUCCGUCAUUGACAGAUAGGAUUGCUUGAAACAUGGGGUUAUUGAUUAUUCAUUUUUCCCCUAACUUUGUUCUAAAACUUGUUGUGACUUUGCAUAUUGACGUGGUCGUAGGAGACUAAUCAAUUGGAAUACAUAAUUGCUGAGGAGUCAUCGUCAUUGGAGCAUCAUCUGCAAAUUUCUGAUCCUCUAUUUUUAAAUUUCAUAAGCAAAUUGCUCGAGAUUAAUCCUGAGAGGAGGCCAACAGCAAGGGAAGCAUUGGGCCACCCCUGGCUGUCUCAAGACUUGUUAUCCUGUCCGGAGUCCUGAAAUAGUUGGUCAUUUAUCUCUUGCUUGUAUCUUUACUCAGCACAAAAGGCUCACUUCACUUACUCUGAUUGGGUCCGUAAAUAUGUGGUUGCAUUUCCAAUUUGUAUAGCGGGUGUUGGACAUAAGUGGUUUUGCUUGGUUCCUUGGGAGUUUUUGCUUAAAAAGGCGGCAGGGAAUUGCUUUUGGGGAACGGCAAGGUGUUGAUAUUAUUCUUUUUUAGAUCCUGUAGUUUCUCAUGCAUAGAUCAUACUGUCAAAGCUACAAAGGAUUUUGAUGUUCAUAAUGUAUUCAUCCACAGCUUAUUAGAUUUAUAUACUAUAUCUUCAGCAAAUAAGAGUGCGCUGGAUUGAAUGGCAUUGGCAACUGAAUUCCCACUUUUUUGUUGGAUUAGUUGUGACCACCUUAUUGUUUGUGGAGUGAACUUGAAAGUAAAAGUCAAGCUACUGCUGGAGGCACCUGUGGUUAAAAAUCAGAAUGGCUGUAUCUAAGUUGGUUCUGCAUUAAUUAUGAAGAACUGGAGCUGCAAUAAACAAAUAGCAGAACAAAUCUCUUGCCAAGAUUUUACGAAUGCUGUUUUAUAUAUAUAUAUAUAUAUAUAUGAUGUUUUCACAGUGGUAUAACGAUUUUUGGGACGGCUUAUGACUUUUCGAAGACGCAAAUAAGUAAGAACCAACAGGGGUAUCUGUUUCAAAAGAACGUUGUAGAUCGAGAUCCCAAGCACGAAGAUAAUUUGAUUUGAGGAAUGCCCAAAAACCCAUUAUUUAGAGAACAAUUUGUUGAAGUAAGGCUGUGAGCCCGACAUUUAACAACACGUUUCUGUAGUUUACUGUUUGGAAGUUGGGGCGGCGAUUGAAUCUGAAGUUUGCAGUACCAAGGACAUAGAAUUAUUAUUCAUAUCUCCGAUGAUUUUGGGAACCUUUCUUUGAAAUUUGAAUUGAAACAUUCCUAUUCAUGAUUACAUAUUCUAAGUUUGGUAAAAGUCAACGUUGCCUUUUUUCUUUUUCUUUUUUUUGAGUCGGCUUCAAACUUUAAAAGAAAAUAGGGUGCACUUGAGGGUCAAGGUUCUCCUAAUCACGCUAUUAAUAUCCCAACCAAUUAAAUUGGAUAAAAAGUAAACAUGCUGUUACAAAAUUAGAAUAGGUUUCUAAUUGACAAAUAUAAUCAUAUGACGCCUGUAGUGUUACUUUCCAAAACUGUUUCAGUUAUUUUACCACAGACUUUAAUUUUUUUUUUUUUUUUUAGUGUAAGCAGGAAGACUCAAACCCGAGACCUCUUACUUACACUCCCUCCCCCCGUACCACCCAACCCAACUCUCCCCCCUUUUUUUUUUUGUUUUUUGUUUAGUGUAAGCGGGAGGAUUCGGGCCCGAGACCUCUUGCUUACACUCCCUCUCCCGUACCACAGACAACGAACAACUGAUCAGUUAAGAUUGUGCAAUAGAGUUAGGGGUGUAAACUGGUCUAAUUAAGUCAAACAUUUUAGUGUUUAAAUUUGUUUGAUUAUUUUAAUGAAUAUGAAACUCUGUUUAAGCUUGGUUUCUUUAUUUAUUGAAUCUAGCUCGAACGAAUUUUUAUCGAGUCAAACUUGAAUUAAGUUCUAGUUGAUUGAAAUUUUUACAAUAUAAUAUCCAAUUUAAUACUAAUCAAACUAAGCUGGAAUCGACCUUGAAAGUUGAUAGAAUAUAAAAUUAUGUUCAAAUUUAUCUUUGACUAGUUGGCGAAUCAAAUUUGAAUGAACUCUUAUCCAACUGAGUUCAAUUCGAGUAUUUAGUAGUUUUGUCCAUCUUUCAAUUCUAAAUAGAGUUAAUCCCACUUCUUUCUCCUCACUUCCUAAAUCUCACAUUUUUUCUACUUAAGGGAAAAAAAAAAUUGUGUGAUAGAGGAGUUAAAAGUAAUUAAAGACAAACAAGAAGUAAUUGGUGCAAGAAUACAAUAUGAUGGGCACGCUUUAACGUAACUGUUUUUUAGAAUUGGUGCACAUUGAAGUGUUGACUACGUGCGAUUCCAUAGUUUGACCACAUUUUUGCAUUAGCGCACAGUAGUGCUGAGAACUUAAAAUAUUACAAAUUUCACAGUUUCUAGAAAUGAAAAUAAGUUUUAUUUCUUCUUCAAGCUACAAAGUACAAUUGCUGCUCAUAUAAAUAAGAAGAAGAAAAAAAAAUAGUGCAAUUACAUGAUUAAGGGUUGAAGCUGAUAUGCAUUGGCUUCAAAUUAAAUGACUUCAUGGUCAUAGUAGUGUUAACUACAUGUGUGAGAGAACUUAUAUGAGAUAAUCAUCUCUCGAUUUAAGAUGGAGUAAAAAGUCUCCUCACCCGCAAAAUACUUUAGUCCUCCAAAUUUAUGUCAAAAACCUCCACCGGAUCAACUUUAUCUAAUUGUUUUUUUUUAAAAAAUUGUUGUACAAGAUCCAAUACAAUUUAUUUGGACUGUCAGCAGAACUGAAAAAUUGCCGAGUAUCCAAUGGACAAACAAUCAUUGGACAGAUCCUCGACAAUUGUAAGUAAGCCGGAUAAAUAGACUUGUAAUUAGAGGAAAGUAUUUGUGCUACUAGUAAGCAGACAGUCUUCUUUUUUGACCUACAAUUGUAACAACGACUGCUAGUGCUAGUAGCCUAGUACUAGUUUUUCUUCUUCCGGGAAGCCCCCAUCAAACAAGUUUGCCGUAAAAGAAGAACAGAAAACGAAGCAAAUUGUCAGAGAAAAAAGGCUGCAUAUAUCAGAAGCAGUAAGUAAAUGCUGGAUAGUGAAUGCUGAAAUGACUGGGCCCAACCCAAGUAUGCAGUAGCUGAUCAAGAAACAAGAGUUCUGUCUUACCGGGUUGCAUCCUGAGGCAAGUAAACGAUAGUAGUGCCUGUUUUUUGGGGGCUGGGGGAUCUUUAAAAUUCUGAAAUAGCAUCGGUUAUGGGAGGAGGAAGGGACAAAACCCUCCAACGAUGGAAAGAUUGUCCCUUCUCUUCUCCUCUUAUUGGCGGAUGCAGUCCCUGACUCCGCCUUUUUUUUAACUUUUUCUCAGACGCCUCUUUUUUAUAGUGAAGCGCGUGAGCUCAAAUGAUUUUUUUCCUGAUUCUGAAAAUAUUUUGUCCUUUUCUUUUUAAAUCAGUUCCAAUUGAAAGGUACGGGGCUACAAUUACUUUUUGUAUUUUCGUUUUUAGUUCCUUAACUCAAAGUAAUUUACUCAAAGGAUCAUAAUUCCAUAUGCUAUACUUUUCCAACUUCUAUUAAAAAUCCAUAUGCUUGGUCCUUGUCAAACAACCAAACAAUCUGUCUACUAAGAAGAAAAGUAUCACUUGAGUGCUAAUUUAAGAAGAAAUCAGCAAUGAAAAUUCUUCACUUGCACGUGUGACUAAACAAAGCGGGCAAUUUGAAAUCAAAUGAAAACGAGAAAUAGCAGUGCAUAGCAUAAACGUGAAACAGGGUCGAAAUUAUUCGUAAUUCAAGUCAAAUUUGACUAGUGUAAUUCAGGAGAGUUAAAUUCAUUCAAAUAAUUAAAUAUAAAUCCUAACACAAUGUAAAAGUCAUCCUAUUAAAACAUAGACAUACUACUGGAAUUUGAUUGGACAAGAACUCAAAUUUAAUCAAGCAAAACACGAACACAAUUUCGAGGAUGUUUAAGGAUUCAAAACUAACCAACUGCUCAUCACCUGGAUUGCAGUUGAAGAACAGAAAAGAAAGAAAAUUUUAAAAAGAAUCAAGAAAAGUAUUGGAGUGGUAAAAUGAAUCAACUACUACUAGUAUAGAACUGAAACAUCCAAGUUCCUUUCAUCCCCCCAAGACACCCUCCCCAAACGCGUGCCGUCAACUCUCCCAUUUUCCCUUUCUUUUUUUCCUUUUCUCUCUCUCAAUCAACACCACAACCACUUCGUCGAGGCACCACCUUGACCACAACUCCGUCGGCACCUACGCCACCACUGAAAAUUAUGGACUGAAUUCCCAAAACUCCUCACCACACUUCUUAUAUAUAAACUCCUACUUAACUGGAAAAAUAAGAUACUAAAUAUAAAAGAACAAAAAUCAGUGAGCCAAAACUCAAAAGCCUUGUAUGAUGGCGGAGCUGGCUCAAUCCGCCGACGUCUACGCGCCGAAGACUAUACAAGUUUGGAGAGCACUAUUAAACUGGCUGGCUUUCUUCUUCCAGAUCUUCGUUCAGAUCAUCAGAGGCACGCCGUCGCUGACUCAGGUCCUGUCUUACGUUGGCCUGCGCCACUCCUCUCUUCUCUCUUCUUCAUCGCCUCAGUUCAAGCCUUUACCUGUCGUCGAGUUACAGGAGCCUGAGCAUCCUCCUCCUCCCCUUUCUUCCGCCGUUCAAAUUACAUCCGGCGCCACCUCUGAUGGUGGACUUCUCGAUAAGCUCACGGUAGAUUCAUACUAGUUCCAUUUUGUGACUUGAGAACUUCAAUGCAUUUAAUAUGGAAGAUAUAUAUAUAUAUAUAUAUAUAUAUAUAUAGGUGUUUUAGGAAUUUUUAGUGUGAUCUUUCUCUGGGGAUUUAUGGUAAUUUUGCCUAAUUCUUGUGUGAGCGAAGUUAGUUAUUACUGUUGGUUGGUCUGGAGCAUGAUAUUUUUAUUGUGUUGGGGAUGAAAUAGUUAACACUUUGCAGAGUUCUUACUGGAUCUUUUAAAUCUAUCAUUUGUUUCGGCUGACCUCUUUUUACAAUCCUGAUGAGGCACAACAUGCAUGAAUUCAGAAAGAGAUGCCUUUGUGUUUGAGCUUGGAGUUUGUAGAAACACUUGCGUAAAUGGGGUGAAAGUAGAGUUAUUCUUGAGAGCUGUUUCUAAGUAAAACCAAAGAUUGGAUUUUGUGGACUGGAAAAAAGCAGCCCUGAGAUUUUUUUUUUUAAGUAAAAUUUUCCCUAAUCUGGAACCUGAAAGGGUAUAAAUAAUUAUACUCCUUAUAUUUUCCUGCUGUUGUCUGCUGUAGAGUUGUUGACUUUCUUAGCAGAUAUUUCUUUACAGUCUUUGCCUUUCAGUAAGAGUUUCUGUGCAGUUGUGAUGGAUGCUGUUUUCAGUAAGUGCAAUAGGGAGACGUGGUAAAUGCUGUAUUACUAUAUGUUUUCUGUACUUAUUUUGAGAAAUUUCAAUCGCCAUGUUAAGAUGGUUGCUAUGGGAAUAUACAUAUCGAGAAAAGGGAGGAUGUAUGAGUUGUUCUUGUUGCUGGAAACCAAGAUAGGAGAAUUGAACUUUGAGCUUGGUCUGAAUAAUUAUGCACACUAUUUGUGACUUCUUGAGACUUGUAUUUGAAUAAGAAUAGAUGUUCGAGGAAAAACUGAGUCAAAGAUUAUUCCAGUUGAAUGGUUGUGUGAAUUACCUAGAUUUUUCUUGCUUUCGGAGGACCUUAGGUGGCUCAAGCUAUGAACUUCUGGUUGCAGGUGGUUCUGGACUUGGAUGAAACUCUAGUUUGUGCAUAUGAGACAUCUAGUCUGCCUUCUAUGAUACGUAGUCAAGCCACUGAGGCUGGGUUAAACUGGUUUGAACUGGAAUGCGUAUCUUCCGAUAAGGUGAUCGUGCAUGUUCAAUUCACACUAAAAUAAUUCAGAGCAAAAUAUCUGAGGUGAAUGUAUCUCAUUUUGGUUAUGCUUUGAUUUCAAGGAAAUUGAAGGCAAGCCUAAGAUUAACUAUGUGACGGUGUUUGAGCGUCCUGGAUUGCAUGAAUUUCUCAAACAACUCAGUGAAUUUGCCAACCUUGUAUUAUUUACUGCUGGCCUUGAAGGUUUGUUCAAUACAGGGCAAUUUCUUUGAUUUUCUAUGCUUUACUCUCCUUUUCCAGUUAAAUCCUUUUUUUACUGUUUUGGGGAUUUUUUUUUUUGGGGGGGGGGGUUAUUAUUGUUGUAGUUGAUUGCAUUUAUAUAUAUAGUUGCUUAAAUUAACAGUGCUUUGUGCUUGCACCUUGCAGGGUAUGCUAGGCCUCUUGUAGACAGAAUAGAUGCUGAAAAUAGGUUUAGUCUCAGACUUUAUCGACCGUCAACCAUUAGCACGUAAGUGUAGUAGUGAUCUCAUUCGACGUGUCUUGGGUAAUAUGUUUAUUAUAUUAUCUUGGGUUAAAGUUACAUUAAUUUAUAUGGGAAGAACUUUUGAUUGUUCUUAAAUCUACUAGUUAUACUUGAGAGUCAAGUUGAUGUCUGCACAUAUGUUUGGAAGUAUCAAAACAAGUUGACUUCUGUAUAUAUGUUUGGAAGUAUCAAAAAAGUAAUAUAAGAGACUUUUACUCUUCUGGGAAGAAAGAGUUAAAAACUUACUGGAGGAAAAGAAAAUGAAGAAGAAAGAAAUUACUAAAGCUAAGAACACAUAUCUAGCUGGCAAAGAAAAAAGAGACCAAAAAAAAAUCUGGCUAUAUAUUGUGGGAUAUCCAUCCAGGCUUAGUACAAAACGAGUACUCUUAUAUGUAAUGUAACAUGAAACAUGAAACAGUGUAUCUUGGACCUCUUUGGUGAACUCCUCUUGGUUUUCUUCUCUAAACUAGUGGAAUCAAUGCUGUGGUUAUAAUCCUCGACCACUAGUUAUUAAGUUUUCUGUUCUUGACUGUUAACUCUUUGGGAGAGAGGUCCUCUUCCACUUUGAGCUUUUGGAUGAAUUCCAUAUGGGUGCUUGAUGUAGCUGUUGUGAUUCAUAGGUCAUAAUAAGGUUGAGUUACAUUGAAAGUUAACCAUUUAACAGAAGACCUAAUUGGGCUAACAUAUCAUGGUCAAAGAUGACCUAGCACUAUUUCUUUUCCUUCGGAAAGUCACAUCAAAUGUGGAUGACGGCCCAAGAUAAAAUAGCUUUACAUUUUGAAUCAAAGUACGCGUCUACGGUUUGAUAUUGGCACCAGAUUUUCUCUGUAAGAGACGUCAUGUAAACCAUAGGUCUGUGACCAGGAUAAUGUGCUCAUUGAUCAGUGGUUAAAUAUAGGGUAAAGAACACUCAAAUUGGGAUAAGGUAUUCUCUCUGUUUUGGAGCUUGUUUAACUGGUGAAUUGUUGGGAGUUAGUAUAUUGUUGGGAUAACGGUAUUCUUUCUGUUUUGAAGUCCUUUGACCUUAUUGAUAUAAAAAUGUCUGGUGGACAUUGUAAGAGAUGAACAAUUACAGGAAAAUGGUCAUGUAGGAAGAAUGGUUUCUGUGCUUCGAGCUGUUUUUGCAAUUACCAGACCCCAUAGUUUUCGUGAUUAUUGUUAUUUAGAUUUCUUGUUUUCUGUUUAAUUGCAUAAUUACUUUCUAGUAUUGGUGAGGUUAAUUUUGAUCAUCAUUUAGAGAUUUAUAUUACAUUCUUAAAAUUUGAUGGAACUGGAAUAUUCAAGGACAAAGCAGCUGAGCUAUUUCCAGAACAUGUUGUCAAGAUAUAUUGUAAGUCAGCCCAAAUUUUUUAUGAAUUGAGCAGAUUUUGGUGAUUAUAUAUUGAACUAAAGAAAAAUGGUAAUAAUGGUGGCUCAGAAACUGUCACUGCUCUGAUGCAUAUACACAUCUACUUGAGGGGGUCGACUGAGUUUCCUUGGAGCUAUAAAUUUCAGAUUUCCCUGAUUUCUGAAGUGUGGGGAAUGGAUAUUCAAGCAUUUUGUGUAAAAGCAAUUAAACAUUUUGCAUUUGCAGUUACUUCUCCCUCCCCUUCCAUUUAAAGAAUUUUGAGCUAAAAUCCUUGUGUGGGCACUCGCAUGUCACGUGUGUUAAUACAUACUAGAGACAUGAUGUUGUGAGUUUGUAUGGAUCUUAGUUAGCUCACAGUUCAUUAGUCUGCUGUAUGUAGGGAUGACAUCAGGUAACAUUAAGCUAUGUCAAUUUUAUUUUAUCUUCUUUGAUUUUAUAUUAUUUUAGCACUUGUGUUUGGGUGUUAGAGAGUUCUAGUUUUUCGGGUAGUAAUUGUCUCCUCCAAUGAGAAUCCACAGAGCACUGAGAGGUCAGUGAUUUGUCGAUAGAUAUGGAAGAUCUAUCUUGAUAUGGAGCAAGCCUGAUGGUGAAAGUUACUAUUCUUUGCAGGUCAACAUUCUUAAGCGAAGUUCACUAAGCCGAUAGUUGACAAGAAAUAGAGCAUGGUUUUUGGGGGCAGUCAUUAUUUUUCUCUAGCUAAGAUUUUUUGGCAUGGUAACACAACUAUUCGAAAAAGUUCUUGAAGCAAAUUUCGAUGGUAUCUAUCUUACUGUGCCACCAUUAUUGUAUGAACAAUGUAUUGGACUAAGUUGACCAGUUUGAGAGUCCUCGUUCAUGUUCUGCUUGAUGCUCAAACGACUUCAGACGCUCUUUUAUUAAGGAAUUAAAAGAAUAUUAGUAGCUUUCUGAUUUCAUUUAUUAUUUGGUGCAAGUAUUCUAUCAACAAGAAAAUGCUUUACAUGGGGGGAAUUGCUACUAGUACAUUCGGGAUAUUGGUUGGUUAAAAGUUUGGAUCUUCUUGUUGAGGAUCCAUAGUGUAUUCAUGCUUUUUUGCUGAUGUUGAAGAUUGAUCGUGUUUUCAUGUUUUGGAUGCUGGAUAUGUUGCAGGGAAUAUAGAGAGCAUGUGAAGGAUUUGUCAUGUGUAUCAAAGGAUUUGUGUCGAAUGGUUAUCGUUGAUAACAAUCCAUUCAGUUUCUUGUUGCAACCACUAAAUGGUAUUCCAUGCAUACCAUUUUCAGCAGGGCAACCGCAGGAUGAACAGGUACCAUUGAUUACAGUAGUUGGAUAAAAACUUUUGUCAAACUAUGUCCACUGGGUGAGACGCACGCUAAUUUAAACAUGCACAUGCUCAUCAGCUUUUGGAAGUUAUCCUUCCACUUCUCAAGCACCUUUCUCAGCAGAAGGAUGUAAGGCCAGUGCUGUAUGAAAGGUUUCAUAUGCCUGAAUGGUUUCAAAGACAUGGGAUUCCUGCAUCUUGGUGGGCAAACUAUGAAGGCAUUGUUAAAAAUUGAGAUAGUUUAUUAUUCCUGGAUGCACCUGGAAAGUAAAUCUUUUAGAAGGGCAACAUCUCUUCCCACGAAGAGUGAAGUUUUGUAUAGCAGCAUUUUGUGCAGAGCAGCAGCUUUGAAUUUUUCACAGCCGCUUCACAGAGGUGUCUCCAAUGGAUGAUGCACAUACUGCGAUUCUGGAAACUAAAGAUUCUUGUGUAACUCUGUUCAUAGCUUUCAAUUCAUGUGGGAUCUAAUGUACUUGUCAGAUGUUGUACACUGUAUUCUAGCCAAUAAUUAUUUGCAUGUUAGCAGUAUUCUUCUGUACAGAACCUACCAUUGGAUGCUACUUUUAGUUGUCAAGAGUUGUUUAUUUAGUACAAGUUAGCUUGUGCCGUUGAAACCAGAUUAUUGUUGCAUUCUCACUUAGUCUUGCAGAGAGAUGUAAUUCAUCAUCUGUCUGCUUGCCAACUCGAUUAGUAAUAGAAGGAUGCAUCCAAUGGAUUUUGGUAUGCCUAACUCGUCUGUUCGCUUUGUGGGAAAGGUCAGGUAGACAUUGAAGAAUGCCAUGUUUGCUGCAUGAUUAAAAACUUGUUCACUAAGUCAAGAGGAAUAAGGAUAGAUUUUCUGGACAUCGGCAAAUUGUGAAAUGAUGAUAUCAAAUCGAUUUAAAGAAAGUUUCAGACGAGAAACUGGUGUCAUUAGUCGCCUGGCUUCCAUGUUUCGAUAAUCACCAUACAUCUUCAGUUUUCCAUCCCAGAAAAGUACAUCAUUUCUUGAAGAAACAUAAACUGAUGGAUUUCUGCCUGGAGUUGAGGGUUGCCAGCUAAAUACCGAGCAAAUGAAGAAGUGGUAUGCAGCAAGAAAACAGCCCACCGUGACCUGGUGAUCCCCGGUACAGUUAGCUAGGCUAUUGGGAAAUAGGCUCGUAAUUAACAAUAACUGAGGAUAAGGAUUUGCUAAAGAGUUCGACAUCAUGAUUGUGUCUCAAACCCAGACUAUCACAAAAUGGUUGAUUAACCUUUCUACAACAGCCCCAUGUUCCUUCCUAAAAGCCCUUCAUGUUCAGCCAGAAUCGAAAGCAUGGACCAAUACAUUGUUCAAGAACUUCUAACACGCUUUUGUUUUACUAAUCGUGUUUAGGUGGACCCCAACAGAGCGCUGGCCUGUUAUUAAAGUUGGCAAAUUAACAGAACAUACCAUAUUUCUUUAAUUCAAGAUCAUAAUCUGUUUCAUAAGCACGUCUGAACAAUCUAAUCUGUCACCCUCAAAAAAAAAAAAAAAUCUUAUCUGUUCAAGAAGCGAAGUUUCUUUGAUUUUUGAAACAUCCCAGAUCAUCGCGAGGUAAGAACAGAAUCCCAAGCAGAUAGUUUUUUACCAACACAAUUUUUUAAGUUAAAAAAUGAAAUAGCCUUAUGCAUUGUCAUCUAAAUUAGGUUCAUCAAUAUCAUGGUACAGCUGCAAUAACUAGUCAAUGUUGUUCUUGAAGGGUGCAAGGUAAGUCCUCGUGGGAAGUUUCUCUCUCACAUGAACUAUGAAGGCAUCAAAUAUUAUGGUUAUGGUGGUUGGUCUCAUAGUUUGUAUAUAAUAGAAGCCCAAUUGAGUUGUUAAAAGAAGCAAAUGAUUGUACAAAUGGUAUGACUAAUCGAGCAGGGAUGAUUGCCAUCAAAAGGCAAGUCUGUCCUAUGCUAAUUGGAAUUGGUGACUAAUUGAUGAAGAAUGAGCAUCGGAAAAUAAAGAAAAAAAAAAAGGAAAGCUUGAUUCAUGUUUUAGUAUUCCAAUGGUCAACACGGAAAAUAAAAUGAUGAAAAAAGAAACGUCCAAUGUACAUCAUUUGCUUUUCAGAUCAGGAACUCAAUUAUUUUCUCAUUCAAUGUAUAUUUUAAGAAACCGAAAAGCAGAAAAGUAAGAAGACAUAAAAGAGCAAGGGUCAUAGCCAACUGCUCCAACAACUCAAAGUUGCAUACUUCUCAGAGUUGUAUUCCAGCAAGAAAGCAUACAUAAUUUGACCCCAUUUGCAUUUUAACACCGCUGUUCCAAGAAAACCUCCAAGGAGCAUGGAUGUCGUCACGUAAAGCAUAUAGCCACCACUAAUGUUCUUUGCUGUAAUUCUUUUUUCUUUCGUCUCUUAGAUUUUCUAUGGUGUACCAGAUCUAAUUAAAUUACUUCCCUGAAAUUGCUGCAUGGCAUGUACUACCAAUUAACAGUCCAUUUGUUUGAAGCCCUGCUUUUAUUUAGGAAGUUAGCCUUCCUUGCAUCUUUUAUUUUCCCCGGAAGCCCGGGUCGGGUGGCAUUGAGAAAAAAGAACAACCCACAGGAAUGAGGAGGAAGGCUUUUUGUGCUUGGGAGGUCUUGACAAAUUUCAGUCAUGAAAUUCAAAAGCAAAGGACAGGAGCAGUUGUAUAGAUCCUCAAGAGUUCUGGAUUAAGAAUUACCUUUUUCUUUGACGACGAUUGAUUGGAAAUAGAGUGGAUCCCUAAGGGUCAAAUUUGCUCCCCUAGUUGAAUAUUAGUGAAGAUUAAAGUAUAUAUUGAACUAUUUGCUGUUCAGGUUCUUGAUAGUGAAAGAAUUCACUCAGAGUAUUUCUAUCUUUGGCUUAUUUUAUUCUCUUUUAUCCUUAUAAUUGAAAUUGAAAGGGUAGCAUUAUCCUGACAAAAUUUUUACUUUCAACCUACAAAUAUGUGAAGCUAUAAUCUAUAUAUUUUCUUACAUAAACAAAAAUUCAAAUUAAGACAAUUAUUAUUAUUUUAAGAAAGGAUAACACUGUCGAUUACCUUAAUGCAUGUAGUCUAAAAACCAAAGAAAACAAUCAUAGAUGUGGUCUCAGACUUCAUACACGGCAAAGACCAGAGAUGGCAAAUGGACAGCAAAAUGAUUGGUUCCAUGGCAUCGCAAAUAAAGCUAGAGGCAAUUGAAUUUGAGCCCCCUUAGUAGUUGUUCCAUCCCACAUAUAUGCUAAUUGUUAUUGUUUUUCAGGCAAUUGGGUGGAACGGGCCAUUUGCUGAUUUUAACACUGUUGUACUCAAUCGGGCACGGUAGGAGCAGUGGUGGGUAGCCGGUACUCCAUCUCUUCCCCUAAAUACCAUACUCCACUUGAACAUGAACUUGGCUCCUACCAAAGAAUUUAAGUCCUGAUGGGUGUAACUUGCCACAAUAUAUGUGAUUUCCUCGACUCAAAUCUAUACGGAUGCAUCUAGUUCGAUUGUGAUUCAAUUCUCGUCGAUUCUCUAAUUAAUCCAGUUGGACCCUUCCUUCAAUUAGAUUAGAGUAAAAAUAGGAGUAGAAUAAAUAAACAACGAAUGACAAAAAAAACACGGAAAAAAAAAAAGAACAUGGCUCCUUAUUAAUGCGGAGAGCACUUAUUUUGGAAUGACAAUAAAUGAUUUUCACUUUUUUUUUUGGAAUUUAACCUGAAUUUUCCACGAGUGGAAGAAUAUAAACACCAAAAGGAAACUGUGAAAAAAGCUUGAAGAAGAAAUAUAUUUACUUGUAAUUCCAUGUUGAUUUGUUGAAUCGGCAGGAGUAAUACGCAGCCUUCUUUCGAACGUUCGUGUUGAUUUCUCAAGUCUUGAGUCAUGCAAUUCAAUUUCAAUUCGUUAGCCAUCUCUCUCAUUUGCCCCGGAGAAACGUUCCAAGAAAUUCCUCUUCAUCGGCAGUUUCCAUUUGCCAAUGACCCGAUCAAAGGAGAUGAAAUGUAAUCCACUGGCUUGCUGGAUUUUCCUAGAAAUCCAGUGUACCUUUUCUUCCUCUUAUCUUUCAGCUGUCCCUCUCAAACUUUUUGCCCCUCUCCCACCCACCCCCCUCCCCUUUUUUGUUUUUUAUUGUUGCAGGGAAAACUUUUCUGUAACUUAAUUUAUCAUAUUUAACAGGGAGGAGAGUCUAAAGAACGGAUAUAUAGAUUUGAUUCGAUUAAAGAGGUGUUUUGAUACUUUUUUUAAAAAAAUUUCACAGUAGAUGAGACUCCUAAUCUACUACACAAAGAGUGAUUUAAUCCCUGUUUGAUAACCACUAAGCCAAAACUUGGUAGUUCUCCCACCCCCUUUUAAAAGCAACAUUCUUUCGAUUUGCCAGUAGACCAUUUACAUUGAUUUAGAGUCUAUACACAAGUACUGAAUCAACAUAUAAUCACGUAAUAAAUAUUAGGAUUUUAUUUGAGUAAAUCUUAUAUAUACUAACGGUGUAUAUACUAUCACAAUUGGAUAUACGACAGAUAUAUAAAAUUUGAGUUUCAAAUUUAAGUUCGGAUUAUAUGUCAUGCAUCUAACGGUAAAAGUGUAUACACUGUCAGUGUAUGGAAGAUUAAUCCAUUUUGAGUAAAUCUUGUAUUUAAGUUUCAAAUUCAAAUUCGGAUGAUGCGUCAUACAUCUCACGGUAAAAGUGUAUAUACUGCCAGUGUAUAGAAGAUUAAUCCAUUUUGAGUAAAUCUUGUAUAUACUGACGAUGUAUACACUAUCACGAUUAGAUAUACGAUAUAUAUAUAAAAUUUGAGUUUCAAAUUCAAAUUCGGAUUGCAUUCAAGAGUCAAAAGGAUGCAUUUUGUAAAAGAUGCACCAAAUUUAAGCUAGUUUCUUUUAGCAGCCACAAAGCUGAGGCCAUCUAUAUUCACUUUUAAUUUUUUUGAAGGCAUGAAGCUCAUGUUACAUCAGGGGUGAGACCAUGCAAAGAAACUCGUGUUAUUUGAAUUUGACCGCUUAGUUCCUUACAUUUGAAUUUCAACUUUAGUAAGUAUAACAGCCCGCCAUUUAUGUUCUAACUUAAGCCCGUAUUAAAUCAUUAAAAACCCCCCAAUUAACGACACACCCUAAAAUUGGUCAAUACUAGUAUUUUGACCCGUGCUAUGCGCGGAGUUAUAUUUCACUUUGAUUUCUGCGAAGGUACAAUGCAACACACCAUAAGUGAAAAGAUAAACAACGCGGGCCUGUAACACUGACCAGUGACCGCCACCUAAGCCGGAAUAGUAUUUACCAGGUAGUUUACAAUUGGAAAUAUUUUUUUGAUUGUAUUUUUUACACUUGGGAAUUUCGUAUGACUGCAAGGCUAUUGUAUUUUUUUACAUAAUAUGUGUUGAGAUAUGCCAAUUUCUCUACAGAUUUUUUUAGAUUGUUUUUGAUAUUAGAAUAAUUUAGUUAAUAAAAGAAUACGUCUUGUUAUUAGGAUAUAUGUUAUUCAAAGAUCAUAUUGGUUUUUUAACAAAAUAUUUUAGUUAAGAUUUGCUAGUAGAAAAUUAUGUUUUGUUGAGAUUUUAUAGGAUAAUUAUUAGUUAGAUGUUUUGUUAAUUUGUUUUACGUAAGUUGAUGAAUGAAUAACAUAAGUUCAUUUUCCAGCUUCAUACAAGUUUCUUAUAAGUCAUUUUUUUGCAACACUAAUAAAUACCUUUUUUUUUUUACAAGUUUCAUACAAGAUUAUGUUUCUCAAAAAUAUUUUUUUUGUGUACAUUAACUUCAUACUACAUAAAUACAAAUACUUUUGUAAACGCACCUCAAAUAUACCACACCAAUAACAUCUAAUACCAAUCAUAAUUACCUCAAAUCCAUUUACUAAUACCGAGAGAAACACAUGCCUACGUGGAAGCCCCUAACUUGUCUCGUAUCGCACAUGAGUUUCAGCAAUGUGGACCCACAUGCACCACGUGUCCGAAUAACAAUGCAGUUCUCGUACAACAUGAAACGCAGCUUAACAUUUUCCCCCUCAGAAUUUUAUGCAGUUGAACAAAGAGCCCCUUCCAGUCUUAAAAACAGUAGUGUAGCAACAAUUCUCUAUGCUUUUGCAAUUCCGGCCUCUCUCUCUAGGCCUCCCACCAAGUCCCAUCCCCUCUCUCUCUCUCUCUCUCUCUCUGCCAAAAAAAAAAAUGAGGGGGGACUGGAGGGCCUUAACCACCCUUUAGAUGAGUCCCCCACCUUCCGCCGCCACCAUCGCCACCGCCAUCAUCAUAACUACCAUCCUUAUAUUCACCGUCACCAACCCACCUCCCUCAGCCUAUGCACUCGGAGGCUCUGCCACCACGGUGGCCGUCAGCUACGGCUCGGCCACCACCAUCUGUACCUUACUCGCCGACCAACCCACCCAGCAAAUUCAAUGCUGGAGGAACGGCCAGGUUUUCCUAUCCAUCUACGCCCCCACCGUUUCUUUCGACUCCAUCGCUGGCGGUCUUGACACCGUCUGCGCUGUCCGCUCCGGCGGAUACAGCCUCCUGUGCUGGAAUGUUGCUAACUUCACCCCCAAAAGACUCUACCUCGGGUCUUCAACCUUGUUAACAAGCAUUACAAUUGGGGAUACUCAAAUUUGCGCCUUAACAAACGGUGCUACUAACGUCCGUUGUUGGCGCGGGGAGUCUCAUUCAGCAAGUUCGCCAAAUGGGACGUCGAGUUUCAGUUCAAUUUCAUCUGGGCUGGGCUUUUCUUGUGGAGUUGUGGGGAAUACUAGUAGGGUUGCUUGUUGGGGCAGUAAUACAAACACGGAUAUUCUAGCUUCAAAGAUAGAAACACAGUUUGCAAAUAUGUCGAUGAAGAACAUAUUUGCAGGUGGACAGCAUGCUUGCGGGAUGAAUACAGGUGGAGUGGUUAUUUGCAGAGGGAAUAACGACAGUGGUCAGUUAAAUGUGCCCGCUAAUUUCGGGUACGAGUACAAUGCCUUAGCUCUUGGUGCAAAUCAUACCUGUGCUAUUAGGUCACUAAACCACACAGUUGUUUGUUGGGGAGGAGGUGGAGAAUUUUCUAGCAGUGUUACGGAAGAUACCUCAUUUGAGUCAAUUGUUGCGGGGUUGGAUUUUACUUGUGGAUUAGUUACGAGUAAUUUUUCAGUGAUUUGUUGGGGGCCUGGAUGGCCUAAUAACUUGAAUCCUGCAGGCGUCGGGCUUCCAUUGCAGAGGACUCUUCCGGGGCCAUGUGUUCGUAGUAUUUGUAGAUGUGGUAUAUAUCCUCAAUCUCAAACACUCUGCUCUGGUAAUGGUAAUAUUUGUUGGCCUUGUGAUAUUAAAAUUUUAGCUCCACAGCCACAACCAUUAGGUCCAUCACCAUCGCCGCCUCCGCCUUCAAUUGGUCCAUCACCGUCCUCGCCCUCUAAAGCGCUGAGGAGGGGUUUAUUGGCCUUUGCCAUCGUUGGAUCAGUUGGGUGUUUUGCUGGGAUUUGUACUGUAGUUUAUUGUUGGUGGACUGGUGUUUGUUUUGGGAAAAAGAAAAUUCAUAAUUCAGUGCAACCUACUAUUAGUGCUGCUAGUGCUCCGCAGCAAUCAAACAGUAGUCCACCCUCAAGAUCAUCCACUCUUAGGCGGCAAGGAUCACGCCUGAUGAGGCGACAGAGGAGCGGAACAUCGUCAAAACAUGCGGACAGGGCAGAGGAGUUUUUGUUUCAAGACCUCGCUGCGGCCACCAACAAUUUCUCCAUGGAGAACAAGAUUGGUGCUGGGAGCUUUGGGGUUGUUUACAAAGGCAAAUUACUUGAUGGGCGCGAGGUUGCGAUUAAACGGAGCGAGACAGGUCCAAGAACGAAGAAAUUCCAAGAGAAAGAGAGCGCAUUUGAAUCAGAAUUAGCAUUCCUGUCGCGGCUUCAUCACAAGCAUUUGGUUAGGCUCGUGGGGUUUUGUGAGGAGAGGGAUGAAAGGCUUUUGGUUUACGAGUACAUGAAAAAUGGCGCGCUUUAUGAUCAUCUGCACGACAAGGACAAUGUGGAGAAGAGCAGCAGCGUGGUGAAUUCUUGGAAAAUGAGGAUAAAGAUUUCACUGGACGCUGCUCGGGGCAUCGAGUACCUUCACAACUACGCAGUUCCACCCAUAAUUCACAGAGAUAUCAAGUCAUCCAACAUAUUGAUCGAUGCAAAUUGGACUGCCAGAGUCUCUGAUUUUGGAUUAUCACUAAUGGGUCCAGAAUCGGAGCAAAAACAUUUUAGGCCGACCAAGGCAGCUGGGACAGUAGGCUACAUCGAUCCAGAGUACUUCGGUCUAAACGUAUUGACAGCAAAGAGUGAUGUGUAUGGUCUUGGGGUGGUAUUAUUAGAACUCUUGACGGGGAAGAGGGCUAUUUUUAAAGCAGGCGAAAACGAUGGUGCACCAAUGAGCGUGGUGGAUUAUGCAGUACCGGCAAUUAUGGCUGGGGAAUUGACCAAGAUUUUGGACCCGAGGGUCGGGCCGCCGGAGCUCAACGAAGCGGAGGCGGUGGAGCUGGUGGCGUACACCGCAAUGCAUUGUGUGAAUUUGGAAGGCAAAGAUAGGCCGACCAUGACCGAUAUCGUUGCUAAUUUGGAACGAGCAUUGGCUCUGUGCGACGAUAGUCAUGGCAGCAUAUCAAGUGGUCCAAUAUCCAUUGUUUCAGAUUGAACUCAAAAACAACUCCAGGUCACAAAAUUUUCAGUUUUUUCUAUUUAUUCUUUUCUUUUUUUCCCCCCGGUCAUUAGUAACCAAUUGAUGUGGGGAUUCUUUGUUUUGGAGUGUAAAGAGUAGGAUAUUUGUUCUAACGCGGGACGUAGCCUAGAAUUUUAUGAACGCUGACAAGCAAAUAGAAAGAUCGAUAAUUUAUUUUCAUGGAACAGCUACACUACUGUAUAUCCUCAAUUUCUUUUCUGUCUAGAAAUGCUCAUGUAUCGUUUUUUUUUUUUUUUUUUGGGUAAUUUGGACUUGGUCAGCCUUAGAGGGGGCUUUUUAUCCAAGGUUUUUAUGGUUUCACAAAUGUCCUUAAAUAAAUAUUAGUAUAUUAGAACAUGGGAUGAUAUGUAUAUAUAUAUAUAAAACAAAAGAAGUCUAAAACCGUAACAAAAGUGGUCCAGCGGGGCAUUUAAAACUUGCACGUUGGGCUAAUUUACUUCCUACUGAGAAUUGACUUUGAAAAUUCCAUUAAAAGCGGUCAAUUAAAAUCAAGUAGUCGCUCCAGAUGAUGACACCUGUAGGGCGGGCUCUCCUGUAUCCUCCUCCCAAGGCGGACCCACCCUGAGUUGUUUUGUCCUCCUCUUCCUCCUGCACUGCACGUUGAGUUUCUAUCGACUGUCUCCCAGGAAAUGUGAACUCUUGCUGGCUGUGUUGCUGCUCUGGCGCCGCCGCCUGCAAAACAUGUUUACUCGGUCCUCCUAAGUUUUUUAGUAGAACUUCCAAAUGUUCGAGAUAUUUUAAUUUUAAUUUUUAUAUGCACCAAGAUUUCAAGAUAACCAGUGCAGUGCACGGAGGGAUGGAUUAAGUGAUACGAUAAAAAGAGAUUAUAAAUGAGACAUUUCGAAUUCAAAGCUUUUCAUUUAAAUAAUAAUAAAAAAAAGUCGGACAUGAAAAUAACUAGUACAUGACGUCUGUAUUAGUACUGUCUAAUGUUCAUUUGGUAAUUUAUUGGAUACCUUUCUUUUUAUGAAUUGUUAGUUUACACUAAUAGCUAGUACAUGAUGUCCGUAUUAGCACGUUUGUCAUUCAUUUAGCAAUUUGUUAUGGAUAAUUUUUUUUUUUAUAAAUCGUUAGUGUAUAAUUUUUUAAUAUUGAUAAAUUUAAAUCAGGUUACAUGACAUAAUUCAAAUUGAAAAUUUAAAUUAUACACGACGUCGCAUACAUACAUCUAAAAGUUACUCCCUCCGUCCCACUUUGAUAGUCUUGUUUUCCUUUUUCGUCUGUCCUAAAUUGUAGUCCACUUUCCCAUUAAGAAAUGUAGUAAUCUUUCAAAUUGUCUAAAAUACCCUUAUUAAAUAUCUUGUUAUUAAUACAUUGUUAUUAAAUACUAACCCACUACAUUGAAUACAUUGAGCUUUUCUAAUACUAACCCAUUAGCUGUAACUGAUAUUAAUUGGCACUCUUCGUGAUUAGCAUAAGGGUAUUUUAGGAAAUUAUUAAUCUAAAUUUAUGUUUCCAACUAAAUUAAUUACACUUUCUUAAUCUGUGUGCAAAAAAAAAAUCAACACUAACAAAACGGGACGGAGGGAGUAAUUCAUAGCAAAACCAAUUCUUGAAAAUGAUAGAAGUAACUAACGUUCACCAAAUUACUCCGGUGCAAACAUUCUUGGUAUUAAAAGUCGGGACAAUGAAUGGUUGGCGGUUGAGAGGUGGAUUUGUAAAUGGGCGGCCGCAGACCAGGCCUCCCCAUGCACUAAUUCCUUGCUUCCAAUUUGCUUGCAGCUCUUUACAAACAUUUUUUUUUUUUUUUUUUUUAAAAGAAGAAGAAGAAGAAGAAAUCCUUCAUUUUUAUUGCGGGGCGUAGAUCUCAACGAUGCACGUGAGGAGGAUGUGAUUCUAUUGAACCCGUGCUAGUGAGUCGUGAGAAGGGGAAGAACAAUCAAUCUUCACAGUUACGGUGGAGUGCGCCGAGGUUCUUUAUGGGAGGAUCCGAAGAAGCGAGAGAAAUUUGUGUUACAAAUCCAACGUAAGAAUCUACACUGCUGAUAAAUUAUCUGCAGUGAUAGCUACUAUCAUUUUCACGCCAGACACAAGAUAGAACGUCGUACCACAUUCCCAAUGUAAAAUUGGAGCUCGUGAUAUGAAUACGAUUGUGGAUUUUGUCAAAGAAAGACUGAACAUCUUCAUUUGCCCUGCCCGUGUCUUGAAUUCGUGAACACCCCAUAAUUAUUAAUUAAACAACUUUUUUGACUUUUCUUUACUUGUGACGUGGCUUCUGAGUCAAUUGGUCCAAGAACUUGGUCUAACUCAUCUUCCUGAAUCCUGAGUCAGUCGUCUACUCCGAGUUCGAACCCUCUCACCUCGUCACAGCAAUAUUUUGGCAGCAAGAACCUGGGAUUUAGCAUAAGAUAAAAAAGUCAUCCAGAUUUUUAAGUUGUAGAUAAAAAUAAUUGUGUUUUUUCUGCACAGAAAUCUUCAAAGCUUCAAUCCUCUGUCUGGUAAAAGCUCUACUACGGUUGACAACUUUUGAGAUGAGUGAUUUGUGCGUUCACUUUUUUGACCCAGAUAAGGAAGGAUUAAGGAGGGAAGGCAAGAAAAUUUCUCCAUUCUCAAGCCCAGAAGUCCUACCUCUCAAUUUCCCUUCUAAGACACCUUUGGGUCAAAGCUUACCGUUACAUGAAAGAGAGAGAACCUCUAGAUGGCCUUAUUGAGUGAGUAGUAAUAAUUUUGGAACUCGGGCAAUGCAUCAUUUGAUUUGGGGUUCCAAAUUCGCCCAUAUGAUAGGGAUUGGGGGAUUGAAAUGUUGAAAUCAGGAAUGCACUGGUAGUGUACCCCUUUUUUUUAAAAUUUUGUUUUAUUUAUUUAUUUUUUUAAAAAAAAGGUCUGUCCAAGUAAUUGAAUUGAACAUUUUUCCAUUUUCAUUGUCGUUUAAAAUAGCUGCAUGAAGCCAAAGGGAAGUUGUUGCGCUGCAGAGAUCCCCAACCAACCAAUGAUUACUACAGUGUAACGUGUACACUGUACACGACGACUCCUGCUCUUUCUUCGCGGUCAAAAUUUUUGGUCAUCUGAUGAUCCCGUCCACUUUUUGUUUGACUUGGUGAAUUUUUUGUUUUUUUCAAAGCACGCUCAUAUUGAUACCAAAAAUAGAGUAUUGAAUAUUGACUGAAGUAUGACAAUUGACAGGUCGGGGUAACCAACAGAACAGGGUGGGGUUAGCUUUGCUCAUCCCAGGCAAAUUGCUCGUUUGUACCACCUAAUACGAUCGAGCGAGCGAAAUGGACAUGCUCACGUAAAUGGACAGCAUCACAAGGAAGCAUAUAUUUUCUUUGUUCUUAAAAAAUUUAGAGAUUGCAACACCCAAUCUCCAUACGAGUCCCUUUUUUUCAUAGUGCAGAUUAGUAUAUACCAGUUCUUUUGUACGAAUAGGAUAAAUUGUUGCCGUUGAAGAAAAAAAAAAAAGUGAGGCUGGCUUGCUUAUCCCGAGCAAAUUGUGCGUUUGCAUUUCUGAAGCGGUCCAAUUUCUGUUUAUCCCAACCAAAUUUCUUUUUUAAGAUUUGCCAAAGCCGAGAAAGAGCAAAGACGAAAAGGGAAGGCAAUUAACAACAUCGACCCCCCCCCCCCCCCCACAGAAGCUAGAAGCACGUCCAAGCCUCGUCGUUCAUCCCUUAUAGCAGCAACCCAGACAAAUGGAUGAAGAUAAGGAGAAUCAUGGGAGGAUGAGGCCUAGUUGGUGUUGGUGGUACACGCUUUGAUUGUAAGUUCCUGUGGGGUGCGUCCACUAGAAUUGAAUCAUUAAAUGAUGCACGCCCCGCUAAGCCAAACUCUCCAUAUAUUCGGGAGGGGAAGAUGAAGAUGAGAGAUGUCGGUCGGGCAUGGGGUUAUACAGGGCUACUUUGUGGAGACCACGCGGGGCUAGAGCUUUUACUCCAGCCACCGCCGUGUGUGCGCGCCUCCGCCUCUCUCUCUAUUCGGAAGAUAUGCACACACCUGUUCCUGUUCCUGCUCCUGAUCGCCCCUUCUGCCGCCCCUAUUUAUUGUUAUCCAGACUUGUUCAACAUCCACCAAGAACCUUUCAACAAUCUUCUUUUACAAGUAACAUUCCGCUAGGGGCCGUAUUCUAUUACUUCCAUGCCUACAACAAUCAAUCUUCCUGUUAACUGGCAAACUCAAUACGCGAUCAAUGGGGUUAACAAAGUUCUUCAUGUGACUAAAUAACAAAUGGAUAAAAUCCAAGAUUCUGAAACAUCCUCUAGCCUAGUAAUAUAUGCUCGGUAAGUCCUACACGGUGCAGCUUUAUUAAAAUCAUUAAACAGAAAAAUGAAUUCUUUGAUGACUGAACCCACUCUCACUCUAUACUUACCUAAAACCACACUCCUUGACAACUGAUAGUAGUAUUACUACUACGUGCUAAUCAGAUUCGAGGGUAUAUUCUUCUUUGCCGUUGUAGUUCAGCUUCAUUCAUCCAAUCUGACAGCCACAAAAGGCCAUUGUAUCCACAGUAUGCUACUGCAAUCAGCGUUACCAAAAUGAUGACAAUCAAAAGCACCUUUCUCGUAGCACCACUAAUAACCUGCCCAGCAAUAACAGAAAUCACCCUUAGUAAACCUACAGCAACAACAAACACAAAAUGUCUCAUUACUUCUCUCACGAUGUGACAAACCUGCAGUCUGGAAGCUUUCUUGUCUUCCUGAACCCGCUCCCUUCGCCUUCUUCGUUUUGCUACGGGUUUCUCACCAUCUGGUUCCUUUUUCUGUGGAAGCAGAAGAAAAGAACUAGAACUUAAAUAUCAAGCAUCAGGCACAUGCAUCACAACAUUUCCAUCAUGGCAACAACCUAUACACAAUACAAGGUGUCUAAACUCCAUCAAAGAACAACUUGUCAACAAGAAUAACAUAAUCAAACUUUAGGAUCUCCCAUUCUUCUCUAAAAAUUUAAUCUUCUUGAAUUUCACAUAGCAGUCCCAAAAGACUGGCAUAUUUGUUGAUGCCAAAAGAAUAGCAAAUGUGACAUUAUCACAUAAAUCAACAUAUUUAACAGGAAGUCAGGAAUUGCCUGUGUCACUACAGAUUUACGAAGUUGUAACUCAGAAUCAGUGAUCUUCAUUUUACUCCUGCAAUCCGGAUCACAAGGGAGAAGUCCAAGUCCAAAUUGAGUUUUAGGCACAUCUUUGGGAUCAGACCCAGCAUUCCUGUAGGCUUCUUGCACGUCUUUGCACGACCACUCCUUCUUCAAGGUCUGGCAUCCGCACCGAACAAUAACCUUAUGCAAGGAAGAUAAAUAGUGAAAUUCAAACUACUGGUAAAAGAGUCUCAAAGUGAAAAUAUUCGGAAAAUCACAAGGCAGUAAGGACACAAGCACAUGGAAAGUAGAAUGAUGAAGUAGUGCGCUGCAAAAUUAAACUACAAAACUGUACUAGACAACUAUAAACAAAUUUAACUUCAGGAUCAUAAUCUGAAUUUUGCAGAUUGUUUUGAUUUUACAGAACGAGAAUCCAAAACACAUAGCUACAUAUGAGGAGAAAUUUCCAAAAGUAGGAGAAAAUGAUUGUUCAUCCACGUAACAUAAAAUUACCUUUUUGGAGCACUUGUCAGGUGAUGGACAUUGACCACGAUGACAGAUCUCUGGACAUAGAUGCGUACAGUUUGGUAGCUUUCUGUUGCGCCAAAAUCAAAACUUUAACAUCACUAAAUUAGUUCAUAAACUUGAGGUUUCAUUUGCAUACCUCUCCCAAAUCUCAACAAAAGGAUUUGAUAUUAAAGAAGGAUUGAAUUGCAUAUAAUGCCUAAAGAAUAUUCCACACCCUUAAACAUUAAAAGCAAACACAUUCUAAGAACAGAGACUUAAAAUGUUGGAAAACUAGCAGUAAUUGAAAUCUAAAAUCAUAACAACCAUCCCAGGUGGUACUGUGGUAGCAACAAUUCUCACUACAUGACUGCAUUGUAGCAUAAUACUAGGGUUUUUCCAAAGAUAAGAAACCUUCAGUCCAAAAUAUAUUCACCUUUUAUUUUCACACAACACAACAGUACUAAAUCUACUAAUCAAAUAAAGGCAUGCUUUUUUCACACUGAGCUAUUAUAAAUAGAGAUAAAAUUAAAGCCUAUGUUACAGGCUGUACUUUCUAUUUCACAUCUCCUUUUCUUGCCCCCAGAUCUUUUAUGCUCAAAGAGUUCAUCAUAACUCCACUAAUGAAUAGCAAGCUCAAUUGUAGGAAGAAAAAUAGUCAUUUCUAUGAAGGAACCAACUACUACUUGUCGCCUAAACUGGCUUAUGUGAGCCAAUCCCCGAUGAUUUACUGCUGUUUUCUACAGAUUACAUGCAAUUGUUAUUCUUCUUUUUAGGGACAAUCUAUCAGAAGAUUGUACUAUAGUCUUCUAAAGCUUUAUCUAAACCAGUCUAUCCAUUUGUUUCUUAUAACUAGGCCUUAAAGAAAUUUCACCUAGGAAAUACUUGUACAUUUUUGGCAAAUAAUUUCUUUUAACACAAAAAAAAAAAAAAACUCAUGCAGGGAAGGGUAAUAAAGUAUAAAAACCCAGAAACAAAGAUGAACAACAAUGAAAGAUAAUGUUCCUGCUGGUAAAAGUUAAACUUCGAUAAGGUCUCUUCAAAAUGUCAAUUACUUUUGGGUCAAGCUACCAAAUUUCUCAAAGCAAUAUUAGGUGUUAAUGUUACAUUAUUUCCAUAUUUAUGGGAUUUUGGAUAGCAAUGCAUAGUUAUCAGGACAAAGAGUUCGUACGUUAAAAAGAAAGUUAAAGGGGACAAUCACUUCUAAAUGGAUUAAGUGUAUUAAUCACUUGUCAAUAUAGCCCUUUAUACAGUUUUUUUCCAGUUCUUUUGGAACUUUCCGAUGUCCCUACUUACAUAUACUUAAAGAAACACAGAAAAGAAGAAAAAAGGCGCUUGGAUCUGUACCCAUGGUUCUUUCUGCUCCAAUACUCAUUUAUUAGCAUAUGAAAAAAGAAGAUACAGUCUGCUGUAUGCCCUGAGGAAAAAAUAAAGGAAAGGAAGAUAUAUUACCUAUGACAUGGUCCUCCGCAUGAACGAACAGCCACUUGCUCCCUUUCGUCCAAACUAUUGUAAUAUAUGCACUUAAGAGCAUGAACCAUGGCACCGCAGUGGCAUGCACGCUUUAUUAGUGAAUGACACGGAGGGCAUUCUCCAGGAUGACACACCAAAGGGCAAGGAUGUGGACAAGGAGGGCUUCUCUCCUGAACGGUUCACAAGUAAAAGAUAGACAUACUUGAUACUAAAAUUAUUUGAAAAUACUGAAUUAUGAAUCUGUAAAUGCAAUAUUCAAAAUGUGAGGGAUCUUGUAGAAAGUUAGUUGCAAUAGCAACUAGUUAAGUUUUGGUGGUGAUCAAAAAGCUGAGAGCAACGAUUGAAAGUCUUACCUUUUGGCAAGGAAGAUUACACUCUUCACAUGAUUCAGCCAGUACAGAACUAUAUGAUUUCGAAUCGCUCUUCAAGGCAUGGCAUAUCUUUGUACAGUAAUGGUUGCCACAGGAAAGAAGAGUGCCACAUAAGUUGUCGCAUGAAAACUCUGCUGGAUUUGAGCAGAUCAUCUAAAAGGUGGAAGACAAAGAUGGUCAAGACUUUUCAAGAAAAGCAGACACGUGACACAACAAAGAGGUAAGAACAAGGAAUGCCCCACUUCUCCUUCCCAUCCACAAACACGCGCACACACACACUUGAAGGAGAUAGAAAAUAAAAAAUUCAAGUAUAUAUAAGUUCUGUGCGAACCAUCCUCUCUGCUCCUAUGUGAUUGCCAACACAUGAUCUCCACACCAGUUCAGGACAAGGAGGGCACAAUGUACCAGGAAUAUGUUCAGCCUCAUGACUUGACUUCUUUUUCUUUGGUUUCAAUGUAAACUCUGGAAGGGCAGGAGGUCUAGGGCCAUGGCACCUUUAAAAAGCACUACCAUCAAUAAUGCAUUGUAGUUUGAGAAAAGUGUGACUAGAAAAAGAGGUAUAACAAACUUCAGUAGAAUUGAAACCUUAAUUUGCACUUGUGCCCACAUGAGUAUUCUUCAUCACAGAUCAGACGACAAGGAGGGCAAGCUCCAUAAUGACACUUGUGUGGCUGAAUAAAUGUCGAAAGGAUUAGAAAUCAAAACUAGGCCGAAGAUAAUAACCUAGUAACACACACACACACUCAACAAUUUCACAAAAGUAGUACAAAAGCUUUGACUUCAGAAGAAAUGAACAAAAUACACAAGAUAAAUGGAAAGGAAGUUUCUACAAUGGUUCCAUAUCAAAUAUCAGUACAGUGAAUAAUUACAAACCUUGCAAAUUAACCUGUGGGUGCACAAUGGAGCUACACGACAUCGUUUGGGACAUUUAGGAGGCUUUUGCUCGGUCUCUGUGCCACAUGGAACCUAAGUAUGAAAUUCAAAGAAAGUUGUUAAUCAAUGUAAAGCAACAGAUUUAACAGUACAAGUAAUGCUCAUAAUUCUGCAUCAAUUGCAGAAGUUAAUCAAAAUGAGAUGUUACAAGUAAAAGAUGUUCAUAUUCAAAUCUACUUGCUUCACAACAAUAUACUGUACUUUCAAAAUGUUUCCCAACCAAAAAAUUAUAGUAUUACUACUUGAGAAAGAAAAAGUUUUAACUUUUCUCCCAUUUUUGUGCCUUAGCAAGCACCACAUCCGGAACGCUCCCAAUCCACAAACAUGAAACAUAAUGUACAUCGUAUAGGCAAAAAAGAGAUUGCACUGCUUUGUUAUAUGUUGUGACAUUUUCGGCAAUAAACAUUGCUUGUAAAGUUUCAUAUUAAUUGCAGAGGGGAAAAAGUGCUCACCUCAAAAUGUGUUUCCCCACAUGAACAUGAAAUCAUCACCAUCAGUGGACAAGGAGAACAGGCACCUCUAAAGAAGCAAAAUAAAAAUCAUUGAUAAUUUGUAACAUUAGUCUGGGCCAACAGAAGACCUAAUUUAUUUGAUUAGCUUCAUAAUUCUGGAAUUCACAAGUAAUUAUGUGGCACAACUACAGGCUUAACAUCCACAACUCGUUAAUUCUUUUAAAGGCAUUUUGUGCAAUAUACUGUACUCAAUAUUCGUUUCCAGGCUAAGCCAAAUUAAACUGUUUCAGUUGAGUACAAAAUUAUCAUUUGCAACCAAAUGUUGCAUAAUAUGAUGGUCCUUCAAACAUCCUAACCUUUUUAAGAGAAAAGGACAAUCUUCUCUUGAGAAAGCAAUUUUAAUGAUUCCUCAAAAUAUACAAGUGAACAAGUCUUUAUACUAAAUGUUACAAGAAAUUAAAAUGUGUAAUUGCUAAAAAAUAUAUUAUGUCUCCUUAAUCUUUGAUAAAAUGAAAAACCAGUCAGCAGAUGUAAGUAGGAUUCUACAUGGAAGCAAACGAAGUACAGAGUUAUGGUAAGUUUCACAUCACACAAUUCACCAAGAAGUGAGAUUUCAAGCAACGACUACAAUCUAAAGGAUCACAAGAUACCUAUGGCACGGAGCAGGGCAUUUGUGAUUCCUACAUCGAAGCCUCCUGUCACAAAUCUGCUACACCACUGGUCACACAUUUGCUGACAAUUAACUUCAAGAGACAGACUAAUACAGAAACUUUACACAAACCUCAGAACAAGGUGGGCAGUCCCCAUCACAACAGCGACGCUUGCAAGCAUGACGCCCACAAUCCCGCACUUUCUGGCACUUCCUUUCACAUGUUAAAUCUUGAUAACAAGGAAUCUGCUCUAAAAUCAAUUUACCAAUCUCAAUCCCAACUUCGUUGAUAAAAGAAUUUAUCUCAUUUUACCAAUCACUUUAAGAAUUACCUGUUUCCUUGCGCUUCCACACCUGCAGGACUUGGUUACAACUGUCCUGCAAGUCUCAAUGCAAGGCCCGCGAUGACAUCUUUCUGGGCACCUAUGGAAUCCACAGCUCAACAGCUUAUCACAAGUUGCUCCACAGAGAGGCACAGCAACAUCACAAGCCAUCCCUUCAUACACUCUCUUUCCACAAGGACAAGUCCUCUUCCCCUGGAGUGGACACUCACCACAAUUACCUUUAUGACACCCUCUCUCACAAACAUGCCUCCCACAGCCAAGCAACUUCUGGCAUGGAUUUUCACACCUAAAAAUCCUCUCACAACACUCUCUUUCCAGCUCCACCUUCCCGCAUUGGCACUUAUAAACCCCUUUUUUGCGACACAUCGGACAGUCACCAUCAUGGCAAAUUUCACCACACCUAUGGCUUCCACAAGCUAAUGUCUUUCUACAAACGCCUUUACAAGAAAAAUCCUUAAACCCGCAACGUCUCACGUCCUCUGUAGCCCCACAAUAACACUUGGUUUUAACCAAUUUCGGGCACGAGGGGCAGGGCCCUGGGUGACACAACAACAAGCAUUCGUGCCCACAAUUGUAUGUCAACGGCCUACCACAGAUUUCUCCACAAGAAUGAGGUAAAAUCCAGGGAUCAUGAGGUGGGUUUUCGAGUUUUCCACAAAAACAAUAGUAAUACUUGGGGGUCUGCGAUUUGGGAUACUCGAUCCGGCAUUUGGGGCAAUGCCAGCGGAGGGUGUCAUCGUUAAGAGUGGCGGCGCGUGAGGCAGCCCGUGCAGCUGCAAGAUUUGAGGAUUGGUGGGCCCAGGAUUGGAUACAGAGGAGGUGGAAGACUGCGAAGCAGCGGGAGGAGCAGGACCAGGUGGGAUCGGUGGGUUUGAUCCGUUCAAGGCAUAUGAGGCAUGAGAGAGCCCCAGAGCGAGAGGAAGUAAGGAACGAUUGGAUCUUUAUCAGGUCUUGAUGUUGAGGGGAGGAUUGGUGACCGGUGAGUUCGAGGUAGGAUUUGAAGAUGGUGGAGGAGAGGUCAGUGUGUUGGUGCUGGCGGGAACUGGUGCCGGAGUCGGAAUCUGAGUCGGAGGACGGUGGAGAAAGUGGCGGUAGGAGGGUGGUGUUGGAGGUCGCCAUUACGGGACUUCCUGCGGAAAUGAGGGUUUGGGAUGAAAUUUGCCUGUUUGCUUGUUGAAAUUGGGGCGCGGAGUUUUCUAACCGUCACUUCCGCGCGGCACAUUUCCCUGCAAUGGCCAAUUUGUGACGCGCGUCACCCUGCAUUUCGUUCCCUCUUUUCCUGGUGCUAACUUCUUCUGCAUAUUAUAGCGGGGCAAUUUCUAUACUGUAACUUGGCUCUUCUUCUUCUUCUCCUUCUUCUUCUUUUUUAUUUUAUUUUGGUCUCGACAAAAUCCCUUCAAUGUUGCUUUUGGGUGAUAAAUGGAAAGCUUAAAUAUAACUGAAACUGUCCAUUAGAAAACGAGGAAACAGACCCCUCCUCCACUUUGAUGAAUUCCCGUCAGGUUAUGGUACAAGUAGUUUUUAGUGCAUUAUAUAGCGAACACUUGGUUCGUUGGUUGGCAUAUUUCUUUUCUCCCAUCUUGCUUUUCCUCUUUAAGACCAGACGGCUAGACGCUAGACAGACCUGGUAAGAUACCAGGCGAUAAAGGUUAGGAACCUGGUGAUAAAGCGAAUCCCAGAAAGGAUUUUGCUGUUCAGAACCAUGAUCGACUUAGUGGCCUUGCAGUGUUACGUUACAGCUUCAAGGACCUUCUUAGAAAGCCUGUUCUACAAGCUUUUGUAAAUCCAAAGUAGAAAACCACUAAAGCAUGAGUUUUUAAAGUGUUUCUUCUCCAGAAUGAGUAAAUAUCCCAACCGAUUUAUGAUGGAUUUUAAUUCAUUUGACAACAGAAAAAGUAAAUAAGAAUCCAUAAAAGCUGUAGGGCGAAGCAAGGCAACACAUAAAACUGUUUUGCAUUAUCAACUGAUCAAUUUAAGCAAAGUCUGCGUACUAUUUACAAUUUGACAUCUGCACCAUAGGAAGAGCGUAGAAGAAAUGAUGGAACGAGCAAGACUGCUAUAUAUUGUUGGCUUUGGUUCUGGGCUUUGACAAUAUACAGAUACACAUAACCAGGCAUUGUUUACACAAUCUUUUAUUGCAUUGCACAAAACCAAUGGAAUAGGGAAAAGAUCUUAUAAUUUACACAGAUGGGUAUAUACCAAGGAGGCGAGGACUGAGGAGCAAAAGCCAGAGACUUGCCAUUGCAUCAGAUGAACUGAAAUCGCAUCAGAAGCUUUACCGACCUGUAUGGCUCCCCUUUUUGAUUAUGAAGAGGAACAGCUCGGAUGCCUUCUCUUAGUUCUGAAGCAGGCAAGCAUGUUUGUCCUCCAAAGUCAUCCUUAUCAGACAUAUCAUACUCAUGAACUUCAAUCCGAAGCAGAGCCAAUUCAGGAACUGUUAGUGGGAAUUCAAAGUGUUCAUUCCAAUUAGGUAUCCAAUUGUCCUCCAGCGUCCUUGUUUUCUUCAUCAGAGUAUCAGCAGGAACUCCAGCAAUCCCUACCUGCAUGGAGAUAUAUUUCAACCUACUCAGACAUCAAUAACGCAAUCCACAAGAGUAAAUAUGUAACAGAAGGUUGUUCACAAAUAAAGCAAAUAGUUCUCAUUAUUCUCGUAUGCUCUUGAGCACCUUUACCAUUUUUCUUCUCUUUGAACAAUCUACUAUACUCUUAGGCCUUGUGCUCAAGAAAUAUGGCAAUAUAAAUAUCUUUUGCAUUAAAAAUCUAGUGAAGAAAUUAACUAAUCAAUAGCUACUACUACUAAAAAAAAGACUACAAAGAAGAAGGCUAUUGCUACAACACAACUGUUCAGCUGAGAGCUGAAACCUAAAUGCCUUUUUAAUCAAACAACAGUUGUUGAAACAGUUAAAAGUUGGCAAUGAACUAAGUUUACCAGAACAUGGAGAUAUAUACUCAGUCCUUACUUACCCUUGCGUAGAAAUCAGGAGGGGAGUAAGUGUCAAAGUGUGUAUGACGGAAAUCAUAAUACCAUCCCUCACCCAUGAAUACUGUCACCUGCCCAAUAGCAAGGGAUCAGGGUUGAAUGCGAAUCAAUAAGUUUAGUCAGGUUACAGUUUCAAUGGGAAUUCAUGCACAAGAACACUCUGAUAGGAACAUUACGACUCCCUUUCUUUUUUUAUAAUUGACGUUUAAGAAAUUUGCUCUAGUGUACUUUUAUCUAUCGUUUUAUUAUCCCCAUACAAUAUUAAUUAUUUUUUCACAAUUUUACCCUUUUAUCUCUCUUUUUCAAUACAGGGUUCUUAAUUACUACUCCUAGUAAUUAUUGCUUCUCUCUUUGUAACAACCCUAGUAAUUGGACAAUUAAUGAGGGUACAAAAGGAAAGUAGUGUACAGAUUUAAGCAAUGAAAAACUUUUCUUAAUUGGUGUGCAAAACCUUAAACGUCAGUUAUAAAAAAAGGGAGGGAGUAUAUUUUGGGAACACGAGAAGAUAUUUGCCUAUUUAUGCAAUUACAUUACAGAUUAGAAAAUUUAUUUUAUUUUUCUUGAAAAUUUGUCAGACAGCUUAUACUGAUGUAAAACUCAUCUCACCUUCAGUGUAGUUUUAACUGGUAAUUUGGCUUUAGGGUCAAAAAUCUCAUUACCAGUCUUCAAUAAGAUAUCUGGUUUUCUAACAUAUCCACAGCCACCAUUGGCCCUGAACAUUCCACGCAUCACCCAGAGUGAUCUUCCAUAACCCUGUUGAAGAAAAUUGUCACUGAAAAUUUCCUUGAAAUAGACUUUGGCCUAAUUACUAUAAAUUAAAAUGAAAGGUGCCAAUAAAUUUACAUUGUAAUAUGCCAACAUCGAAGAACAAUAUGACAAUCAAGAUAAAAUGAUAACCUGCAUGUUUAGUGCGACCAUCUGUGCCCCAUGCAUCCAUCCAAUGAGGGGAUUGUAAUUAGAUGAGUCAAAACGUAUUCCCUUUGGGUAUACUCUCAACAAGUUCCUCUGAGUAAAACUGAAAGAGGAAUAUAGAAAAGCCUGGACAGCUUAUUAAUUGGAAAUGAUUACUUAAUUCAAGCGCAAGGUCAAGAAUUGAAGCCUAAAGAGAGGUAUUAUGGAUUAUGUUGUCGAUUGGAGCAUCAAUGCAGCAAGAUUCAAGGAUGAAACAGUACAUUUUACAGGGCCUAGAUGAUCGAACUACAUACCAUGACUAUAAAACCCCAUUAAUGAAGGCAAAAUAAGCUGAAUACAUGUGUAUCUGAGUAUCCAGCAAGAACAAUUGUUCUAACUAUGACGAUCUAUAGUAAUCAGGAUGACAUCUCUCAGGAUUACUUUUAUACCAUUUACAAUGCAGGGAAACCCCUAGAGAAGUCAAGCAAAAGCUACUGCACGAAGUAUGCACUGGUUGUAUGUUGUAGACAAAGUAACAUGAUCAACAUAGUACCUUAUAAUUUCUUUUGCAUGAGUUACAGCAGCCUUCUCAAGUUCUAGCUCACUUAAACUAAGGCGUCUCACUUUGUUAGGAUCGAGCCUCAGCCAAUCAUCCAGUCCACCCUUUCCCUUUCCAGCAUGGAUUGCAAUCAAACGUUUAUAUUCUGGGACUGCAAUUUGCUGAGACUUGCGAUCUACUUCAUCAUCGUCAUCGUCCUCAUGAGCUUCCUCUUCAUUGAGAUCAUCCUGCAACAAACAGCUUAUGUAGAAAAGUUUAAAUUGAAAACAACGCACGAAGCUGUAACUCAAAUUGUGAUUAUCAGUUAAGUAAUUGGAAUGUUCAGUCAGACCUCAUCAUUGGUCCUAGAUUUAUUAAUUGAGAUUUCUCUUCCCCAAGGUUCUGCUUCAGCUGAUUGUUUUCCUUCCUUCACUUCAUUCUGUUCUCCACUAAGGUCUUUUGCCUCUAAGUACUCCUUAGGUGGUUUAGUUGAUAUCAUAACCUUUCUUUUCAAGGAUUCUGGCGAGGGAAACUCUCUUAGACCGUCUGAUCCAGGUACGAACAGCAUAUCUCCAAAUGUUUCAUUAAUCAUCUAAGAUUUUUUAGACAUUGCAAAUGUUAGCAGUAGAGCAAUGAAAGUACUAGUUACUCUCUGUCCAAAGUGCAAUUUUACACACCUCAGCUACUUUAGCUUGAAGAUGCCGAGGAAGAUGGUCUUCAAGUGUGAUAACAACAGGAUACUCGGAUGCAGAGAAUGCAUGCUCUUUAAUAGACCUCAAGCAUUUGAUGAGUUGCACAGGAGUUGUCAGCGUCCUGUAUAAGAAAGUAGAUAUCUUGGCUAAUUACAACUUCAUUUCCAACUUGGAACCAAUUAAUGUCCGACUCAAAAAGAAUCCAUACACAAAUUGAGUUAAUUUCUUCGAUGAAGAUCAGUACCUUCCAUGCAGGACAUCAACAUCAUCUUUUGUGGAAUUAGGCCAUAUAUCCAAUUCGAUUACUCUCACACCAUUCUGGAGUGCAUUUAUUAUAGGGACAUCGCUGCAGUCACUACUUAGCUGAUUCCCAGUCAAAUAAGAAUUAUGCCCGGUAUAUAUAUAGUAAUGAGACAAUGGAUCAUGCAUAUCAUGAUGAACCUGUUUUGUUUGAAACAAAAAACCCACCUCAUAAUCAUUUAAAAAAAAAAUCAACUCUGAUGCUUAGAAAUUGAUAUAAAUGGAGAAGAAAUGGAAUUACCCCGCGACGAGGAUCAAUAGGAGGAUUAAUAUCUCCAAAAAGAUACUUGAAAAAUUGCUCAAGAUUAAGACCGCUGCGAUGGAAAAUGUUGAGGUGUUUAGGCUCAUGAAGGCUAUUUAUGAUGGCUCCAGCAUCCUCCACCGUGGCAUUCUCUUGCUUUUGAACUUCAACCAAGAAACGAUGGAGGUUAUCAACGCUUAUGGUCCCGUUUUCGGAGUAGCGGUCGAAUAUGGACUUGAUUUCAGCCGGGGCCUCUGCAGAAGCCAGCUUGAACCUUCGCCGGCAACAAAAGCAUACUCUGUAGGUCUGUUUAGACAUGCGAUUGGAUUUUGGAUUUACGUCAACUAAAAGUGAAAGAAGAGAAGAGGAGUAGAGUUGAUUAUGGAUGUUGAGGAUUGAGGAUCUUAGGUGUUUUUUUUUAUCAAGGAUGGGAUUUGAGGAUAGCUUUGCUUGUGAAGAUGGGAAGGCAUUUCCGGAGAUUGGACCGGGCAAAGUUCACUGUCGAACUCGGAACCAAAUCCAACCAACCGAACUUUUUCCUACAGGGAAAAAAAAAAAAAGAAAAGAAAAGAAAAAGAUAACGAUUCUGGUUUGGGAAACCUUUCAAUCGUUGGAUUUUGUUUGUGGAUAAAGGUCGGGUUCUGGUAAGGUUGCAAUAUCCUGCAAUUCUGGAACGUCCCCAACCUUUACGCUUUACUUCUUAUUGGUCCAGCUCUGGUGGUGAGCUGUGAGGUCAUUGUUGAUUGUUUCUCCUUUUUGUCUCCAUGCAUACAGCUGGUUGCCCCGCUGGGCCGGCCACCAUUGGAUCAAAGAAAAUUGUGUCUAAUUCAGUCAAUCAAUCAAUGAGGCCCUCCACCUCAUUAUCGAGUGGAGGAGUGUCACCAAUGAACAACCCCAAUUAAAUCCCAUUACUUGCAAAGAUAAUCACAUUUCAUUUCACGUAUUUUUUUGUCAUCUAAGGAGUAAUAAUUAAAGAGUAAAUUUCAUAUGCACUAUAAGUAUACACACUAUCACGAAUAAAUGGAUGACACGUAAUCAAAUUUUACACAUGUAUUAUAUAUUUAAUAGUGAUAGUGUAUAUAAGAUUAAUUCAUGAUUAAAUCCCAUUACUUACAAAGAAUAUCAUAUUCACGUACCCCUUUUGUCAUCUAAAGAGUAAUAAUUAAACAUUAAAGAGCCUUUUUUUGGGAUAAUUUCAGAAACCGUCCCUAAUAUUUUUGACAAUUUCACUAAGCACCUCUAAGGUUUAGAAAAAGAAACUUAUUCAUCUCUAAGAUGUUUUGCUUGCAGGGAAUUGUCUCUAAUUAGUUGUUGCAAGAUACGAUAUUUGCGCAGUGAAGAAAUCUUCUGACUAUUUUGGCCUUUCAAUUAUGUUUAAAUUGUCUGCUCACUUCUCCUCUUUUUUUUUUAACUUAAAAUGCAACAAAAAAUUAAACUGACAAUAAGAUGAUAGAUAGUUAAAUGAAAAAAAAAAGGGGACAAUUUUCAUUCUUUGACUCUUUGAAUUAGAUAUGAAGCAGGAUAAAUUUGUGCCUCAACAGGAUGAUAUAAAUUUGUGGCGAACUGGUUAUAAAGUUACAACUCACUGAAAUUCGCAGAGAAUCCGGUUCCCUGGCAUUGCCACCCCACCAAUCAGAGAGCAAUGCCCUUUGUGUUUCGCUGAUGUCUACAAGAAAAUGUUUACUUGAACCAUUUUUUUUUCAAAAAAAAAAAAAGAAGUUGUAUCUUGUUACUGCAAUUGCAGCACUCCUCUGUACAAACGAUCUGGUCGCGCAAAUCCAACUCUACUACAACAUUAAGGAUGGAAAAGAAGCGCGUCGCGGGCGGGCUUGAAGGAUGCAGUAGGGUUCAUAUAAACUGGAACCGCAUCAGAAGCCUUACAGAUCUAAGUUUCUCUCCUUUCUUAUCGUAAAUUGGAACUGCUCGGAUCCCCGGUCUCAACUCCGAAACAGGCAAGCAUGUCUGUCCCCCAAAAUCAUCCUUCUCCGACAUGUCAUGCUCACGGAUUUCAAUCCGAAGCAAAGCUAACUCAGGAACUGUCAAUGGGAAUGUGAAAUCCUCAUCCCAUAUCGGUCCCCAGUCAUCCUCUAUUAUCCUCGUCUUUUUCUUGGCCUCAUCUGCAGGCACUCCUACCAUCUGAACCUGCAGUUCAUGAGGAAAUUAUCUUAGGCUCAACCUAUUGAACAAGAUUUAAUAUGUUAAGGAGGAAACAAAACAGAAGAAAUAGAUGAACGCGUCAACAGAAGCAGCAGAUUGCAACAAUAUAUCAGUUCAGCCACUCAUUACAUGGGUAUAAGCUCGCCAGAAGUUCCAUUUUCGAACGUCUUAAAAGUUACCAUCGCAUCAAAACAGGAAAUAUCAUAUCAUAUCUAUCAGGAUAACACUUUUAAACCAAUUUUAGUCGCUGACCUUUGUGUAGAAGUCUGGCGGUGAAUAUGAAUCAAAAUGUGUGUGACUGAAAUCUAAUCGCCAUCCAUCUCCCAAAUACACGCUUACCUGUGGAAAAAAUGAUUAAGCUGUAAUUAAUAUAAGUCAUCGGGCGGUUGGAGUUUGCAAUAGCCACUGUCAGAAAGGUGCUCACCUUUAAAGUUUUCUUAACUGGCAAUUUUACUUUAGGAUCAAAUAGCUCAUUCCGCGGUCCCCUUUUCAUGAGAAAGUCAGGCUUCUUAACGUAACCGCAACCUCCAUUAGAUCCGAACAACCCAUGCAUCAACCAAAGUGAUUUUCCAUACCCCUGUUUGUUUGGGUUAAGAAAGAAAAUGAUUUCACUAAAUCCGUUGGUGAAAAGAAUCCUCAACUAAGAUGAAUACAUGCCGACACAAAUGUGGUAAUCAUAAUCAAAUUAUGAAAGUCGAUUGCUUGCUUGUGUACUGUUUCUGUGAUGCAUGUUACCAUUGAUGCAACAGAAGUCAUUGAUGGUUUAUCCCUCGCACAAACUGCUUGUCCAUGCUGACAUGUGAGCAUGGAGCAGUGUAUAGAUGCUGUAUUAGCAGAUUUGCAUGACAUUCUACUUGGAUCACUAUUUACGACAAAGACAAUAAGGAUUUCUGGAAAUGCCAGAGAAGUUAAUUCAAUAAAACUUUUAAUGUAAUUAAACUGCCGGGAAGUGUUAUGUUUAAGAUAAGGACAGUGAAUGAGUGCAUGACCAAGCUCGGAUUGCCAUUCCAGGAGUUUAGGAACACAAGAUUUGAAAACUGACCUGCAUAUUGAAUGCAAGCAUUUGAGCUCCAUGCGUCCAGCCAACUAAAGGGUGAAAAUUGGACGAGGUUACUCUUGUUCCCUUUGGAAACACCCUCAGAAUAUUCUUCUGUGUAAACCUAGAAUUCAAAACUGAAUUCAGCUAAAACAAAAUGUUGGUAGAAGACCAGAUGGGACAGCUAUUGUGAACGUCAAAAGCAAUCUAGCAAUCUUCAACUUUUACUUCAAGUGAAUACCUCACAACAUCAGUUCCAUAUAAAGAUGCAGCCCUUUCAAGGUCUUGUUCAGUCAAACUAAGACGCUUAACUUUGUCCAGCCCAGUUACUAAUGCGUGCCUCAACCCCUGUUUUGCCUUCCCAGCAUGAAUAGCAAUGAGACGCUUGUACUCCGGUGCUGCUAGUUGGGAUGAUUUUUGGUUUUGGAUGUCUCCAUCUUCAUCAUCUGGAUCACUAUCGUACUGAAAUCAUAAACCAAUAAACAUUGCAGAUGAAAUUUUGAGUAAUAUUCAACGGAUGACAAGAAAGAUUCUAUGAAAUGUACCUUUGGGUCGCCCUCCAACGUAUCCUUCAUAAAAAAAUCAUCUUCAGAAGAAUCCUUUUCCGCAGGUGAAGAAGUUCCUUCUUUCUGAUUCUUUAUUUCAAGGUACUCUUUUGGUGGUUUGGUUGAAAGAAUUAUUCGAUGCUUCAAUGCUUCCGGAGAGGGAAAUUCUUCUAAGCAUCCCGACUCCGGGUAAUACAGCAUUUCUCCAAAAAUUUGAAUUACCAUCUAGAAGCAGAUAGGUUAUAUCAGUUGCAAUGUUGAUGUUUUCUCAGUCUUAAAAAAAAAGGAAGAACAAAUAGCGAGAAACUCCAACCUCUGCAACUUUAGCCUGAAGGUCCGGAGUGAGGUGAUCCUCCAAAGUAAUUAUUACAGGGUAGGGAGAUUUGACAAAAGCAUGCUCCCUAAUAGACUUCAAGCAUUUAAUGAGUGGCACUGGAGUGGUCAGCGUCCUGAAAAUGAUCAACAAGGUUAAAUUUUCUUACAUUGCCAUUUCCGGUAAGAGAAAAUUUAGAAGUGUCCCUAAAAAUAGACGCAGCAAAAUUGAAAUGUGAAUAUAUAUCAGACAAAUAGUUUCUGGCACAGAUUUCUAAAUGUGGACAACUAGAGCAAAGCAAAUGAUAGAGAAACCCAUGCUGGUUAUUUUGGGAACACGAGAAGAUAUUUGCCUAUUUAUGCAAUUACAUUACAGAUUAGAAAAUUUAUUUUAUUUUUCUUGAAAAUUUGUCAGACAGCUUAUACUGAUGUAAAACUCAUCUCACCUUCAGUGUAGUUUUAACUGGUAAUUUGGCUUUAGGGUCAAAAAUCUCAUUACCAGUCUUCAAUAAGAUAUCUGGUUUUCUAACAUAUCCACAGCCACCAUUGGCCCUGAACAUUCCACGCAUCACCCAGAGUGAUCUUCCAUAACCCUGUUGAAGAAAAUUGUCACUGAAAAUUUCCUUGAAAUAGACUUUGGCCUAAUUACUAUAAAUUAAAAUGAAAGGUGCCAAUAAAUUUACAUUGUAAUAUGCCAACAUCGAAGAACAAUAUGACAAUCAAGAUAAAAUGAUAACCUGCAUGUUUAGUGCGACCAUCUGUGCCCCAUGCAUCCAUCCAAUGAGGGGAUUGUAAUUAGAUGAGUCAAAACGUAUUCCCUUUGGGUAUACUCUCAACAAGUUCCUCUGAGUAAAACUGAAAGAGGAAUAUAGAAAAGCCUGGACAGCUUAUUAAUUGGAAAUGAUUACUUAAUUCAAGCGCAAGGUCAAGAAUUGAAGCCUAAAGAGAGGUAUUAUGGAUUAUGUUGUCGAUUGGAGCAUCAAUGCAGCAAGAUUCAAGGAUGAAACAGUACAUUUUACAGGGCCUAGAUGAUCGAACUACAUACCAUGACUAUAAAACCCCAUUAAUGAAGGCAAAAUAAGCUGAAUACAUGUGUAUCUGAGUAUCCAGCAAGAACAAUUGUUCUAACUAUGACGAUCUAUAGUAAUCAGGAUGACAUCUCUCAGGAUUACUUUUAUACCAUUUACAAUGCAGGGAAACCCCUAGAGAAGUCAAGCAAAAGCUACUGCACGAAGUAUGCACUGGUUGUAUGUUGUAGACAAAGUAACAUGAUCAACAUAGUACCUUAUAAUUUCUUUUGCAUGAGUUACAGCAGCCUUCUCAAGUUCUAGCUCACUUAAACUAAGGCGUCUCACUUUGUUAGGAUCGAGCCUCAGCCAAUCAUCCAGUCCACCCUUUCCCUUUCCAGCAUGGAUUGCAAUCAAACGUUUAUAUUCUGGGACUGCAAUUUGCUGAGACUUGCGAUCUACUUCAUCAUCGUCAUCGUCCUCAUGAGCUUCCUCUUCAUUGAGAUCAUCCUGCAACAAACAGCUUAUGUAGAAAAGUUUAAAUUGAAAACAACGCACGAAGCUGUAACUCAAAUUGUGAUUAUCAGUUAAGUAAUUGGAAUGUUCAGUCAGACCUCAUCAUUGGUCCUAGAUUUAUUAAUUGAGAUUUCUCUUCCCCAAGGUUCUGCUUCAGCUGAUUGUUUUCCUUCCUUCACUUCAUUCUGUUCUCCACUAAGGUCUUUUGCCUCUAAGUACUCCUUAGGUGGUUUAGUUGAUAUCAUAACCUUUCUUUUCAAGGAUUCUGGCGAGGGAAACUCUCUUAGACCGUCUGAUCCAGGUACGAACAGCAUAUCUCCAAAUGUUUCAUUAAUCAUCUAAGAUUUUUUAGACAUUGCAAAUGUUAGCAGUAGAGCAAUGAAAGUACUAGUUACUCUCUGUCCAAAGUGCAAUUUUACACACCUCAGCUACUUUAGCUUGAAGAUGCCGAGGAAGAUGGUCUUCAAGUGUGAUAACAACAGGAUACUCGGAUGCAGAGAAUGCAUGCUCUUUAAUAGACCUCAAGCAUUUGAUGAGUUGCACAGGAGUUGUCAGCGUCCUGUAUAAGAAAGUAGAUAUCUUGGCUAAUUACAACUUCAUUUCCAACUUGGAACCAAUUAAUGUCCGACUCAAAAAGAAUCCAUACACAAAUUGAGUUAAUUUCUUCGAUGAAGAUCAGUACCUUCCAUGCAGGACAUCAACAUCAUCUUUUGUGGAAUUAGGCCAUAUAUCCAAUUCGAUUACUCUCACACCAUUCUGGAGUGCAUUUAUUAUAGGGACAUCGCUGCAGUCACUACUUAGCUGAUUCCCAGUCAAAUAAGAAUUAUGCCCGGUAUAUAUAUAGUAAUGAGACAAUGGAUCAUGCAUAUCAUGAUGAACCUGUUUUGUUUGAAACAAAAAACCCACCUCAUAAUCAUUUAAAAAAAAAAUCAACUCUGAUGCUUAGAAAUUGAUAUAAAUGGAGAAGAAAUGGAAUUACCCCGCGACGAGGAUCAAUAGGAGGAUUAAUAUCUCCAAAAAGAUACUUGAAAAAUUGCUCAAGAUUAAGACCGCUGCGAUGGAAAAUGUUGAGGUGUUUAGGCUCAUGAAGGCUAUUUAUGAUGGCUCCAGCAUCCUCCACCGUGGCAUUCUCUUGCUUUUGAACUUCAACCAAGAAACGAUGGAGGUUAUCAACGCUUAUGGUCCCGUUUUCGGAGUAGCGGUCGAAUAUGGACUUGAUUUCAGCCGGGGCCUCUGCAGAAGCCAGCUUGAACCUUCGCCGGCAACAAAAGCAUACUCUGUAGGUCUGUUUAGACAUGCGAUUGGAUUUUGGAUUUACGUCAACUAAAAGUGAAAGAAGAGAAGAGGAGUAGAGUUGAUUAUGGAUGUUGAGGAUUGAGGAUCUUAGGUGUUUUUUUUUAUCAAGGAUGGGAUUUGAGGAUAGCUUUGCUUGUGAAGAUGGGAAGGCAUUUCCGGAGAUUGGACCGGGCAAAGUUCACUGUCGAACUCGGAACCAAAUCCAACCAACCGAACUUUUUCCUACAGGGAAAAAAAAAAAAAGAAAAGAAAAGAAAAAGAUAACGAUUCUGGUUUGGGAAACCUUUCAAUCGUUGGAUUUUGUUUGUGGAUAAAGGUCGGGUUCUGGUAAGGUUGCAAUAUCCUGCAAUUCUGGAACGUCCCCAACCUUUACGCUUUACUUCUUAUUGGUCCAGCUCUGGUGGUGAGCUGUGAGGUCAUUGUUGAUUGUUUCUCCUUUUUGUCUCCAUGCAUACAGCUGGUUGCCCCGCUGGGCCGGCCACCAUUGGAUCAAAGAAAAUUGUGUCUAAUUCAGUCAAUCAAUCAAUGAGGCCCUCCACCUCAUUAUCGAGUGGAGGAGUGUCACCAAUGAACAACCCCAAUUAAAUCCCAUUACUUGCAAAGAUAAUCACAUUUCAUUUCACGUAUUUUUUUGUCAUCUAAGGAGUAAUAAUUAAAGAGUAAAUUUCAUAUGCACUAUAAGUAUACACACUAUCACGAAUAAAUGGAUGACACGUAAUCAAAUUUUACACAUGUAUUAUAUAUUUAAUAGUGAUAGUGUAUAUAAGAUUAAUUCAUGAUUAAAUCCCAUUACUUACAAAGAAUAUCAUAUUCACGUACCCCUUUUGUCAUCUAAAGAGUAAUAAUUAAACAUUAAAGAGCCUUUUUUUGGGAUAAUUUCAGAAACCGUCCCUAAUAUUUUUGACAAUUUCACUAAGCACCUCUAAGGUUUAGAAAAUUACACAUACUCCCUUGUCAUUUAAAAUGACAAUACUACUCUUAAAUAUUUUAAUGAAAUUCUCUUGUUUGGUAUACUUAUACUUAGAAUGACUUUAAAAUUACUUUUUCAUUCUUUUUCCUUCUUAUCCUUUUUAUGUUAUUUUUUUGGCCAAUAAAAUUAUAAAAUUACCACUAUUAUCUUUAGUUUCUAUUGUAACCAAAUGUCAAACUAAUGUUUUUUUUGAUGAGUUAACUUUAUAUGUAAUCCUAUGUUUUUUGCUAAUCUUUGUUUUCUAUUUUUUGGUAUUAAAAUUAAUAAUAAAUAAAAAAGAAAUUACCCAAAAUCACUAUUAAACUAUAAUAAUCCCACUAUUCAAAAAAUUCAUAAACUAUGAAACAAUUAUUUCAAUAUUUUAUUUUCUAUCUUAUAAAUCUAAAUCCAUAGUAAAAUACCGUCAAAAGUAUCCUAUCAUAGUGAUAAAAUUAUUAUUAUUAUAGUUGUUUAUCAAAUAGUAGAUAUGGAUAUGAAAAAUUCGGCGCCUUUUCCUUAUAAUUACAUUAGAUAAUUUUAUAAUUCUAUAGGGAAGUAAAUUAAAACUCAUUACAUAAGGGCAUUUUUGGAUAUUCAUUUAAAAAUUUGACCAAGUCAAUAUUAUUUUAAGGUUUUGUUACUAAAACUAUCAAAUCAAGAGAGGUAUGUGCAAUUUUUUAAAUCUCGGGUGAGUUCAGUUUGUUUCUGAAAUUAUCCCUUUUUUUUUACUUGUAAACUUGCUCAUCUCUAUGUUUUGCUUGCAGGGAAUUGUCUCUAAUUAGUUGUUGCAAGAUACGAUAUUUGCGCAGUGAAGAAAUCUUCUGACUAUUUUGGCCUUUCAAUUAUGUUUAAAUUGUCUGCUCACUUCUCCUCUUUUUUUUUUAACUUAAAAUGCAACAAAAAAUUAAACUGACAAUAAGAUGAUAGAUAGUUAAAUGAAAAAAAAAAGGGGACAAUUUUCAUUCUUUGACUCUUUGAAUUAGAUAUGAAGCAGGAUAAAUUUGUGCCUCAACAGGAUGAUAUAAAUUUGUGGCGAACUGGUUAUAAAGUUACAACUCACUGAAAUUCGCAGAGAAUCCGGUUCCCUGGCAUUGCCACCCCACCAAUCAGAGAGCAAUGCCCUUUGUGUUUCGCUGAUGUCUACAAGAAAAUGUUUACUUGAACCAUUUUUUUUUCAAAAAAAAAAAAAGAAGUUGUAUCUUGUUACUGCAAUUGCAGCACUCCUCUGUACAAACGAUCUGGUCGCGCAAAUCCAACUCUACUACAACAUUAAGGAUGGAAAAGAAGCGCGUCGCGGGCGGGCUUGAAGGAUGCAGUAGGGUUCAUAUAAACUGGAACCGCAUCAGAAGCCUUACAGAUCUAAGUUUCUCUCCUUUCUUAUCGUAAAUUGGAACUGCUCGGAUCCCCGGUCUCAACUCCGAAACAGGCAAGCAUGUCUGUCCCCCAAAAUCAUCCUUCUCCGACAUGUCAUGCUCACGGAUUUCAAUCCGAAGCAAAGCUAACUCAGGAACUGUCAAUGGGAAUGUGAAAUCCUCAUCCCAUAUCGGUCCCCAGUCAUCCUCUAUUAUCCUCGUCUUUUUCUUGGCCUCAUCUGCAGGCACUCCUACCAUCUGAACCUGCAGUUCAUGAGGAAAUUAUCUUAGGCUCAACCUAUUGAACAAGAUUUAAUAUGUUAAGGAGGAAACAAAACAGAAGAAAUAGAUGAACGCGUCAACAGAAGCAGCAGAUUGCAACAAUAUAUCAGUUCAGCCACUCAUUACAUGGGUAUAAGCUCGCCAGAAGUUCCAUUUUCGAACGUCUUAAAAGUUACCAUCGCAUCAAAACAGGAAAUAUCAUAUCAUAUCUAUCAGGAUAACACUUUUAAACCAAUUUUAGUCGCUGACCUUUGUGUAGAAGUCUGGCGGUGAAUAUGAAUCAAAAUGUGUGUGACUGAAAUCUAAUCGCCAUCCAUCUCCCAAAUACACGCUUACCUGUGGAAAAAAUGAUUAAGCUGUAAUUAAUAUAAGUCAUCGGGCGGUUGGAGUUUGCAAUAGCCACUGUCAGAAAGGUGCUCACCUUUAAAGUUUUCUUAACUGGCAAUUUUACUUUAGGAUCAAAUAGCUCAUUCCGCGGUCCCCUUUUCAUGAGAAAGUCAGGCUUCUUAACGUAACCGCAACCUCCAUUAGAUCCGAACAACCCAUGCAUCAACCAAAGUGAUUUUCCAUACCCCUGUUUGUUUGGGUUAAGAAAGAAAAUGAUUUCACUAAAUCCGUUGGUGAAAAGAAUCCUCAACUAAGAUGAAUACAUGCCGACACAAAUGUGGUAAUCAUAAUCAAAUUAUGAAAGUCGAUUGCUUGCUUGUGUACUGUUUCUGUGAUGCAUGUUACCAUUGAUGCAACAGAAGUCAUUGAUGGUUUAUCCCUCGCACAAACUGCUUGUCCAUGCUGACAUGUGAGCAUGGAGCAGUGUAUAGAUGCUGUAUUAGCAGAUUUGCAUGACAUUCUACUUGGAUCACUAUUUACGACAAAGACAAUAAGGAUUUCUGGAAAUGCCAGAGAAGUUAAUUCAAUAAAACUUUUAAUGUAAUUAAACUGCCGGGAAGUGUUAUGUUUAAGAUAAGGACAGUGAAUGAGUGCAUGACCAAGCUCGGAUUGCCAUUCCAGGAGUUUAGGAACACAAGAUUUGAAAACUGACCUGCAUAUUGAAUGCAAGCAUUUGAGCUCCAUGCGUCCAGCCAACUAAAGGGUGAAAAUUGGACGAGGUUACUCUUGUUCCCUUUGGAAACACCCUCAGAAUAUUCUUCUGUGUAAACCUAGAAUUCAAAACUGAAUUCAGCUAAAACAAAAUGUUGGUAGAAGACCAGAUGGGACAGCUAUUGUGAACGUCAAAAGCAAUCUAGCAAUCUUCAACUUUUACUUCAAGUGAAUACCUCACAACAUCAGUUCCAUAUAAAGAUGCAGCCCUUUCAAGGUCUUGUUCAGUCAAACUAAGACGCUUAACUUUGUCCAGCCCAGUUACUAAUGCGUGCCUCAACCCCUGUUUUGCCUUCCCAGCAUGAAUAGCAAUGAGACGCUUGUACUCCGGUGCUGCUAGUUGGGAUGAUUUUUGGUUUUGGAUGUCUCCAUCUUCAUCAUCUGGAUCACUAUCGUACUGAAAUCAUAAACCAAUAAACAUUGCAGAUGAAAUUUUGAGUAAUAUUCAACGGAUGACAAGAAAGAUUCUAUGAAAUGUACCUUUGGGUCGCCCUCCAACGUAUCCUUCAUAAAAAAAUCAUCUUCAGAAGAAUCCUUUUCCGCAGGUGAAGAAGUUCCUUCUUUCUGAUUCUUUAUUUCAAGGUACUCUUUUGGUGGUUUGGUUGAAAGAAUUAUUCGAUGCUUCAAUGCUUCCGGAGAGGGAAAUUCUUCUAAGCAUCCCGACUCCGGGUAAUACAGCAUUUCUCCAAAAAUUUGAAUUACCAUCUAGAAGCAGAUAGGUUAUAUCAGUUGCAAUGUUGAUGUUUUCUCAGUCUUAAAAAAAAAGGAAGAACAAAUAGCGAGAAACUCCAACCUCUGCAACUUUAGCCUGAAGGUCCGGAGUGAGGUGAUCCUCCAAAGUAAUUAUUACAGGGUAGGGAGAUUUGACAAAAGCAUGCUCCCUAAUAGACUUCAAGCAUUUAAUGAGUGGCACUGGAGUGGUCAGCGUCCUGAAAAUGAUCAACAAGGUUAAAUUUUCUUACAUUGCCAUUUCCGGUAAGAGAAAAUUUAGAAGUGUCCCUAAAAAUAGACGCAGCAAAAUUGAAAUGUGAAUAUAUAUCAGACAAAUAGUUUCUGGCACAGAUUUCUAAAUGUGGACAACUAGAGCAAAGCAAAUGAUAGAGAAACCCAUGCUGGUCUCUUUGCAUUAAAAAUGAAGCGAUUCUACAAAGAAGAAACCAACUGGAAAUCUAAGCUCCCUCUCUUAUAGCCCUCGCUAUCAUCUCAUAUACACUGCAGAAUGAAAUUUGCUCAGCACAUUGACAUAGAUAAUAAGGAAAAGAAGCAAUGCUUUAAGAAACUAAAGAAAAGAAACAGCUUCAAGGAACUCAUUUUCUUUUUCUGUGUAGUGUCUUUUGUAUACGAUAUCCAAAGGAAAAUGACAAAAAAAAAAAAACUGAAAAUGAGUCUAGGAUCAUACCCUACCUUCCAUGAAGAACAUGCACAUUAUCUUUUGCAGAAUUGGGCCACAGAUCUAGUUCUAUUCCCCUAACACCUCUUUCUAGGGCUUUUAUGAUUGGGAUUUCACUACAGUCGCUGCUCAACUGGUUUCCAGUUAGGUAUGAAUUGUGACCUGUAUAUAUGAAAUAAUGUUGCAAUGGAGCUGUCAUAUCAUGAUGUACCUGGAAUCACAAAAUAAACAAAAUUGUAGGCAAUGUUGACAUAGAAAAUGCUUAAACUGCAGAAUUUCCACAAUAUAUAAACCAUGAUAACAUAAGCCAGCUACAGAAUGCAAAGAUGGAACCAAGCGUCCUUUUCUAGCAGGGCAUUCCGAAAUGCAUUUUACUCUUUUUGGCUACUAAAUUGGAAUGUCAGUUCCGCUAUUUUAAUACUAUCGGCCUCUCCUUAUUUCCUCUUAAAACCAUCAACCUCUUGAAAGAUUUGGGGCACGCUGACAGAAAAAAUGUUGUUGUGCCGCGAGACAUCAUUAGCUUUGCGGGAUACUCACAACUGAUGGCAAACAUAAAAUAUUAAUGGGUAGAAGAAAACAAUUUUCAACGUUCAAUCUUGUCCUGCCAUCAUCAUAAGGGUUCGGAGCAGACAACUACGAAAACAGUGCUGAAGUUUGACAUGUUAUGUCCCGUGGUAAGAGAAUCGCAACUAACAGAGUCCUCUCCAACUUUGAUCCUAUGUCUUACGGGUUAUACUUCUCUUCAAGGUAGUUUUGUUACAUGGCAGCAUUUCUCGUAGAGAUCCAUCUGCCAUCUAUCAGCAGUCAGUCUUGCAAUCAUUAGAGGUGAACUGUAACUAUCUAAUUACACCCUCUGAAACACAUAUAACAUAUUUGAUCACACUCCUUUCAAGAGUUACCUUUUAGAAAAUAUUAUUCCGCAUAAGUCAGAGUUGCAACUGUAACUCCAUUUACUUGAGUUCCAUAACUAUAGACUUUUCAUUGACCAUAGCCAACGCUCAUCCAAUCCUAGUUCCAGUUGUCAUAUAUGAAAUUUUCAUUCUUUUGUAGAUUUAUACAGUGAUUUGAGGAGAAUUGUCAAAGAUGACUCAAGCUAGUAGUCUUGACUAGCCAAGAACAUGCAGGUCUUCAACAAGAACAUGCAGGAUGAUCUUAAUGGCCCCAUUAAAGUAUAGUCACACCCUAUCCAACAACUGAAAAAGUACUUCGCAUUAAAUUAUAUCCUCAAUCAUAAUGACUUAAUUAUGCACCAAUCUAAGAAGGGAUCGUAAUUCCUACACAAACAGCAGAGAUAAUGCUUUAUACUGACAUGCUAAGAUCAUAAGUCAUAACACGUAAACCUCAUCCAAGUUUAGCUUUUUGCUUUUGUUGCAAGUCUCAUGCAUCUAAACACGUUCUUAAGAUUACGUUGUCGGUAUUUCAUCAUUUUUUUGGGGGUAGAAGGUAUUUCAUCUUAUAUUUGGCUUAAGCAUGCAUUCAUAGAAAACUGAUUCCCCUUCCCCCGCCACCCCCCUCCUCCCUCCCCCAAAAAAAAAUUAAUAAUAAAAACCCGAGAUUAGAAAAGGAAAUUAAAAUGGAAGAAGAAGACAAUGGUGUAGAGAAAAAUCUGGGAAGAUCAGGAAAUGACCUGAAUUUUAAUGGGGCCAUUAAGAUCAUCCUGGAACAAGAAAUAAAAGAAAUCUUCAAGGUCUAGUCCCCGGCGAGUAUACUUGGUCAAAUGGUGACGACGCUGGAUGACAAUGUGCAUCAGCCUCUCUGCAUCCGCCAGAGUGCAGCCUUCCUCGCCCUGGUAUUCCACCAGGAACCUGGCAAACUGGUCGGCCGUCAUGUGGGUCCCGCCCCCGGCGUACUUAUGGAAGGCACUCAUCACGUCCGGGGGUGGCUCCGUCUCGCUGAUCUUAAACUUCCGGUUAAAACAUCCAAACAUCCUGUAAUAAUUAUAACUCCCCAUUUUUUAAAAAAUUUUUUUUUUCCUGGACGACAAAAGGUUGUUGGCUUUGGAGGGGACGACUUUAUAACUCUACAAUCUACAUGUGUUUCCAAAUAUAUAGGAAUUAAGCAUUGAAGGAAACAUUGCAGAAACGUCUAUGAUCAGAUGAUGAUGAUGGUGAUGGGGUGCGAGUUGAAUGAUUCUUGGAUGGCUUUAGUUAAUGUUGUUGAAUUGGAUUGUUGUUUCCUCAACAAAUGACAGGGAAGAAGGAGAAAAAAGCAAUGAAAUUCCCAAUAAAUCCAAGGACUCCUAAAGAUUAGUAAGAGAGAGAGAGAGAAAAGGAAAGGGGAAAAAGAAGAAGAAAGAUUAAUAAAAAAAAAAAAGGAAAAACUUCGCGGAGGUUGGUCGAAGAGAGGGCUAAAUAUGAGGAGUAUUUAAAGCUGGAUCCGUUGUGGGACGCGUUCCUUACAUGAGGCUUUAGAGUUACGACGACGACGACGACGACGACUUUCUACAACUACAACUAAACAAAACAUCAAUGAUUUGCAGAUUCACCCGACUUGAUGUUUCAGAAUAUUUCAGUCGUCGCAGGUAUUUGUCCCUUUGUCAUUUUUUUCCCUAAUUUUACCGAUUGGAUGAUCUUUUCUAGUAGUCCUAAUUUUUAAUCUUCCGAUCGUUCCCGCCGUUUUCUUGCCCCCACCACCCUUCAAGAAAAACAAAAAGAAUUUCUUCUUAAGAAAAUUAGUAGCAUAACAACUAAAAACUACCCUAUUGUUGUCCUCUCCAGUGGUUUUUGGCUUUUUCGUACAUGUUCUGUUUGGGUAUAAAAUUUUCUCCGUCCCUUAUCUUCUGUUCUUUUCUUUCUUUAUUAGCCACUAGCAACCAGGGAUUGCGAUAUCUUCCGUAAAAACUUACUGCAAUUCUCCCGUAAAAACAAUCCAUGAGCAUAUCUAACACCAAAAAAUCCCUGAGCUCAUGGCCACCAAACAUUAUGGAAUCACACUGCAAAUGUAAUUCUUCGAGAUAUUGUAAGAACCAGCGCCGAAGUCAAUUUGCAUGAAGGUGAAGCGAGCAGGGCAAGAACCGGCCCUAGUAGAAAGUUAGAACGAAGAUCCAGAUGAAAGAGAUUUUGGAAUAGGAACUUGGUCCGUCACUCAACCAGAAAUUCGUGGGAGAAAUUCAGGUGGUACCAAUUUUCAGUCCACUUGAACCAUUUAUCAUUCGAAAUUUUGCAGUAUACCUAAGAAUGUUGUAAGAAGGAUCGAGCCUAUCUAGACUAUUGGCUGCUUUCAACAAGUCAACUGUUGUCACAAAUCUCUUAAGCCACGAGAGGACAAGAACUAUAGGGUCUGUUUGGCAAAUAAGUUUUUUUAUCAAGUUGAUCUGUUAUAAGUUUUUAAACAACUUUAACUACAGUAAUUUCAAAAAAUUUAUCAAAAUUUUUAAACUAUAUAUUUCAAAAUAUCAAAAAAUUUAUACAUUUCAAAAAUUUUUGCUAUAACUUCUAUAGGAAAUUACAGUAAAGUUUUAGACAUACAUCAAUAAAUUCAUUUGCCAAACAGGGACUAUGAGCAAGGUUGAGUUGGGUCGAGUUACCUACAUCAACAUUCACGACAAUGUAUUUGCCAGAAUGAAAUUACCAAAAAGUUAGUUCAAGUUUGGAAAACCUGCUUGCCUCUAGAACAAACAAUAGGUUGUUGAAGAGAUUGCCGCUCUGUUUGGCAAAUAAGUUUUUGACCAAGUUUAUUUGGUAAUUUUACAUACAGCUUUCUUAAAAAAUUUCUCAAAAUUUUUAAACUCUACACUUCAAAAUAUCCAAAAAUUUACACACUUCAAAAAUUUUUCCUACAAUUUUUACAAUAAGUUACAAUAAAAUUUUAGACAAACAUCCAAAAAACUUAUUUGUCAAAUGAAGCCUGCAUUACUUGAGAAAUAUCAAGGACAGUGAGGUUCACAAAUUGAUUUUGGAAUUGGGCUCUGCAGCUCAUUGUCAUUGAGAUCAAGUGUUGAGGUGACUGAUACCGGAAUUUGUAGACACGGCCCAUUGAACAAGUAGUCUCCAAGAGCUCGAGACUCGGCUCCGAAAUUAACACGGAACGUGGAAUUCUAGGUUCAGGAACUUGCCGUCCGCAUCAAUGAAACUGUCCAAAAUGCCGUUUUUGGUUCUUAUUCAGUUUUCCUAUUAUUAACUAUAAUUGUAUUGAAGGAAGAAAAAAGGGAAAAUCACGCAAGAUUUGUUUCUAAAGGCGAUUUGCGAGUGGAUUCGGGUCACCACACCCGCGGAUCUGGCAGUGCAUGAGUAUUGAGUUGAUACUUGCCUUUUGGAUCCACUCUGUGGACCCACGACGGGUAGCAUCGUUAUCUUCGUUUGAAUUAAUCUAUUUUUUAAAAAUAAAUUUUUUAAAUACAAUAUUACAUUAAUAUAUAAAUAAAAAUAAUUUAAAAAAUAUUUCAUCCAUAUGAUAUAUCAAAUAUUUUUAAAAAUAUUUUUAGUAAAAAUUUUUCAUAUACAAUAUUACAGUAAAAUAUUGCAAAAACACCAUCAAAUACAGCUAAUUCAAACGGAGCAUUUUAAGUAUUUUUUUUUUUUUCAAUUUAAAGCACAUGUAGUCUAAAAAUAGGCAUUCCUAUGAUUAUUUUUUUUUGGCUCUUGACAUUAUUAUUGAAAUUUUAAUAUAGUUGUGUCAAAUUUAUUCAUGUUCUCAAGUUAUUAGAAUCUUGUGAAUUUUUGUCGAAUCUUGUUAUUUUAGGAGUUCAAUCAUGUAUGGAUUCUUGAUUCUUUUUUAUGGAAUUAGUUUGUGACACUAUUCCCGCUAAGUUGCUUCCACCGCCGCGUCAGCAAUCCAGUAACGGUGGAGGGCAUUUGGACCUGCAAGUGUAAGCGCAUUGGUCAAAAAUCUCAAAAAGAUGCGUCACAUUGAUGAUUGAGAAGGGGGAAUUAACGAAUAGAUUCAGGAUGAGAGAGAUCCAAGUGCUUAGAAAGUCAAUUUCGAGCCUUCAGGAUACCUGAUUGAUUGGAGUUUUAUACGAUUAGCUACAAUUGAUUUUACUCACAUUUGAGCCCUUGUUUCGGAGCAUGUUAACACGGUAGCUUAUACGCACGCACAAUCAAAGUGGCGUCCAAUUCCAAACAUCAAUUAAUUUAUAGUUGUCUGCUAUUGAUUUCAAAAAACAAAUACAGGGGGAUCCUUUCUUUAGGUAUUGACCAAAGAUUCUUUAUUUAGCCAGUCCACCGAGAAUGUCCUUCCACUGGGGAGAAGGCUUGAAUUAUUCAUGGUCAACGUAUAAUAAAGCAAUCCAACAACUCUACUUGAGAAACGACAUUAUCCUCAACCAGCAUGGUUUGUCAAGAAUGCUACUCCAUGCUUGAUACUUCAAGGUACAAGGUUGAUAACAUUUGGUCGGAAUGUUAUGUCAUGUUAUGGAUGAUAGGUACCUCCGCAUGUCUUCUUCCUUCUUCGGCAUAAGACGUCACAAGUUUGCCCAAGACUCGAGAGGAUGGAGCCUCUCGUAGAUUCUAAUACGCAGAUUCAGCAAUUGAGAGGCUACCCUUUACACCCCUUUUCUCUUGCAAUAAAAUGUUUUUGAGACCUUUUUUUGGAAACGUCUAGGCCCAACAAACAAGGGUAGGGCAACAAAGUUGGUGCACCCCCCCUCCCCUCUCUCCUCCUCUGAUUGACGAACUCAGCGACAGUCAAGGGUGAUAAUAUUUAGUGGCUACCCAUGACAAACUCAAUCAUCAAAAUGUAAUCGUUUUCCCUUGCACUUGGCAUAUAUCUCUACACAAUGAUUCCCAUACGAGUUAUUAGCUCAAGGAAGCUAGGAACUCGGUUCAAUCGAGUUUUUCCCUCCUCUUCCAAACCUUAAACUUUCUGCUCAGCUUGAAAUCAAAUUCCUGAGCGCAAUUGUGCUACAAAACAUUCUGCAAAGUUCAUCAUUUAGCAGGCAGCCACAUCCACUCCAACUAAGAUUACUUUUGUAGCAGCACAACAUCACCAUCAGUCACUCUUCUAUAAAUUUUGACAAUCUUUACUCUGCAAUGUCUCCUAAAUCCAUCUUUCCUUACCCACAACUUCGGAUAAUUUGCACUCAACAUACUCUAAUCUGUGUUAAUUCACUUCAUUGCAACAGCAGAUAAAAAGCACUGAAGAGCUUCUCUUCAGUUUGGCUCCAUGACAACUAUCUUGUGACCAAUGUAUCACGUAGACCAACAUUUGACUAGCAUAUUCCAAAGUUCCUGCCAAUGCUAUGGUUAAAACAUGAAACAACCAUGACAGAAAUGCAGAAUGGUGAUUAGUGGAGUAAUAAUUGCACUACUUAGCUUUGAAAUCCGCCACUAUCUCCUAACAACUAGAGUGAGAAGAUGAACUGAGCUUCUUGAAAUCCAGAGAGAGCCAUAUAGAUUAUAUGUAUAACCAGUACAAUCUUACAGUAGUAUAAGAAGCGCCGCUUUACACAAAUUAGAUCAAUCUCUAUACAAAAUUCCGGCAUAUUCCUUUCCUUGAGAAAGGAGAGUCAGGGGCCGCACUAUUACCUGAAAUUUCUGAAAAUUAGAUUGCAACCCUAACUUACCAGAAUCCUCCUACCCAGUUGUUACAGUCACAAUACCUGCAAAGUAAAACUUGAUGUCAAUUUCAAUGCGAUUAUAACAUGCUGAAACUAUUCCACUACAGCGAAAGAAAUUAUUUAUUUAUUUAUUUAUUAUACUGCUAAUGUAGGCAGAAUAAACAACAUCUUAUCCAACUGAAAUCCAAGGCAAAACCUGUCCUGGUAACAGUUCUUCAUCCUCACCUUCUCAUAUCACCAGCACAAACUUCAUUUAGUUGCUUCUGAGUCUCUUCCAAAUCUCUGUACAAGAAGUAAAACAAACCAAAGCCCUCCUUAGUUACAACAAAAAUCAAGACAUAGCACACAUUCUAACACCAAUGUGCAAAACAAUGACAGCCUUCCAAUACAUCCAAUCAUGUAUAUUGACAGCUUAAACAUGAGAAAAAGUUAAUCCAUAGAACAAAGCCCGCGUUUCACUAGUACUACCAUAAACAACAUUCCAGCCCAAUUCCAUCUAAUUUCAUAUAUGAAAUCUAAGUCCAUUAGAGCAUACAGCGAUAAGAGGAAGAAUAAAUAAUCUAACAUCAUGAAAUGACAGAAAAAGAACAUCUAUAUUGACAGUCUGAAACCCGAAGUUGUCCCACUAAAUGUAAACAGGAAUUGGUUAAAUGGCUUGUAAGUGUGUGGCUAAGUGCUCAAAAGAGCGACAUGGCUUAUCCAUGUUGGCAGGCAGUACAAAUGCAAAAUUAAGUUCAGAUUCAGGAAGUGCCAGGCCAAAGGUGAGAUAUGGACAAUCCAAGAAUUUCACACUCACAUAAGCAGACAAGAAGUAUAUCGGCAGAAGUAAAUGAACAAACUAAUCCAAGAAUGAUCAAACUAAGAAACUGAAACUCAUAAAUCAAACGAACAACCAGAAGCAAAUAAAAGACAGAGAGAUGAAAUGCUCCAUGGCAUAAUAAAUCCAACAAUAACAUAUAUUGUUUGCAUGUCAGGUUCAUUUAAGCUAAGAACCUUGUAUGCCAUCAACCCAAGUUAAACAGAAGAUACAUCUCAGUGACGGAACAGCAUAAAACAAUUUCACUUCGCCAAUUCUGUUACCUUUUGACUUUAGAAAGUUCCUCCCUCAGUAGCUCCACCUCUUUAGCACAGGGACACCCAGCGGAGCAGGCACCCUGCUUCCAACCGGGUGGUGGGAUCCAGAACGGAUCAGCAACACCAGCCUUCUUCCGAACAUCAACUAGGUCAGCACUUUCCAGCCAGUACAUUAUCACCCCAUCAGCAUUGUAACAGCGUUGGAAACGAGAAGUUCCAUCAGGCGCGAUCUUUCCUGGUAUAUCCUUGAGAAGGUGAUCCAACAGCCCUGUGUUACCAAUUUCCUUCUGAGCCUCCUUCCUUAAAGCAGCUCUGUAUAUUGGGUUUUCAGCUGCAGCUUCCUUCUCCUUCAGAAUGUUUAAAAUAACUCUCUUUCCAGCCUCGAAGCUUCAGAUAUCCUCUCCAAUCAGUGUCAGAGUUAAUAAAUACAUAAAAAGGAACCAUAAAGAUUGAUGCUUGCAUACAUAAAAAAGAACACUGCAUAUGGAUGUAACAUAAAAUUUAUAACUAAGUUUUGCUCCUUCACCUUUCAUUGGACCACCAUUUGUACUUCUUUGCUUUGUGAAGAUCUUCAGUAGUGGCUUCUUCGCUCACAAUCUCUGCUUUAACCACAUUCUCCACUUUAAUCACCUGCUUUUCCACUUCCUCAACCUUUUCUUCCAAUCUCCCACCGCCAAACUUCAUAGUAGUAGUAGACGAAGAGCAAGGAGACUUCACCGAAACCUCUUCGAGUUCAAGCUUAGGAAUUAAAGGAGCCCUUACCAACCAGAAGUCCUUGACCUCUUCCAGAUUGCCGAAGUGAGGGAUUUUAACCUCCCUAAAAAGCACCCUUUGGGCAAGCUUCAGUCCCAUAAUAAAGCACAUAUCAAGCUUAGGGUUAGAGCCAGGUCUCUCUUGAUCGAGGCAACUCUCGAUAGACUCCUUGCUUGGGAACGAAAUUGUGACCUUCAGUUUACUCUUCUCACUCACCUGAUGGGAUGCCAAAAAUCACUAAUAUACUAUACAUAUCUUCUCCAAUUUUAGGAUCAGCCAAAAACAAAUUAAGGGGUGAAAGAAAAAAAAAUAAAAGAAAAGCCCUAAAACUGGAAAGGGGACAGAACGGUCUUACCAUGGCAAUUGAAACGGACCUCAACCAAGGAGGAGUUCUAGGAGGUAAAUUAGCAUGUAAAAUUUUGUAAAAACCCCCGACAGCAACAUUCAGUUUAGUUGCUCUUCCUCUAGUUGUUGGAACCAUCGAAAACGGCUGUGAAGACACGGAAUUUAUAUUUCCCUUCAGCAAGAAACCCAAAAUAACAGACUAUUUAUAUAACUUUGGAGAAGGCAUAAUUUACCCUCAAACCAAAAAUUAAUGGUGAAGAAAAAAAGAAGGGCCGGGAGAAAAGAGUAGCAACUUGCCUUUGUGGGUAGUUGAGUGUUGAGAAGGAAGAAAAUAGAGGCGUUUAGGAGUUAGGACUUGGGAGGUGAGUUAAAGCGGCACCGAGUCGGGGGAACCAAAGUGAUGUAGUAGUACUAGUGUUACUAGUGCCAAGUUGUUGAACUAAGGUCACCCGACCGUCCUACGUAGGAAGGAAUGAUUUUGUGGGUGUUCCAGGAUAAGCCGCAAUAGAGAGAGAGAGAGAGGGGAAGCCGCUGCUGAAGCCGCUGCUGCUGCUGCUGCUGCUGCCGCCGCAACUGAAAGAGGAGAGAGAGGGUUUUGAGAAAAUCGAGAUGGCGAACCAACCCAACUCAACUGCCGAACCGAUGCGGGUCGGACUCCACAGCACGGUGGGCCCCACGCUUAGUUUUGUUCUGUUUUUAAGCGUUUACCUUUAUAUAUUUUCCGCGGAAAUUUUUGGGUAAAAAAAAAGAAAGGAUUUCUGCCAUCUGUCAUGUAAUAAUGAAGUUCUAAUUAUAAUUGUCUCUCUCUUCUUCUGCAAAUAAAUAAAUUAAUUAAUUAAUUAAUUAAAAUUUGAAUUAUAUUUUUUGAACUCCAGGAUUGCUCUAAUAUAAAUCCUUUAAUCUGCACGAUCAGAUUAAUUUUACAUUACAGCUGGAAAAGCAAAUUUUUUUAAACAAAGUCCAACAUCUAAGAAAAUUUGCUGGACGGCAGUGAAAUCAUUUGUCGAGGUUGCAAAUUAACUAAACCAAGAAGAAAAACUAUAACCAGAAUAAAUUUAAAUGAGCAGCAUUUCUGGUAAUUAACAAAACUUUGACAACAGUGACAAGAUAGAUCAAGACUUAUUUCAAGCUAAUUUAUGUGUAAAUAUAGAAAGCCAAAUCAUAAUUGACAGCAAAUGUUCACAUCAGGAAGCCAAAACCAAAAAACAAAACACAUAGCGAGAUUCAAGCUUUUGACCAAACAUAUUAAUUAUAUUAUAAGCAAGAAGGUGUGCGAUAGCAUAUCAAACCUUUGACUCAGUAAUCAAUUCUCAACUUUAAUUCCUCAAGAAAAUACUCGCUUUUACACUUGAUUCAAUUUGUUCAUCAUAUUCGUGUAUAGUUCAUGGCAACAUUAAUUGUAAAAUCUUACUGCCCCUUGUUAACUUCACAAACUAAUUUAGAAGUAUGUAACCCCUUUAUAACUAAAAGUUUUUUUUUUUUUAGGGUCUGAAAUCUAAAGUUUAAAUCCAUUAAAUUAUUGAGUUGCUAUGUAUUAAAUCUAAUACAUUGGAGUACAUAUCACAUUCAGUGAUAAGUGAAUAGUUUAUCAUAUAAUUUUGGGAGCAAAUUUUGCCUAAGAAAUUCAGUGCCGCUUAAUUAAUUCAAACGUUCAAUCUUUUGUUAUCAAACGGUUUGAAUAUGUUAAAAUCUGAAUCCAUUAAAUUUAAGUGUUGAAUUGAGUUAUCAAACACGAUUUAGCUCUAUUUAUAUAUAAAAAAAAAAACAGAUAAAAAGCAUGACCAUCAAUAUCAUGUAUACAUCACAUCACAAAAAAUAUUACAUUGUUAUCCUAAAUAUUUUUUUAUAAAUAAUCUCAUAUCCAAACACACUAGUGGUAAAAGGUUGAUGUCCUAAACAAGACUUUUGGGUUCAAAUUUUGCUGAAUGUGAGUCGAUCCAGAUGUGAUGUGUAAUUAAAUCAUAAGUGUCCAACAAUAGGUAUUGGUGUUAAUCGAAGUUGCAAGGUCAAAUUAGUUUUGCCUUACAGCGGCAGGAAAAGCUUUUUUUUUUUUUUUAAUCCAAAUUCCACCAUCUAAAGUAAUUUUGCAAUUCGAUACUUAAAGAACUUCAGGACAAAAGUUUGUCUAAGUUGAAGGACUAAAUUGAAAAUUUGAACAUUAAAAGGAUUUUGAUCAAUUUUGUACUCAUUCCAAAUCUCCAGGGCUCAAAGUCUCUCGGUUGGCAUUUCAGGAAGGGGAAGGAAAAAGAUCGAUUAGACGGCCAUGAAGCUGCUCCCCGCUGUACUUCUCUGGGCUCUGGUUCUGUUGGGAAGCCUAGCUCUCAUUCUGGUUUGUACUCCUCCACCACGCUGUCGUGUCGUCCCUUACGCUAGUCAGUAAAACCGCGAUUUAAUUUUUGGCUUUUUUUCCGUUUCUCCAAGAACCGAUUAGGCGACCCAGGAGCCACUUCAGAGCAUCCUGAAGAACUUGCAAGCAGUCGGAUUACCGAAAAGGUCAGCUAACUCUAGCCCACUUCACAGUUAUUGAAUAUCGCAGGCAUUCACUUUUAAUUAUUGACCUUUUCUUUCUUCUGAAUUUUUACGUAGAAUUAUUUCUCUGCUAAAGCCUGAAAUGUUUGAUUUCCCGAUUGAAAAUCUUAUUAGGCGAAAAAUUUAGAGGAUGAAGAAGAAGUGACUCACAAGGUCUACUUUGACGUACAAAUUAAUGGAAAACCAGCUGGUAUGCGCUAAUACAAUAAUCUUUUUUCAGUUUUUAUUUUCAUUAUUGAAAUUUAUUUGUUUUACUGUCAAAAUUUCCGGCAUCAUUUGAAAUGGCUAAUAAAAUUGGAAGAAAGGAUAGUACCGAAUAUAUUCGUACAGUAGCAUGUCAUGAUACAAACUUGAAAUAAGUUAUAGAAGCUUAUAAGCACUCAUCGAUACUUGAAUUAACUGUUAAAAAGGUUUCUAAACAUCUUUGCCUUUCUAUUUUAGAAUUCAUUUUUCUGGUUAUAAUGUUAUCCUUGAUAUGUUAGUGUUUUCUCAUUCUUUAAGUUAUGUCUCCUUCAACGUGCUCUAGUGGAACCCAAAAAAAGGAAAAGAAAAAAUGAGAGAAAGAGAAAAGAGAGUCAUUUAGAGCCCUAAUCCAAACAUGAGGAGCAUUACUUCAGUGAAGAAUCAAAUUCUCAGUUGAGAUAGGCACGUUUGAAGCCUGUUGCGUUGAGAAAGCUAAUUAGUCUUACUCUUGUUCUAGGAGGCGGACAAGUUACUGUCAACCGUUUCUUUUGUAUUGACACAUAAAACUUUGAUAACUGAAUAGCAUGCGAAUGUAUAAGCAACCACCAUGUGUAAGUAUCACAUCAUCACAGUUGUAUACAUGAUAUUGGAGAAAGAGCUUAUUCAAGAUCACUUUGGAUGGGGCCUAUCUUUAUCUGUUAUAUGAAUGAGAACAUGGUUGUUUAAUGUUCUGCUCUCUCCUGUUGCAAUACCAUUUCAUGUAUAGGAUCAUCAAAUUCUAUAUGCCUGAAACUCAUACACCCUGUAAGAGAGUCAUGGUGAUUAAGCAUUAAAUUUAUCUAAUCAUGGUGGAACAUUGACAAAUGUAUACUUAUUAUGAGAAAUUGUUAUUACUCACCAACCAGUCUGGUUUUUCCCCUUCCAUCUUGUACUAUAAUAAGUAAGCUGCUUUAAAAACUUGUCCAUGUGUGAUUUGCCACCCCCUUUUUGGGUAUUCGAAAUGGAGAUCAGGCUUACAUAGACCUUUAUUUUGAAAUUUGACGAUUUAAAAUGUUAUGUCAAUAUAUUCAUUACUGUUUCCUUUCAGGUCGUAUUGUCAUGGGUCUUUUCGGAAAAGUUGUUCCAAAAACAGCAGGUAGUACUUGCUUGUAUAAGUGUUAUAGCUUAACUUUCCUUUUUGGUUUGUUUUAUUGCUUUUGUUCACCUGACAGCCACUUAUUUAUUUGUUUAUCCUGCAGAAAACUUUCGGGCUCUUUGCACUGGUAGCCAAGUAACUCGUGUUCCUUUUUCAUUUUUUAUUUCUUAAGAUGAGGAUUUAACUGAUUCUGCACAUCUGCUUGUCAGUUCAAUAACCCCCCCCCCCCCCGGAUUUGUAUGUAUUACUAACAAGGACUAUGAUAUGAUGAAUGUAUUGGUGAAAGACAUCUGGCUAAAUUGAAGGGGAAGUAAACUGUCCUUUAACCAAGAAGUUAAAUGAUCUAAAAUGCUUUAUGAAAAAAAAUAUUGAGAAUUUGUGUUGGAAAGGAAGAUGCUUAAUCUUAUUCUUGCAUUUGUUAAUCGUCUUGGAGGAACAGAAGCAUUUUGUACUAAUAACUUCUGCAGGUGAAAAAGGGGUUGGACGGAGUGGGAAGCCUCUGCAUUAUAAAGGAAGCUCAUUCCAUAGGAUCAUACCAAGCUUUAUGAUUCAGGGUGGUGACUUUACCCGUGGUGAUGGGCGCGGUGGAGAAUCAAUCUAUGGUGAUAACUUUGUUGAUGAGAACUUUCAACUGAAGCACACUGGCCCAGGUAAACUUUCUUAGUGCAUUACGUGGCAACAUUCUUUGGCAUGUGUGAAAGCAGAAGCUGAUUUUAUUGAGAAUUGGAACAAACUCCAAAUAAAUGAGGCUGGCAGCACCAGGCUUAUUAAUGUUUGAUAUCAUUGUUGUGGAACAGGACUUCUCUCCAUGGCAAAUGCUGGACCAGAUACAAAUGGAUCACAAUUUUUCAUCACAACAGUCAUAACUAGCUGGUAAACUGUUCUUGCUAAUUGUCAGUUACUCAGUAGAGCAUUAGUGAAAAUUUGCACGGAACUCAUUUGAUCUUUAUACUGUGUCUAACACGUCACUAAAUGCUGCCUUAAAAAAAAUGUAACUACAUGUUUAAGCAUAUCCAAAGUACAUAAUGGUUAUAGCAUCUGACCUUUGUGGGAGAACUAUAACGUGGUAUCCUGGAAUGUGGUUUGCCAUUUUAUAUCCUCUUUAAUAUCCCCAAAUGUGCUUUUCAGUUCAGGAGCUAUUGAAGUUUAACAAAGUAUUCUUUUGAAUUCUUCUUAAAGGUUGGAUGGGCGUCAUGUUGUGUUUGGGAAAGUGCUUUCUGGUAUGGAUGUUGUCUACAAGGUCGAAGCAGAAGGGAGGCAGAGCGGAACACCCAAGAGCAAAGUGAUCAUCACAGACAGCGGCGAGCUAACAUUAUGAGGACCUGCGAUAGCAGUAUGAAACUUGAUGCUGGACAAUCGUACACAGAAUUUAGGCACUUAUGCCAUGUGAAGCUUACAUUUGAUCUUCAAAAGAACCGUUCCAACUUCACCAAGUCUCUGCGAAUUUUCACUGGCAAACGCCCUAUGUAAUACAACUGCGCUUGAAUUUCCAAAGACAGUGUGUGAAGUUUGUCAUUAGGAACCUUCUUGGUGAUACCGUUGGAAGCUUGCUCGAAGCAUGCUUUGUUGUAGUUUUUAACAUUUCAAAUGCGGAUGCUAGCUUCUACCACUAACUGAAAAAGCUUUGAAGCCGACUCAACGUUAAGCUUUUGUAUAAGCGACUAAAACAAUUCUUGUUCCUCUCCUUAGCAGCGCACAAUCACUGACAGCAUAUUUAAAAGGCAAGUCAGUGAGAAAUUUUUACUGGUGUAACGUAUAACAUGAUGAGAGUUGCUUGACACAUGAUACCGGCAGCAAAUCCAUCUCAAACAGGCCGGAAGCAUGUCAAAUCGGCUAAGUGGAAAUAGGGGUAGCGAAUUGUGACAAAACUGAUGAUUUUUAUUGAUGGUUUCGACAUGGAAAUCGGCUUAGUCUUCAAUUUCUACCAUGCAAAAUCUGCUUCUAAAUCCUUUUUCUCCAUUGAUUAAACCUGGGUUUAUGGCAAUUCUUUUACUGCAACAAUUUGUUACUAAAUCGGCCUUUUUUUUUUUGGGGUCACGCAUUCAAUCACGCAUAGGACAUCACUUCUAAUACUGAACUCUGAAUUCAAUCGCGCAUUCAAAGUUUUUUUGAAAAAAAAAAAAAAAGAACUGGUACGCUGUGCUGUGUUUUCAAACAUUAACUCCUUAGGUUAUUGAAAACUACAAACAUAAAAAUACAUAUUAGCUUCUGAAAAACAUUCACACACCUUUUUACUGCCAAAUUUCUCGACAAGACAAUGAUACGAUUAGCACAAAGAACAAAAAUAAAACAUUUGCGUAGUAUAAUAAAACUGUGUGAUUCCCUUGCAAAGUUGAUGGACUCAAUUUUGUUCCAAAAAAAUUCUUCAGCUAUCAGAUUUUCCGGCUUCUUCUUUGCCACUAAUCUGCUGCUGACACAUGUUCGAAAAGUUAACGGAGAGAGCAGAAUAGAGGGAAACGACUUUAUUAAUAUUACCAUUAAUUUCCUGAAUGAGAGAAACGUUUUUAACCAAAUUGUCGUGAAUUUUGGACCGAUGGUUGUCGUUCACUUGCUGAAUCAGAACUCGGUUCCGAUCCAAAACCGACUGCACCUGUUGGAAGCUGUCAGUGAAAGUGGUCCACAUCCGGGAGCUGCCGCCGUCGAAGGAUUCGUCGCCGGCGCCUUCGUUCUCUUCCAUAUAGGAGUGGUUGACGAGAUUGGCCGUGGUGGUGGUGUUGCAGUCAUUAGUUGUGAGAGCAUGAGCUCUGGUUAGGGUUUGAGUGGUGCGGCGGUGGAGAUUGUUAUGGUGGUCGGCGUGAGAGCCGUCGUCCAUGGCGGCUUCGGCGGAAUAGAACCUUACACAGAUAAAUAUCUAUGCAUAAUUUAUAAUGUGCCACUGGUGAUGCAUGAGUGGCGCUGAAUGCUUCUACUAAACUUGGGUAUUCGUUUCCUCAGAACGAAAAAAAAACACUUACGUAUGCGUAAUGUUAUGAGAGCGAGACGCGAUGCGGAUUGGGCGAAAUGUUUUUGAAGUCGUACUGGCCAGUAAAUAUCAUUUACGUAUCGUAUCGUAUUUUGUGUUACUGAAUACAGUUAUUGUAUACGAAUAAAUUUUUAACUUACAAUUAUAUUAUAAUAUAUUUUUAUAAAUAUAACAAUAUAAUGCGAAUAUCUACAAAUAAUAUGUAAUAAUUAUAAUAAAUCCAAUUGAAUCGCACGCACAUUGACCUGUUCGGAUAUGUAUAAGUGGUAAGAGUAAACCCAUGGCGUAACGUGUUAGUGAUUUGACUUCGUAGGUGAUCUUUGUAACAUCAAAUCAUCAAUUAUAGUUUGGCUUGUAUAUAUGUACGUGACUGUAUACGUGAUAUUUGAACAUAUUUUUUAAUUAAUUUUUUAUUUUUUACAUAUCAAAUUAUUAAAUAUAUAUAUAUAUAUAUAUAUUUUUUUUUUUUUUUACAAAAAACCCCUGCUUAUCAAGUUUGAACGACUUCUAUUAAUUCUUUUUCACAUCAUAGGAGCAAGUGGGAGUGUGAGGGAACUUUAGCCUUGGUGACUUUUGAGCCAGAUUAAUCUGCACUGCACCCUAGUGGUAGCACACUAGUAGAUAUUUAUUUAAUUUGUUUUUGGAAGAGGAAAAGUUGAGCUACUUCUAAAAAAUAAAUAAAAAUUGGUCACAAAGGAAGAAAGACCUGACUUGGCAGCAUAGAAAUGAACUUAAAACUCACUCAAGAGCAUGCCACGAUAUUUGCUGUUUCGUGUCUCAAAGUCUUUAACCGCGUGAAGUGAAGCAUCUAUCAAUCAGCAACCGGCAGGCAAGUGUUGCUAGAAAAGGCUCUUAUUCGAAUUAGUAAUGUGAAUGGAAACAACUGGUAAAGAGCAGAAACAUGUCAAAAUUAACAACAUCCAAACCUCCAACUGGUUAGAUUUGGAUUGCUAUUAUCUAAAAUUUCUGUAAAUAAUAAUAUAUAUAUAUAUAUAUAUAUAUAUAUAUAUAUAAUAUAGCGAUUUGAUUUGACGUAGGAGGAGGAGUAAAAAGGAGAAAUACAAGCACUGAUCUCACGGAAAUCCCUAAUAUCUAGUUGUUUCAUUUUAGAGGAAUAUGAUGGACAUGUAAAAUCAACAGCAAGAAAAGCAUGUUCAUGUACCAAGAAAACAGAAACUAGCAGGAACUUUAUGCAUACAAGAAGACACACAACACAUAUAGCUUUGUCCACAUAUCUUACUAACAGCUUUGUUCACAGAGAGCUAAACCCAACCCUUUCGCUGCUGCUCUUAAUUAGGAUAGGAAUAUCUUCGAAGUAAUUUUGCGUGGAGAUCUUUCUACUACUUUAAAGUAGUAGCAGUAGUGUGUUCUAGACAAAUCAAGUGGAUUUAACUCUGGGGGAGACGUUCGCCCGCAGUGGAUUUUUCAUGACGACCGUAAAUUCUUGCUUUUCCGAGAGAUCAACAUCGUCACCGUCAACAGCUCUCCACUCGAAAUGCCAAAUCAAAUUAGCCACGAAGUACUCCAAAUGCAACAGAGCCAGGUUCGAGCCAGGACACACUCUCCUUCCAGCGCCAAAUGGCAUCAUCUUUAUCUCUUUACUCCCAGUAACAUCGAACAGCUGACCUUCGCUAUUGUCCCCAGCCAUUUUUUCCUCUAAAAAUCUCUCAGGCCUGAAUUCCAUAGGACUUUCCCACACUUUCGGGUCCCAGCCCAUCUCUGCCACCAUGAAAUUCACAGUAGCGUUCUUGGGAACUACAUAACCCUCCAACUCCACAGCUUCAGUGACCGAAUGGGGCAGCACAAAGUGCCCAGGAGGGUGACGCCUGAGCCCCUCCAGCACCACUGCUUUCAGGUAAGGUAUUUUCUGUAAGUCCUCUUCCUUCACCUCCUCCGUCUCCUUCAAACCGUCCCCGGACGACGACGAUGACGAUGACAAAGACAAAGACAAAGGUGGUGGCGGGCCGACAACCUCCACUAUCUCUCUGUAAAGCUUGUUCUGAACGGCAGGGUACUUCACCAAGUUGGCCAUAAUCCACUGCAGCGCAGUUGACGUAGUAUCAGUGCCCGCAUUCAGAAAUUCGGAACACAGCGUCACCAUCUCCCCCUCACUAAGUUCCCUUUUCUCGUCCGGCAAUUUCAAGCCCGCCAGGGUAUCCACAUAUGCCACCACUUCUUCCUCCUCCUCUUCUUUAUCAUCAUCGUUACGCCGCUGUCGUUUUGCUUCAAUUCGGGCUCUAAUCAAAGGAACCAGCAAUUUUUCUUGAUCUUCCCGUAAUUUCAGAAGCUCCUUCCAUUGGCUGCGAAACAGAAUCUUCCCCAAUCUAGGCAAGAAAUUGAGAAUAUUGUAGCGGCCAAAACUCAGCAGCGCCCGACGCAUCAAACUCUCAACCUCCUGAAUUUUUGUCUCUGUGAGCUUGUCCCCGAAGCACAUGAGCAGCAGCAGACAGAACAUGGCGUAGCGGAAGUGACCGACCACCGUCCUGUCCAUAUUGGCGGGCUCAUCAGCAGCAUGAUUUUGGUGGAGAAAUCGUUGGAAGAGGAUGCCUAAGACCCAGCGGCGGGCCCGGGUGUAUGACUGGACCCGAGACGGGUGGAGAAUCUCGGAAGUGAGGUUUCGGCGGAGAAGGCGCCAGGUGGGGCCGUAACGGGCGGAGCUGAUGUUAUGCUGGUUGCUGUUGAAGAUUUUGGCGGUGGGAAGAGAUUUUGGGCGGUCGGAGAAGACAGCGCCGUUCUGGACAAGGGCUCUGUGGGCCAAGGAGUGACUUGCGACGAAUAUGGAGGGGCGAGACCCGAUUCUGAGAGAGAUGAGGGGGCCGUACUUGGCUUUCAAUCUUUGAAGGACGGGUUCUAUAUCGGCGAAGGACAUGCGGAGCCAUAAGAAGGUGCCGAUGACUGGGAUGGUGUAGGGUCCCGGAGGGAGCUUGUCUUGGGUGUUGUUAGAGGAGGAGAGCAGGCUAAGGAGGGAUUUAAGGAUUGCAGAGAUGCAGAGGGAGACGACGAUGAUGAACCAAUACGUCUCCAUUGUUUUGUUUUCCGGUUUUCCCAGUACCCCAGUUUCAAGAUUAAAUAAAAGAUUGGGACUGGGAGAGCUUCCCUUUCCUUUCCUUUUCUUUCCUUCCCGGUGGUCUAUUUUAUUUUAUUGGUCUUGUGGUCUAGUCGUCGACUCGUGGUUGAGUGGAGGACAAGACAAAUGGAAACAGACACCGGCGGGUAAAUCAUAAAUGUCGACAAGACAAAUGGAAACAGACACCAGCGGGUAGCGUCCAUACUCCAUAGUCCAUACCACACUUGACACUCCGGAGGAGGAGGAGGAGGAGGAGGAGGAUAAUAUAUAUACUACUAUUAUAUGUGAUACUAAAAUGAAAGAGAAAGUAGUAGUGAUAUAAUAGGAAAGACGACGUGAUUAUUAUGCUGAAUCAAACUAUAAUAUAUUGUGUUUGGAUUGCAUUUUUCGUCAUUUUUCAUGGAAUAAUUUCUAUAGCGAUUUGAUAUAUGUGAGGAAAAAAGGUGAUAGAAAAUGUGAUUACGAAAAACGACAAUAUUUUCCGACGGAAACAAGCAAUUCAAGCAUGACCUUAGUUUAGAUGCGAUACUCAAAAUCUGGGAUUAUUGAUUGAUUGCGUCAAAAUUUGUGGUACUAUUUCUUUUUAUGUUUUGUUAGUUUGGUUUAGUGUUUACGUUUAUUUCAUGGGAAGAUAUGUUUUGUUGGUUUCGUACACCGCACCAGCCCUUGAUCCCCUACGCGCACAUAAUACAGAAUGUUUGAGUAAAACUACGGAUUUCAAAGCGUAGAUAGUUGCAUACUACCAAGUACGUACAUUUGAAAAAUACACUAAAUUAAUAAUACGUACAAUAACAAUAUAUAAUUUUGACAUCCCCUGUCACGCUGUAAACUUAGUUUUAAUUUCUAUAAUUGUGUACGAAAUGUGAAAUUAGAGAUCUUAAGUUUAAAUUCCUUCUCGCCUUCUCUCUUCCUACUUUUUAAAUUCUACAAUUUUCUUAUUAAAAAAACUAAACUAAUUAAAUUGCUGUCAUAUUAUUGACAUUAUAUGUAUAUAUAUAUACACACAUACGUAUAAACUAUGCUAUAAGUCUCUCUCUCUCUCUCUGGGUGAUAUAAGCGUGUCUUAUUUCGUAGAAAACUCAGAAAAUGUAUGUUUAUAUCUAAAUAUAAGAGUGUUUUUUCACAAACACCGGACGGUUGGAAAAGUUAGUUGCAAAGUAUGACAUGCUUCUCGAGGUAAUCCCAAAGAAUAGUCUAGACACGCAAAUAGAUCUUCCAUUCUCUAUAUUUUGAAUUUACAUCCAUUUUUGUUGUUUGACUUGACAAACAUUCUGAAAAAAACAAAAAAACAAAAAAACAAGAACGUUCAAAAGGCAUGUAAAUGUCAUCAUCAGCACUCUCACCAUCGAUCCACGCCACGCCAUCUUUCAUGGUAAUUUUGACUAUUCGUGCUGUUUAUCUUUUCAGUUUGCUUUUGUUUACUUUUUAAGGGAAAAUCGUCAAAUUGGUCCCUAAAUAUUUUCACUAACACCAAUUUGGUCCCUUAAAGUUUUUUACUAUGAAAUUAGUCUUCAAAGUAAAAUAUAUACGCCAAUUAAGGACCUGCGUCGUAGCGCUGCCCCAAACUUGUCUCUUAUUGAAGUAGACGGCAGUCCAUUCAGGGGCUUUUUGGGCAUUUCAUGCACUCUCUCAUAAGCUUUCCUAAUUUCGGCAUAUGUUGGACGCAAACCAAUUUUCUAUCUUGAAUUGCGCUCAUGAUCUCCUUCUGUCCUUUGACAGCAUUUUCAUAGCUCUGCAGAAGAGAAUCAAUCCACUUCCCCAUUGAUCCCAGAGGGAUGGAAGUAGUAGCAGCAAGGGCGGCCGCAACAGGAGGAGCAGCCAUAGCAGCAGCCAUGACUGAACAUAUAAGAACAACAGCAAAUGCUGCAACAAAGAUAAUGCUCGCCAGUUUUCUCCAAGCAUGGAUGUACUUAAGCUUUUUAUCAAGCUUAGUCUUUCGCAUUUGCAGCUUCUCAAGCAUCAGAAUUUGGGCAUGGGAAAUUUCACCAGGCUUGACAACUGGAUUAGAGGCCAUGGCUUCUAAUUUUUGGGCAACUGGGCAUAUCCAGUUGGGCAAACUUCCCCAUAUUUAGGCAACUGGGCAACUAGAUUAGUCACCAAAUUUGAAAGACUAAGCUUCUAAUCUAGUUGUUUCUCUUGAAAAAAUAGAAACUGAAAUUUUUCUGGGAGAAACAGCAUAUGAAGAAGAUUUUUUUACCUUUCAUAACAGGGUAAGUUCAUUGGAACAAAUCUCUGAGUAAUUCAAUUGGAUUGUAAAGAUAAAAUGCGGGGAAACAUCCCAAAAGAAAAAAAAAAAGGCUUCCAUCUGAAAACUCAUAUCAACAACCGAGAAUCAACAAUGGUUCUGAUCGUCUUUAGUCCUCAUAACUAGGAACUGUUUCAAGUAAAUCAGAGCUUUAAUCCUCUGUCUGAAUUCCAAAUCCACUCGCUUCAAUUGAUAGAGUAGCUACAAAAGACCCACGGGCGGAGAGAGACAGAUGAGGAAUUCCGGCAAAAGCUCCAAGACAAAUGUGAAGGCCGGCAACGGUUAGGAGAUCAGGAGAGAUAGGAAAUCGGGUACAGGCAUGAAUGGAUCGCCAAAGAAAGGUGGCCAUGGCGGCAAGUUCACGUGGUCCGGUGACGGUUACUCCGAUGCUGAGCUAGGACGGAUCCACAAAGAAGCUGUCUACAUAAAUGAUCCCAACUAUGAAGAUCCUAUUAAGAACGAAGACUGAAGAUCAUAAAUAUCAUCGUCAUCGGCUAUGAUUAUCAAAUGUUGAUCUUCUGAUUUCUUUGUUUUUUAAGAACUUGGAGAUGUAAAUACGCCUUUGAUUAUACCUAGAUAUAUGAAUCUAUGGUGAUCUAUGAUUUACCAUGUUAAACAAAACAAAAAAAAAAGAAUUCCAAAUCUGAUCUUCACCAACCCAGAAACUGAUCUUCCGACUUAAAAAUUCCUGCAAUCUCCCCUGUCGAACAAAAUUCAGCAAAAAAUGACAAGCUUAAAUUGCCAAAGAUUCAUACAAGAAAAUCCACGAAAAUCAAAUUUCCAAUACCAUCACUAACCUCCAAAGCUUCAGGAUUAGACAGAAAAAUCAGAUUUCUAAGCAAACUCAAAUCCCAGUCCAAAGAAUUCUUCUGAAAACAACUCCAAUUCCUCUUGAAUAUCCAGUUGCCCAAAUUUCACCAGGCUUCUCAAGCCCAAAUUUCGCAAUUUCACCGGGCUUCUUACUCAUAUGACUUCCCAUGGCUUCUUCUCAAGCUUCUAAGAAUUCAUGGCAUGAAGUGUCCAAAAAACCCCUGAAUGGACCACCGUCUACUUCAAUAAGAGACAAGUUUGCGACGGCGCUACGACGCAAGUCCUUAAUUGGCAUAUAUAUUUUACUUUGAAGGCUAAUUUCAUAGUAAAAAACUUUAAGGGACCAAAUUGGUGUUAGUGAAAAUGUUUAGGGACUAAAUUGGCGAUUUUUCCUACUUUUAAAACUAAUUUUAAAUGAUAGUAUAGUAUAGAUAUCUGGACAAGAAAACAGAUUGAAGGUCUUAACAACCCAAAUUUUACCCCAAAGAUCAAAGAAAGAAAAUCACCUGUCAAAAUACAAAAACUCGCCUUUUACAUAAUCCACACCCAAAAUUUUCCCACAGUUCCGUGCAUUUAUUGAUUAAAAAAAAAAAAAAGACAACAACAUGAACUGAGACAACCAGCAAAACUUCCAAAGUAAAACAAAACAUUUUAGCGACAAAAUAGCACUUCGCAACUGCAAAAGAAGUUUUCCAGUUUCCCUGCUUUGAGUUCUUAACUGAAGCAUACAUCUUGCUUAGCAACUCCAGCGGGACGACAGCUAACGCACAAUCUACUCCCAUUGACCUUCCCAGUGGUUCCACUCAGAUGCAUUUAUCGUGGAUUUUCCGUCAGCGGCCACGAGGUCAUAUGGUGAGUCCUCUGAAAACUCAGUGGGCAUGGAUUUCCAGUGGAGAGAUGGCACCCAAUCAGCUUCCCUCAACACCUUCAGUAUCUCUUCCACCACUAUGUUACUCCCUUCUGCGGAAAAGUGAACCCCAUCCCUGUGGGAGGCAAAAAUGUGCAUUGAAUACAAUUGUGGAAUAAAAUAUACUAGCGUUUCGGUAGCAUAUUAUACUUCCGGAUGAUUAUAUUGCCGUUCUUUUCCUGGAUUAUUAUCAUUGCAAAACUGCAUAUCGACUAGUGCUAAUUCCUAGCCUGGAUUCCUGCAUUGUACCGGAUGCAGUACCUAUUUGUUCAUGUCUCCAGGAAAGAGAAUGUAAAGAAUGGGUAAAAAUCAAACUUACGUGAAGCAAGCAGUAAGCCAAUCAUCUCGUUUCUGAAUCGCAUUGAAAAGAUCAAUAACCUUUAUGCCCAUCUCUUUGCAUAACUCAAUUAAGGCUUCUGAAUACAUCUGGCACAACUCAUUUGUUCGAACUAUCUCACUAAGCAUAGGACUGUUCGGAAAGAAGAAAAGGCUUAAAUGACUAGUCAUGAAAUUUGGAAACGAAAUCAAUGACAAGGAACAAAACCUAAGAGAUUGGCAUCAAAUUACUUGUAGGUUGCUUGAAGUACGGCCUCAUUGACUGGUGGACAACUGAGGAAGAUUAAGCGGGUUGAGUCGGAAAGGCUCUGACAUUUAGAUACCAUAUUAGCAAGGAGAUGUACACAAAUUUUUUAACAGAUUAACCAAAAAGGAUGGCAAAAAGAAAAUACACAUCAGGCAUCAUGCUACUGCACCCACUGACAUUAAGACCUUCGAUGGAAAUUUAUAUUGCGGUUUUUCCAAUUAUUAAUCUGAUCGUAACAGCAUAAUAGGAGUGAGGAAUUUUUCUCAUUUUCUUAGUUUUUCUUUUUUUCUUUUUUUUUUUGGGGAGAGAGAGGGGGGGGAGGGGUUGUUGGAGACAAUAACAAGAACCUUAAAAUCAAAAGGAAAUUGAGGAACUUUAAGCUUCUAUAUGUUCAUUCACGUUCCUCUGAGAGUGGAAAAAAUCACUGGUAUCUUCAUGAAGCUAUGUCAUCAAGUUUGCUCUCCUAUGGCAGAAAUGGGAAUUUAGGCCUGCUUAAGUAAUCUUUGUCUUCUCAUAAGAACCAUAGAACAUCGAAAUACAAACAUUUUAAGGGUCAUCUAUCUAUUGACAGAAAAUCAUAGUAAUUGUUUUCCUCACACACUGGCAUAGCAAAUGGAGUGUACUGGCUCACCAUAAUCCCCAUGGAAAAGGACUGAUUCAUUAACAGAAGCAAGGAAUAUUGCCAAAAUGAAGAAUCCAUUUAGCGCUUGUUCCUAAAAAUAGCUUUUUUAUGUUAAGUCUGUGUCUGAAUAUUUUGUAUCCCGAUAGACCUUUAUUAGGUUCAGCCCAUGGAAACUUGCCAAUAAGUAGCAAAACUUGAAGCGUAAAUCUUUAGUGACUCUUUACAUAUCUAAAUUGUCCUCAUUCUUAAAGAUGCAUUGCUCAAUCAAGUUACCUUGAGAUGAAUCGCAAUUUUUCUCAUAUUCUCAACGUAUUCUGCAAGUGGCACAUGGGGACCCAGUCCAGAUGGGUGAGGCCCGAUUGAAUCAUUGCCACCAAAGUAGACAAUCACCAAAGCAGGCUGAAUAGCAGCAUCCUGCAACAGCCAAACAUAAACCAACUGUCAAAGCCCUGAUACUGAUAGACAUCACAUUCACUUAACAAACAAAGUCACCAACCAUGUAACAUUAACAAUUGCUAUCAGAAUUAAGCACAGCACUAGAAGAGGAAGUUGAAGAAGACAUCUGAAUCAAUGACUUAAAAAAAGGAAAAUCCUACAAAGCUCUAAUUCUGCCAAAGCAUCCAAGGGAGUAGAGUGACUAGCAUAUUGUUUCAAAACAGUGGUUCUGAUACUGUCUCAGAUGCAUCUUUAAUAAUAAGUUUUUUCACCCCAUCAAAAUUCUUAACCGGAAGACACAAAAAUGGUGCGAACAAAGUAGUAGUAGCAUGGACUGCGUUCAACAUUAUAAUCUUCAGAAACUUUGAACCCCAGCACAACAUGGAAUACCUUUGGAAAAACUUGAUCAAGGACCUGGAGAGCACGUCGUGAGUUCCACCCGUAGUAUCCACGCAUUAUAAUGUCUGCCUACAAGUGACCACAUGGUAGACGAGGAGAUUGCAUUAGACUGUAGUAGAAUUUUCAAAAUACUGCAUCAUGACUCCAAUCAAAGCCCCAAAUGCGUCAGCGAAAUGGGCCUUUCAUUUGACAAUGCAGCAGUACACGGCAGGGAUACAUAUGGGCAUGGAUGUAGAAUAUGUAUGUAAGCCUUUGGACAAAGUUGAUCGAGUUGAAAAAUUACACCGUAUUUAGCGUAACUUCCAAUAUAUGCGACCAAAAAAGUGAAAAAGAUGAAAUCAAACUCGCAAUAGAAUAUUAGCAAAAAUCGAAUAAUGCAAAGUGCACCAGGAAUAUAGUGCGCUUAGACAUGCCAAAUUUGCAUUUACAUAUAGUCAAUCGAACUUUUAUCAUCUUAAAUCAUAAGCUGAAAAUAUAAAAACCUGAUCAGCAAAGUAUCAAAAGCAUCCCCAACUAUUUUAAAAAAACGGAUAAAACAUGACAAGGUUGAAUUGAAUGAAAACUCAAGUGUGUUUGUGAAGCGCACACUCCGCAAUUUGAAGAUCCCCAUUUUAUCAUUAUGUAAAUUAUUAAUAUUAGAUGAGCUUUACUUUGGAGAAGAAUAAUAUUUCACUUUGGGGAAAAAAUUAAUAAUAAUAGUAGUAAUUACUUUGCGAGGGUAAAUAUCAGUGAGAGUGGCGCCCCAACCCUCAUUGGAGAAGCUGAGCUGCACAAUCGACGAUCCAAAGAGAACAAACUGCGGCCUCAGUGGUCCCACCAUCUCCGCCUCUUCUUCCUUUUAGCAAUUGAGUGUUGCCUGACAAUUUCGCCAGAAAUCAGCCCAAAAACAAGAAGAGGGGUAUCUUUGGGGUCUGCCUCUGUUGGAAACUCAAGAAAAAAGGAGACCCAGUAGUUAAAUAAAAACGCACGACUGGCAACAGCAAGGGGAUGCUAUUCAAUGAAAUAAAUUUGAGAGUCAUAAUAGCAGACGGUGUGAUGACGCAGGCAGAGGGCCUUCAAUUCAAUUCAAUUCAAUGUCCACCGUGUUUUGGGCCUUCACUAUACCUACCUACGUUUAUGAUAGCUAAGGGCCUUCAAUUCUAUGUCCACCGUGUUUGCUUCUCCCUACCGUAGCCACAUUUAUCAUGUGUAAGAACCAAUAAUGUCCACCGUGUUUUGGUUAUCCCUAUUCCCUACCGUAGUCACAUUUGUGAUUGUGAUGAUGACCUUCAAUUCAAUGUCCACCCACGUCUGUCUACGAUUAAUCAUAUUCGAACCCAACAUUGUUUUUUUUCAUUUCCAUAGGUUUCGAACUCGAAACCUCAUAAUUAAGAGAUGCAAAUCCCUUCUGUUUGCACCAACAUCCAUUGGUGCCUGCCUACCCACAUUUAUGAUAUGAGGUCGCAAGGGAAUAAACACGAAACAAACAACCUCGUUUCAAUUAAUGAGACUCAAAAAAAAAAAAAACGAAUGUGUUACUUCAACAAAUUCCGUCACAAGGCGUCGGGACUCCAUUCCACAAAGUGCCGCCAAAAUGAACAACAAAGUGCACUUUUCAGUUCAAAUUACCCCUACACAUCUCUUUCCAACACAUUCCUCCUCCCUCCCAAAACUUUAAUGUAUGCAAGAUUAUCUCUUUACUGAUUUUUGUCUUUCCUAGCUAGAUAGAGAAUGGUGUUUUGUUCAAUAUUAUGGUAAGUAUUUUUUCCCCGAGUUUCAUUUUAAAGUCACAAACCAAAUAACAAUUUCAUUUCAAAAAUUUUAAUUUUGAAGAACCCGUUUGGCUCUAAUGGAGUCUGUUGGGGUAAGCAAUCACUUUUAUUUUUUUUUAUUAUCCUAACUAAUUGAAACGAGAUCGCUUUAGCUUUGGUUAUUCCUUGGCUACGUGGUUGUUGCUGGACCUCUUGUUUAGUAAUGUGAGAGGACUACUCCUGAACGAUUCUUCUAAUGACCGUUUGUGCCCCCAUAUUACAUUUAUGAUGGUUAGUCACUAGGGAUGGCAACGGGGCCGGCGCCCGUGGGGGGUCAUUGGGGCAGGGUUUGGGAUGGGAGCGGGAGGGAAUUUUUUACCCCCGUUUAGAAACGGGGCUGUCCCGCCACCCGUUUGGAAUAUAUAUAUGUACAUAAUUAUAUAUAUAAUGAUUUUAUCAAUUAUACUACUAAUUACACAUGUCUAUUAAUAAAAAUUAUUAAUUGUUUAUACUAAAUUUAUUAAUAUAUUUAUAUUAAAUUCCUAACUACACUUAAUACAAUAACACUUUUUCUAAAAAAACACAAUAAUAAUUUAGUAAUUGUAGUUGUAUCAAAAGUGAAAACUUGAUUAUUUUAGUUAUAUUUGUUUUAUUAUAUUAGAUUGUAUUCAAAUAAUUUUUGUUUAAUCAUUUUUAUGAGUUUCAAUUGUGAAGUUACAAUGAAUAAUAAUUUGGUGUUGCGUUGAUAUUUUAGUACUUGAUUAUUUGUUCAAAUUUAAUUAUAAUUAAAUUAUAUAAUAAAACUUUUUUAACCCCACGAAGGAAGCGGGGCGGGGUGGGGGAGCAAGGAGCGGGGGUUGGGGGAAGGUGUCCCCCGCCCCAUUGCCAUCCCUAUUAGUCACAACAGUUACCUAUCCCCAUUUCGCUUCUGGCUAAUUCCUUUGUUCAUUGUUGGAAAAAAAAAUAGCAAGAAUAAUGCUUUAACAUGAUUCUGGUAUAAAACUAUGCCUACUGAGCCAAAAAUUUUUUUUAAAAAAAUACCUGGCUACCGGGCUCAGCCCGAAAGGCAACUAAACAUUUUUCUAAAAAGUUGCCAGGUUGACAAUAGAAUAUAUUUUUUUUAAUGUUGGCCUGCUGGGAACUUUUCAACAAAGCUGCCAUAGCCCAGCAGCUCGCUGGGAACUUUUCAAGAAUGCUGUCGAUCUGUAAGCCUAACAGCCUGCUGUUUUUUUUUUUUUUUUUUUUAACUCGAAGUAAACCAGCAACCUUUUUCGUAAAUCAUUUUUUAUUUUAUGUUCAAGUGUAAGAAAAAUGUUUAGAUCUGUUUGCUAAAUCAAUUAUUUUUAUUUUAUGUUCAAUCCUAAGAAAAAAUUUUAGAUAAAAAAAGUCACAUCUCAUUCAAUUUAUAAGAAGAUGCAUUCCCAAAUAAAAGUGCUUAAUGUGCAACAGUAAAUGAAUAUUUAAAAAUCUUUGAAAGAUAUUUGCUAAAAUUAUUAUGUAUGGGAUUUGAUUUUAUAUUUUUAUAAAACAUAUAGAAAUUUGACAUUUACAUAAAUAAAAUGUACAAAUAAUUUAUUAUUUGAUAGUGGGUAGUUAUAAGAAUGGAGGUAGAAAUAAAUAUGAUAGUAACUAGUCAUGCAUGAAAGGUAAUUAUUAAUCUAAUCUAUAGUUUGACAAAUAUAACAUUAUUGUGCAUUAUAAAAAUAGAAAGGCAAAAAAUAGAAAAGAAGGAAAAUUUGAUAACGUGAAAUGGUAAAAUGGUGAAAUUUAAAGGCUUUUGUAUAAGUGACGGAAUUGGAGAUGCGGAGGAAGAGGGACAAAAAAGAACCAAGACAAUGACAGGAGGAAAUAAGGAGAGGGGCGGAGUAACCUUUGCUCAACGCCUACUUAUAUUGGCGAGGAUUAAACCUUGGUGAAGAUCUAGCCGUUAAUCUCAAUGGCUAGAUUCCAAUGCCAUUAAAAAAAACAAAGUAUCACUACGGAGCUGACACAACCCGACAGGGGCAAAAUUCUGCAAAAACAAAUUGCUGCACAAUUGCUCACAAAUUUUGCAAAAAUCUGCCCCAUCACACGAGUUUGUUUGGAUAAGAGUUUAUUUGGAUGAUUUAUUUGAGAUAAUUACUGUAGCACUUUUUAUGAUGUGAUGUAUAUGAGAUAAAAUGAUGAUUGGGAAGAUAAAAAGGUGGUUGAAAUUUGUAAAGUAAAUUUUUUUAUUUGAAAUCAAAGUUGUCCAAACAAACCCGACGAGAGUAUCCCUCCGUUCUUGACCUUUUUUUUUUGUAAUAAUGACUACUAACAUGACACAGCCCGGUAGCCAUCAUAUUUUUUUUAAUGAAAAAAGAUCUAGCUAGUUGUCGGGCUUAGUUAGCCACCACUGAUCUGGCUAUAUUAUGGGAAGGGGAAUCUAAAGAAAUUAAAGGAGAAUCCCGUGAGUCACCACUGAUUCAGAUAGAUACCUAUACAUCCACGGGUGAAAUUUUCAAGAAAACCUGAAUAUUAAUAGAGUUUUUAAAACUCUCUUGGUAGCCAAUUACUCUAGGAAUGUUUAGUUUAUUCUCAUUGGACUUGCUUAGUCCUUUCUUCUUUUACUCCAUUAAAAUUUCUUAUUUCCAUUUUAAAGUAUUGACUUGUCAAAAUGAAAUUUCGUAAAUCAAGAAGUAAAUUCAAGAUCCAACCAGGCAAGGAAGUGUCAAGUUCGAAUGCCUAACCAGUUCAGAUCUAGAGGUAAGGUACUGCUGAGAGGACAUGGACAAGGGCCUGAAGAUGGCAUGGGGACGCAACCAGUUUAGGUGGCAUGGAUUUGGUCACGGCACCACAUUUCUUUCUCACCUAAUUGAUCCCACGGACUGUCCCUCGCAUUUUGAAUCCAAAUAUUUCUUUUUAAAUUCCAAAUUUAAAAUGAAGCAUUUUAGUCCUUAUAUUUUAAAAGUCAUAGCUUCAUUCGUUACCGAUCUUUUUCUCCCCCUUCUCAAAACUGCGUGGACGCAUCAUAUUAUUAGCAUUUGGAUCAUUGAUUAAAAAGGACGAUUGGCAGCUUUCCUUCAAUGACUUCGUAUUGGAACUUCAUGUCAUCUUCUCAACUGUUGCUCGCUUCUUUUCGAGUAAAGAAGAUGGCUAACUAACAGCAUGCAAUCGAGCCUUUCAUUUUAAUCAUGCUUCAGAAAAGUGAAAACAAGAAGAACAACCACAUUCUAUUUUAAAUUACCAGGAUAAGUACAAGCUGGCACCGGUAUACAUUGAGAUUGAAUUUUGUUGAAAACAAUAAAGUUUUAAAAUACUAUAUUGAUAUUGCUGACUCAGCGAGCAAAAAAUAUGCGACCCCUUUCAAGGAACCUUACAACAAAACCGAAUGCCCACUAAUACAAUGAUGUAUGGAAUAAUCAGCCAACUUAAGAAGAAAAAUUAAGUCGAGUCAAAAACCGAAAAAACAAAUUCAUCUAGGUAUUGACCAAAAUCCUAAUUUAAGUGAGAGAACUAUGAAGCGGACUAGACAAAACAGAGGUACCGUGAUAAGCCCUGAAGAUAUUUCUCCCAAAUUCCAUAUUACAAUUUAAUAUCUUUCACAAAGUCAAAGCUCUCCGCAAUAGCAAAAGCCACAAUGCCACAUGCAUUCCGAAGAGCCGAGCUUCUAAGAGAAUCCUUUCCAACCAGACAUCAAUUCGAGACAUAAUUGACCUCUUUUGCCACAACUUAGAUUCAAUAACUGCUUCAGAGGAAACUCUUCCAAUAAUUAGAAAUGAUUCCAGGGAAGAUCCUUGCAUCUGUCCAAGAGCCAUUUUGAAUGGAAAAGCAUAAUCAGGCCCAAAUAUAGAUGUCAGAGAGGAGUUCACUGUCAAAAAGAGUCUAAUUCGAAGUAAAGGUGCUUCAUGCCAAACGUAGAAAAGAACUAAAAAGAGAGAAACUGGAUUUUUUUUUUUUUAACUGGGUAGAUGGGGCAAAUUGAGGUGUUGUCAAAACAAUAAACCGGCCAAGCAUGCGGAACAAAGGACGUUGGAAACCACAAAGCUACCGCUCAUCAAUCCUCCUAACUAAGGCCUUGUAAUUAAUGAUGCCAAUAUCUACCUCUUAAUAGAUCAUCCUUCCAAAGGAAAGAACGUUGACAAACCCCUUGAAUAAUCUACAAAAAUUCCAACACUCUCUUCCCUUUUGUGGGAUAACCAAGUUCCUUGAAGCUAAUUAUUUAAUCUAUACAUCCACCAUGGCGAAAAACCCACAGGGAUACAGGCCAGGCCUUUGACAAGUUUCAUUUAACAGCCAUGUGAAAGCCAAAAAAGCCAGAUAUUGGGAUACACAGAUAAAAAGCUGACAUAACUAGAUGACAUAAAAAAUUUAGUCAACACUUAGCAUGUCAGUAAAUUCUGAAGUUGAAAAUUGGCAGUCAUAAAUCGAAUUUGAACAAUUGUUUUACAAUUCACAGCACAUGUGAAGUAACGAGAAACACUUUGUCUGAAGAUAUAAAUACUCAAUGCCAAGAUUAAGUCCAUAAGCAAUGCAAGGAAUAGCCAAUAAGCGGAAAAUGAAAGCAUAAAGAAAUAAGAAGUCCAGAACUCACACUACAUGAUUGAAAAUAUAUAAGAGCUGACAUUAUCAUUCUUUGCACAUGUUAUAGUUGGCUUCACAGUGCUUGGAUUUUCCCGUUGCUAAAACUUCUUUCAUUAUUAAAAUCUUUUCCAGAUCACUAAAGUUCUCCAAAGUGGCACUAUUUUAACCAUACGAGUAUAUGCAGCAUAAGCUGAGUGAGAAACUAGAGAUGAAAUAUACACAAACUUUUAAGACUUCAAACAGAAUCUCUGUAAACUUAACAGCAGAUUUGCAUAGCUCAUCAUGAAGUAUUCCUCUUGAGAAAAUUUAAAGAUAUUGUAAACUAAAAGUCGUAACUUCAAACUAAUCACAACAUGCAGUGUUCAUAGCAGAGAUUCAUUUAAAAAUAUAUGAGACUUUUGAAUUUGAACAGUUAAAAGUUCUCAUACCAGCUCAUUACUAACUGCUCGUAAGCAGUCGUUUGUUUUCAGCAUCAAAAGAAUAACACGAGGCAACCUCCUGAGGAGUUCUGUGAUUUGAGGAAAAUAUUGUGAAGCAUACAUCUGCAAGAGAAAUAGCUAUGUUUAUAAACUGCAGCGAGAAUAUGGCAUCCUUGUCUGGAUUAAAAAUUAGGAAUGCCAAUAUAAACCCAAGACAAUGCACUCUUAUUCUCUUUUAAAAUGCUUGCUGUUAAUCUUUUCCCGUGAUUCCCAUAAUAAAAUUUGCCUCAAUGUGUAUUGAACAGUACAUGUUGUGUGUGUGUGUGAAAGAGAGAGAGAGAGAGAGAGAGCCUGCUACAUCUUUGAGACAGCUAGUUACCUGAGGUAUAUAGAUCUUAAGUAGCUAGUUAAAAAUAUAAAAGUUGAACUAUUCACCAUGCUUACCAUUUUUCCUUUUUCCAGAAGCUGGAGGGGAGAACGUGAAUGCUAAGGAUCAAACCAAGUUCACAGAUGAAGAAAAUAUAACUUUAAAAGCAUAACCGACUGGGUAAUUUCGAGUCCUCACUAAGGAUAGAAGGUAUCAUCUUGAAUCGAACAAAAACAAUUAUAAACAGGACAUGUUGUUCAGGACUCCAGCUGAAGUAUUUCAAACUUCCAGGCUUUGGCAAAAUUAUAUAGAUUUAAGAACACAAGAAAAAAAUUUAAUUAAACUUCAUGAAAAUCAACAACUUUAAAUGUUGCAAAAUAAAAAUGCAUAAAUAACCCCGUAAUUGGCAAACUACGUAAAUAGCAUAUAAUCCCGAUUAUCACCAAGUAUUCUCACCUGCAGUUCAGAAUGGUCGGUGCCGUGUACUACCAGAUGAUCAACAGCAGGGUCGAUCACUCUGUUCCAAGGUCUCAUUGUAAGUAUCCCAGCAAAUAAUGCAUAAAGGUCCUCUCCAGCACCCAAUUUCACACUAUUUUCCCUUAUUGCUUUAGGAUCAGAAAAAAUCAACCCCUGUAAUCACAUUACCAGGUUCAAGUAAAUGACAAAUCAAACCAGCACAACCAGGACUACUAUUAAAGUAGUUUGGAACUGCAACAAACCUUCCAGAGGGCAGCAUAAUUGAUUCUUAUAGAAUCAUCAAGAUCCUUGUAGAGACCAUGAUCCAGCAACACCAACUGUGGCUUUUUCCUGCCUGCAAAGGAAAAUUCAGGAGAAUGGGAAGGAUUAUUAAUGUAGUUGCAAAAGUCAAUAUACUACAUAUACAUCUCAAGUACAUUCGAAUUUUGACAGCACGGAAAAACUUGAAAGCACAAUAGGAAUGUCUCUACACACAAUCUGACCAGUGAGACAGACGUGAAAAAGAAUGUAUACAGUUUUAAAUGUUGCAUCCAAUUCCCAUUUACAGGAUUGUUGAUAAUAGUAGAAUGAUAAAGUUAAAAAACUUUCAGAAGGCACACUUAGCUUCCAGCAAUGUUACACUGCUACAUUACAAAAUAAAAUGAACUCACAGAUAAUCCACCAUGAUAACAGUAAAAGAUUCAAAUACGAUCCCAAAAUAGUAGAAUGAUAAUAUGCUCACAGAAAGGAAAAUGAUUUAAGGCACUUAUAAGUCGGGAAGGAGAAAAGCAAGUAAAGUCCCUGCACAAGUGGCUCACCAAAUAUGCUCCCAUUGCCAGAUGGUAAAGGGCGAACUAGUACAUUGGCAGCAUGUGGAUCACAAUGUACAAAGCCAUGCUUAAACAUCAUUUCAGCAAAAGCUUGACUAACCUGCAAAGGGUGAAAUAAAGGUCUCGUGAUGACAGCUCAAAUGAAAUAGCAUCUUCUGUUCAAAAGUAAUUAGAUAUCAAGAACUUCUCAAAACAGUGACAUUUUUAGCUUUUAGAAGAAGUCAACUUUUUAACUUCUCAAAACAGUGUCAUUUUUAACUUUUAGAAGAUGCCAACGAAAUUAGUUAGGGCACAUACUUAGAUAAAACUAGUAAUAUGAAGAAAAAAGAAGAGCCUGAACUUCAUAUAACUGUAGGCAAAAGGCAGCUAAACUCAUAAAUUGUCAUAAGCAUUUGAUGCUAACAACUGAUGUACUAGCAUAUUUGAGCAUCCACUGGAAGGUGUUAAGAUGCCAAAAGUGGCAGGAGAUACACAUGAAUGGUUGCGUGAAGGAGCAUGCAGAGACGCAGAUAGAGUUGUUUAAAUACCCCAACUUGUUAGUUGUUGUUGAUGCUACAGAAUCCAGACGAAUGUUCCGUAAUAUCAUAUUCCUUUGCCUUUCUUUUGCAAAAAAUAAAAUGAAAUGUGAAGACCAAGUGCUUACUAGCUUUGCAACAUCCCUUGGCUGAAUUCCAAGUCUUUGAAUAGUCUUCAAAUCAUUUACUUGUGCACCAUCAAUGUAUUCCAUAGUUAAUAAUCUUGAGGUACUGAGAUUCCAAUCAACUCGAGGAGCAUAGAUAUAGCGUGCAACUUGAGGCGAUAGCUUCCUGAAGUUGUCCAUACACUUUACACUGUUUUUGGCCUCAACCAAGAAAUCCAGUUCCUGAGAGCCACCAACAUAACUUGUCACGGAGAUACAGAAAUCUAAAGCUCAUGUAGAAAUUAGACUGAGAAUUGCAGACAUUAAUAAUGAGGAAGAACAUUAUACUCUUAUCAGAUUUAAAGAGGCCAACAGUCAAGCAGAAUGAUGAGGCAGAAACCAAAUGCAGACCCUGAUUACGAGAGAAUGACAGAGGACAGGUGAAAGAUUUAACACUAGCCCAAACAAGAGAACCAAAUUAAGGCACACUGAUCCUUUCCUUUUUCUUCUGAGAGAAGUUCACAUGAACUGAACUAAAUGACCAGAUAUUUUGAUUGCUUGAAUCUUAUCUACGAUUUCCAUGAGGGAAAAAGGAAUUAAUGGCUAUUUAAUUUUGCAAAAGUUCUGCACAUCACACCCAAUAAAUGCUAAAUCUAACACCUCCAGGCAUCCUCAAAUGCAUCUCUGCUCUAUAAAAAAUGGCAAGCAGAUCAGCUUAAAGUCUUCCAUGAAAAACAUAUAAGUUAAUUACCAUAUUGUCCACAACUAAAUCUACUCCUGGCUGAGAAAUACUCAAAGAUUAGAAUAUCCAUCCUUUUUUGAGGCAUACAAAACCAAUAUAUAGCAUAAGUUUGACGCAUUUCUUCUCUACAUAAACAUUUUAUUCAGCCUCUAAGUAAAAGGUCAGCUUCAGGAAAGACCAUAUGUGCAACGGAAUCUUUAGAUUUUAUUGCAUGCUUCCUCGACAUCAAACAUGAUAAAAGGAGCCUCUAAACAAGAUAGGUUCAUUGAUGAUGGCACCAAGGUUUUACAACAGACAGCCAUACACCUAACCAACCAGGGCUCCAUGAUUACAUAUUUAGCACUGCUUGAGGCUUUCGAACUGCUAAAGAAACACCAGAAAUCAACUUUAUCCAUAAUAACAGCUGUAAUUUGAAAACGUAUUGAUUUCAACAAAAAAAAGUUGAACCAAGUUGCUAUAACUGGGCCCAACCCACAGUCAAGAGGCAGGUACUUGGUGGCCAAAAGAGACACUUGUAAUGUAUGCUAAAAUCUGCAAUUUAAUGAAUACCUUUUUAAACAGUGCCUAACACUGAUCAAAGCAGAGACACUAACAAGAAUGAGAAAAUGGGGAAAGGGUAGCAAUAAUAGCAUAUAGAUUUGACAAAAUGUUAGCAACUAGCCUUUGGUAAAGAUUCGCGUAUUUCGUCGACCAACCACCUACAUAAAAGUUGAGAAAUUUUUCAUAAGAAACAAGUAUUGUUUCAAAAUAUCAUUAAAGGUUUUAAAAACUUUAAAUUUCACUUCAAUUUAGUUGGUAUGUAAAACACAUACUGCCAUGUUUAUGGUAACGCAUAUGUGCCAACGUAAGAUGUGUAUGAGAAGAGACACAGAGAAGCAACCAUGCACAUUUCAUGGUUUAUAUAUGCCAAGCAUCAUUACUUGUUAGAGAAUUAACUUUCCAUUUCUCAUGAAACCAAGGUAAAAGUGAGCUUGGAGAAAUUUUUUGAACCUGUAAUCAAAAGAAGGAAACAACUGAUGCAAUGUGUUCACUAUUAAGUCCACAGUUGCAGUGUCUGCCGCAGCAGUAUCUGUCAUGUGAGUAUGCUGAACCUGGAUCACAUGUCUAAUAGGUCAAUGAGAGGAAUGCUUAGUCAUAACGUGUACGAGCAACUUUUUGUAAGAUCAUAUGUCACAGACCUUGACAGCAACUUUUUGUCCAUCACGUGUACGAGCAAUAUGAACUUGUGCAAGAGAAGCACUCGCUAUAGGGACAGGAUCAAAUUCCUCAAAAAUCUGUAUACAAGAGUCUUCAACUCAGUUUUGAAGGUGAGGCAAUUAAGCUCUUGAUAGCUUAACUUACACUAAUAAUCUGUUUCAUCCUUAUAGAGGUUAAACUAUAAAUUUUAUGAUGUUGGAGAUACUAGAAAGGACAAGGACAUACUUCUUCAGGAGUACCUCCAAGCUCUUUCUUGACAACCUCGCACACUUGAUCAUAUGUAGAAACUGGGCAUUUAUUUAACAUGGACUCCCUCAUUAUAUGAACAUACUCUUCAGGUACUAAAUACUCCUAAAUAAGGGAAAAAAUUUAGGUCCUGAAGAAAGAACAUAAACGGACACUAAAAUUAUAUAAAAAGGUACAAACUGAUUCCCCACAAUCUCCUAAAAGGAACUCAUCAGAGUGACAUACCAAUUGACUAAUAUGUUGUCCAAGCUUGAUAUAUACUCCACCAUUCCUAAAACAAAGUUCUUGAAGUCUACGAGCACCCCUGAUGUGAACUUCAUGUUUAACUCUUGUCCAUUCAGGGCUACCCUCUGGUAAUCCCCAGAGCGAAUAUUUGUAAUCUAAAACAAAGAUAACAAAAUGGAACUCCAUUCAUUACAUAGAAAACUUUUCAAAUUUACAACACACUGUAGUCAACUUAAGAGUCACUACAAAUUGGACAUUACUUAUGAAAUGUGACAACAUAGCUUACGACUUCAAGGCAAUGCAUUAUGCAUCAAUAACUAAUUUGUUCACCUUAAAAAGAAAUAGAUUCUAUAAAUGAAGUCCAAAGCGAAGCAAGCCAUACAGGAUUCUGAGUCAUCUAUCCACAUAAAGGUAAAAGUAAUCAUCAUAUAAAGGUAAAAUUAACUAAAUACUUUAAAAAACCAAGAAAUUCCAAAAAAAUCAUGCUAACUGGUUCAAGUGAUUUCUUUUCCAUCGCAAACAGAAUUGUUUCACCAAAAGUUACUUAUACCAUGGUCCUGGAGGCAGUGAAAUAAAAGAAGAUUCCGCAUGUUUUUCCCUUAUCACGAUGCAUUGGUAAUUAGCCAUCCACCCAGGACUAUUCAUCUCCCUAACCUGGAGUAAAUAGCUUUUUGUAAAAAAGCUGAACCCUAGAAAUCUUCACCAACCACUAGUUUCCAUAAUGCCAAAUCCAUAUCUCCAUCCCAACCGUUUUAUAUUUCAUCUGCAUUACUAUUAACAUCAAGGGGUUCAUUCAUACAACAGUUCCCCGAGUUAAGGCUUAGGAAUUGAGACAAAUUUAGUACCGCACAAAAUCACAAAUUCACCUCACCUCUAGAUAUUCAUAGCAUCUAGCUUCAUUUUAAAGCAAUGACUCGGAGGAAUGCACAGAAAUAAGCUUAAAAUGCGAGCAAAAAGUUAAGGCGGUGCUUAUGAUAUAAGAAAGGUACAUACCAAAAGCUACAGUGGCGGCGGAGACGGAAUCGCGUAAUAAGCGGAUGGGGACGGCGGUGGAGAGCUUGAAUGCGCUCGCUGGAUCAUCGGAGCUCAUAAUCAAAGCCGCACCGGCUCCGCCUCCCGCGGCUGUGGCCGCCAGCAACAGUUUCGCUCUGGCGCGCCACACCGAUCUCGCCGCCAUGUUUUGGCCUUCCUUUUUAAUUUUUUCCCCCUUGUCCCCGCCUUUUGAUUGGCUUCGGGUUUCUAUUUAGAACUCCGAGACAACGGGGUGGACAGAAGCGAAACUUCCUCUAUUAUCCACAUAUCUUCCGACCGCCCCGCUAUUUUUAUGCAUUUUUACCUUGUGGAAAUGUUUUUCUUUUUCUUGAUCUUGGUUCAUCUUAAAAAUAAGAGAGGGGGGGAGGGAUUUCACAAAAAUUGGCUAUAGAGAGACGCAUAAACGACCCUUGGAAUUAUAGCCACUGUUGCUUAUCCAGACAAUGCCUAUGCGCUACUAAUCACUCUUCUUUUUUUUUUUUCCGCAUUAACCGUUCUAAAUCUGUUUUAUUUUGUCUUUGUUUUCUUCAACUUUUUAAAUCACAAUUACGUAUGGAAGUUCACAACAAACAACUCAAAACUUUUUUGUCUCAUGCGGAGUGAGCUGAGAGGCUUCUAUUGUCAUCACCGAAAUGUGGAACUCAAGGUAAGGAACCUAAAAGGGAUGAUUUAAAAAACUUUUAAAUAAGUGGAGAGAACAUAUUUUAAUUCCAAAUUUAUCUUCUUUUUUUUCAUGUCUCGCGUAUUAAUUCAAUACCAAAAUCCAUAAUAAAAUAAGUAAAAGGCCUGAAAACCAAAGAAAAUUUUGUGUGGGGAUUGGUAAAUUUCAAUGUUGAUUAGUGGAUUUUCAAAGUAAAAAAAUUGCACAAGAAUGGCCUAAUUCAAAUUUAAAAGAUAAGUUAUACAAGUCAGCAAUCUCUUCCAGCAGUCGAGAACAAAAUUAUGUCUGUAAUCACAAGGCCAUAGUAAAAGAGCUGAAGCUUGUUUGGAUUGUGUUUUAUUUGGAAUAUUUUUACUGUAGCACUUUUUUGUGAUGUGAUGUGUGUGAGAUAAAAAGGUAAUUGAGAAGAUAAAAAGGUGUAUUGAAAAUUAUAAUGAUGAUGUAAGCAGAUAAAAUUGGGGAAAUAAAACACAAUCCAAACAAACUUUUGGGAGUGGGAAAAAAAAAAAGGUAACCCAAAAAAAGCUAUACUUAUGCUAAAGAAAAUGUAAUAUUCUUCUAGUAAUGUAAAGGCAAUAGAGUAAUAAAGGUGAAGAACAUCAAUCAAUGUGGUAGGUAAAUUGGCAUUUUUAAAAAAAACCUACACUUCCAUUACACUAGCUCCUAAACUACUUAAUACGUUGUUGAGAAAUUUCUAGCACAGCAUUCAAGAAUUAAAACUCCAUAUGAUGUUAAUUCAUCGUUUGUUUCUAGAUUUAAAAAGACACGACGGUAAUUCCUUAAUUUUGUUUGAUAAAAUGGAGCAACACUAUAUACAACGCCAAAGCAGGAGUAGUAGUUAGCUACAUGAACUUCACUUCCAAGUUCCAUGGAUGGCAUCGCCAUGUGUUAGCUUGGUUCGCUGUAGAACACCUCCGCAAUACGUCCUGUCUUUGCACUCCGAAGUCAGUUCAGAAUUCGGAUAUCUAACUCUGAGAGGCGAUUCAGGCGAACGAUACUGUAAUUCGAGACGUAAAAACUUAUGAUCAAGAAGAUAAUCAAUUCCACUAGACACACAUAUCUAACCUCCCUUUUUUUAAUUUAAAUAUAUGUAAAUUUAUUAAGAAUUCCAAUUGAUUGUUCCUAAGGUUUUUUAAUUGAGAGAAAAGAGAUCUUUCUGAUCAUGAUUUUUGUCCAUUAUUAUAGUACCGAUAGCUCUUUAGUGAUUAAAGUUGAGGUAUCAGAACGUAGUGGAUUUUGAAUUCAAAUUCCCCUUCUCCCUACUUACUUUUUAAAUCCCAACAUUCUUUUUUUUUUUUUUUUUAAAAAGCCAUGGUUUCCGAAUAAUUAGCUGCCUUAAUCAAUCACCUUUUGGUCUAUCAUUACAGUAAUGAUAGCUCGCCAUUGAAGGAAAAUUUUGCCUUGUUUGCAAAGCUAUUUUACUCUAAAUAAAUUUUUUUUUUUUUUGCGUUUUCUAUGAACAAAUUUCUCAAUUAUUGUUUUAUCUCACAUAUAUCAAAUCGUUAUAAUAUUUUUUUUUACGAGAAACUCUGAAAAAUAGCAAUACAAAUGGGACCAAUUAUUUUGUAGAUAUGAUAAUCAUGCUAUAUUUACGUCGAGAAGACCUUGAUCCUGUGACUAAAGUUAAGACACUAGAGUGUAGCGAUUUUAGAUUCAAAUUUCCAUUCUACCAACUUCUUAAAUCCCAACUUUUUCUUAUUGGAAAAAAAAAAAACGACGCCAUGCUUUUCAGGUUACUGAAGAAUUAGCUGCCUCAAUCAGUCAUUUGUCAUUUUGGGGCUUGCUCGAUAGGAAAGACAAGCUUCUGAAAAGUCGUAAUCGCAUCCACACGGACAAAUCCUCACCACAUAUAAGUUAAGCAGAACAGGAACACUUUUGACAGUUAACGGUCGGUCUAAUGAGCUGGGAACAUCUAAAAUUAUCGAUCUGGUGUGGGAACCCAAGUUACCGAAUGUCGGCUGGGAUGUGGGGGGGGGCAAGAACUCAAAAGAUUUUAAAGAGACCGAAUCUUAUCUUUAAUUUCUCGAAGCUCAAGAAAACGUAAAAAGUAGCAGCAGUAGUGGUACAUCCGAUUGGGAUGAUGGCCUAUAUUAAUGUUAAUGUUUCGCGUAAUCGCCGUGGCCUGGGCCUGCUCCGUGGGAGAAGCGUGUACGUGGAUGAAGCAAGCCACAAAAGCCACUAGGCUAUAGGUCCCUCCCUUGCCUGACAAGAAAAGGAUCGCAUAAAUAAAUCAAUAGCAUUUCCUUUCCAAUCCUGAUGGUGAAAUGGGAUAAACGUAAUCUUGAUUUUUAAUUCAUUUGAUAGUCAAUCGUGUAAAGAACAUUUAUUGAUUAGCGUGGUACGUGGUAUGUUCGUGCGAUUCAUGAUUAAUAAUACCUCAAUCAAUUCCAAAGAAGGAGGCCCCCCGGAUUACUUGUCUAAUGGACAGAAAUGCUGCAGUGUGACGAGAUCAGAUACAUGUAGGCGGGUGUAAAAUGGGCAACUUCCAACGAUGUCCCAACACUUUUUUUCUUUUUUGUCAACACAAAGGUGUCCGGAUCAAUUCUUACGGGGCUCGACUAAUCCCCUGCGGUUCGGGAGAGGAGGCCCCACUCCACACCAAACACGUUAACAGCGGGAUUCGAACCUGGACAACGAUGUCCGAACGCAAUUGAUUGCUUUUUCUAGUUUUUUGAUCGCUAGCAUGAUACGCCAAUUUAGGUUCCAGCUGGGAUUGCCAGACUUGAGAAUUCGCCAUAUACUCAACACUUGGCUGUGUGGCUCUCAUCAAUAACAGGAAAUAUUUGGCUCACAAUAAUAAUAAUAAAAAAAUGUAACACUAAGUGAUAUCAAUCUAUAUUAAUUUGCUUGGGUAGGGAUGGAUUGGAAGAUUCAGAGAAACGAUUAGGUAGUGUAAGUGAGAGGUUUUAAAUUCAAACCCUUCCACUUAUAUUAAUUUGCCUAAUUGGAUAAAUCAACAUGUUGCUGUUUUGUCAAUAGCAAAGCUUAGACAACGGUGGAGAGCGCCUCGGGUUAUACUUGACGAUUUAGACUUGCUACUAACCGCAAGUCAUGGUGAAAAGGUUCGAAAUGCUCCGUCAAAUCAUUACAACACUAUAUUUUCACGUUUGGAUGGCAGUUUCUAAGAUAAAAUAUUUAUGUCUGUCGUAAACAUAUUUUUCAGUUAUCUUUAUAUCUCAUAUAUAUAUUAAAUCGUUAUAAUAUAUUUUUUAAAAAGUUUUGGGCAUGCCAAGAACGUGUGAAGUAUUUGCAAAGUAAAUACUCAUGUCACUAGUGGGAAUACCCGUGCUAUGCACGGUGUUGGCAUUAUUAGAAAAAAAAUAAAAUAAUGAACAAAUAAAGGUGAAAAAAUUUUACCAAUAAAAUUAAAAUAUAAUAUCUGUUUAACAAUAGUUUGAAAUAUAAUAUAAUGUAUAUAUCAUUCAAGAACCGUUUUUUUCGGUUGUAUGAAAAUUUUUUUUAUCAUUGUAUGAGAAUUGUUAACAAAAAAAAUACAAUAGUUAAUAUAGAAUAGUAUCAAUAGAAUUUAAUACAAUUGUAUUGUAAUCAAACGAAAAAUACGCACCAAUUGAAUUGUUAUUAGCACCCAUAGUUAAUGAAGUAAUCCCUAUAUAAAUAUAUUUUGGUACAUGUAGUAAUUGGUAAUCUAUAAAAUAAAAUAAAUUGCUAUUCUAACAAAUUGCUAAGUUGUCUAUAAAUAGCAUCAAUAGAAUAUAAUACAAUUGUAUUGUAAUCGAACAAUUGUAUUGUAUUGUAUCUAUAGUUGAUUUAGCAAGAUAGUGCAACCAAAAAGUGUGUAUGUAAGAUGAGUAUGACGAUAUAAGAAACUGUAUAUUUACCAUGAUCACGUAAAAUCAUUGGUGAUGUAGAUACCUGGCGAUCUUGAGGACAGUUAGAUUUUUCAUUUAUUUGAUCUAGAAAUAAAAUAUAUAUUAAAUUAAAAAUCAAUAGUUUAUGUAUUUAUUUUAUGUGUAAAUAGUGAUACAUUGUAUGAGAACUGUUAACCAAAAAAAUAUAAUAAUUAAUAUAGAAAUAGCAUCAAUAGAAUUUAAUAGAAUUGCAUUGUAAUCAAAUGAAAACAAUUACAGAUAAGUGGUUACCUGAACUAAAGAAUGCAAUUUUAAAUGCUCAAAAGUGCCUUGACGAUUGCACAUAUGUCAGGGGCUUGGUGAGUUUUUUGCUCCUCUUGAAUCAAUUUUUUUUUUCUAAUUGUAAUAUAUUACUUGCAGGUGUUAAGUAGGAUUUGACUCUAACCUUUCGUUUAAGUACUUUAAUCAAUGAACUAUUUAUUCCAUGAGUUGAAUUGUGCUGUUGCUAGAUAGAUGAAUCACGUAGUUGUAAUUGUUAUUGUUGAUAAAGAAAAGAAAGGCUAGAAUGCAAUUUUGCCAAAAGGAUUUCUGACGAAAUUAAAAAUUAAUCCAAUUUUAAUAAUGGGCGUAUAGUGCCUUAGUUAUUAGUAGUAUCUGAAUUAUUUUUCUCUAAUUAUAAAUUAUUUUUAAUUAUCAAAAAUCUUUUUUUUUAUUUCAUGCACGAUCAUUUUUGGAAUAAAAUUAUGAAAAUAACUAUCGUAACACCUAUUUUAUGUGAUAAAUGUGCAAUAAAAAAUAAUUAAAAAAAUUUCAGUAAUACAAACAAAUAAAUUUUAUAAUAUACAAUUUAUGUUAGAAAUAGUAGAACCCUUAAUCAUGAACCUAUAUCAUCCACAAUUAUAUAAGCAAACAAUAUCUUUUUAUCUUUGUUUUACAGUGUAACAAUAAGCAAACAACCGUUCAUAAGAUUUUGUAAAAAAUUUUCAGAAAUAAUGGAUGAUCAGAAAAUCAAUGCAAUAUCAUUCAUGACAAAAAGCAGAGCAAAAGCAAAACAUACUUAAAAGGCAGAGGGGACUGACCUGGAAAAUUAAGCCGGCCGCAAGAAGGUUGAUUUCUGCUAGAGUCUCUGCACAUAAUAUCUUUCACUACUGCUCACAAAAGAAACAAAAUCAAUACAUUUACAAAAUCAAUAGAGAACCCAAAACAAAUAAGAAACUGAGAGAGAGGGUGAGGGAAUUAACUCAAUAAGUUAAUUAAGUCGAUCAGUAAAAGGGUUGCAAAAAAAUGAUAGACAUAUUAUAUUAUUGGAAAUAAUCGAAAAUAAAAAAAAUUUACAAUAUGGGGAAUAAUAUUUAAAGAAAACACGGUACUGGAAUUUUUAAUUUGAUGCGAACGACGUUUUAAUCAGUGUAGCCUGGAUUUUGUCCUUCGGAUUUGAUUUGAGAUUUUUCUUUCGUCAGCGCAAACUUGUUGAAGCUUUUCCAACUGGUGUGUGGAAUCGUUGUUGUGUAUGUUUCGUUUUCUAAGCAAAUAUUUCCUCCUUUGCAAUUUUGUGAGUUUGAAAUCUAGUUGUUGUUGAAAUGCUUGUAGGCGGGCAUAUUCCAUGGUGAGGAAACUUUAGAUGAGUUCCCUACAAAUUUUGAGUGAAAAAUUUUAAUAUCUAUAUCUAUAUAAAUUUGAGAAGGGAUUUUUAGGAACAAGCCUCCACAACCCUUCCCACUCUCAAUUCUAUUUUCCUAGCAUUUCAUAUUUAUCUUAUUUCGUAAAAAAUAUCAUGGGCACAUUACAUCCCCACGUUUCCCUCAAAUAAGGAGUUAACUUCAACUAACACUCCCACGUCCCCUCAAACAAAAUUUAACUUCCACUUACGUUAAAACUCUAACACUCCCACGUUCCCUCAAACAAAAAUUUAACUUCCACUUACAUUAAAACUGUUUCCACUUACCCGUGCGUCAGUUGGUUGUAGUACCACUACUGAUUCCCAUUUUCCAGUGAGUUGAAGAGCAUUGACCAGAAUAAAGAUAGCCCAUAAUUCAACGGAAUUGAAGAUAGCACAUGAUCUUUUCCAACUGCCACGAAGCAACAAUAUACUUGGUACUACUUUUGGGAAUUACUCUUAAAACCCUUCCAAUCAACUUCCUUCUCGAACCUCUCAAAUUAACUUCAUAAUGGAACAUGGGCGUUUACAGGCAUGUCAACAAUGCCUGAAUUUCAAACUCGCAAGAUUGCAAUAGAGGAAACAUCUGCUAACAAAACGAAAAGGACGCAACAACGGUCCUGCACAAGAAUUGGAAUAGUUCCAACAACUUUGCGUCGACGAAAAAGAAAUCUCACAUCAACUACGAUGGAUAAAAUCUCGACUACACCGACUCAAACGCCGCGCCAAUCAAAUUAGAAGUUUCGAUACUAUUUAUUCUUUUAAUAUUGAUAUUUUCAUUGUAUUUUCAAUUAUAAAUAAUAUUCUCAAUAUUGUAAUAUUAUUGUUGUUUCCAUACUAAUCCUUGCUGGCUCAAUCAACAAAGUAUGGUACUAUGGCUUUUAUGUGAGUUUACGCAUUUAGACAUAUAGUUCUCAUUGUAUUAGUAAUUAAUCAGAUUAGUCCCAGAACAUGGUCAUAGCUUUGAUUAGGGAAAACGUUAUUUUUUCAUUAAAUGUCUACCUAAAUGUCUUCCCAUUAAUGCUAUUAUUUCUACGCACAAAGCGCUAAAAGUUUAGAACAAAAAUGGAGAUUAAGAUAUUUUCUCCAGUCACCUCGAGUGACUAUCCAGACUUAGAGACAAAUAGCUUGGGAAACUGAUGAGGGACUAAUGUAACAUUCUUUUUUUUUCUUUUGAAAAAAAUAUAAAAGUAAGGUAAUGUGAAUAACUGAAACAUUAUACUGAACAAGGAAUGCAGUUUGCAUUUAUUGCAGAAGUUUUUGGUGGAAGAUCAUGCUUAAAGUGCUUCACUAUAGCCCUUUAAAUUUGACAAAGAUAAUGAGUAAUUCCCAAAAGUAUACUACAUCCCACAUUAUGGCUGAAAAACUGAUCAUAUCAUGAGUUGUGCUCAUGAUGUGACUUAUGUAGGUUUUCCCCC
This 95829-nucleotide long non-coding RNA is filed under the name Coffea arabica (coffee). RNAcentral describes it as "long non-coding RNA (CARA_LNC001500)". The record is from RNAcentral. Lineage: Eukaryota; Viridiplantae; Streptophyta; Magnoliopsida; Gentianales; Rubiaceae.